AAUUUUGGUUGACCGCCAAAAAAUUUUGGUUGAAAAUUUUGAAAUUUUGAAAAUUUUUCGACUUUAGCCGACGACUUUUCAUAUAUUUUCGUCGGCUAAAGUCCUUUGAAAAUUUUCCUCCAACUUUGGUUUACCGCCUAAAAAAUUUUGAAAUUUUUUGACCUUAGCCGACGACUUUUCAUAUAUUUUUGUCGGCUAAAGUCUAUAAAUUCACGAAAACGCUCAUAUCUCCCCCUAUAUUACGUAAUUUGGUCAAACCUUCCACACAAAAAACUCUCACGUAGAUGAGACGCAACUGCCCAUACAAAAAUUUUGAGACAUUUACCUUCCGACAAUAGGGCUCCCCAUAAGGAAUAAUAACGGUAAAUAGGGUUGACCGCUACUAUCGGCUCCGAGACUUUACCCGAUUUAUGUGAUUUUUGAACCAUAGCCGUAUUUCACCAUUUUGAACACAUCUUAUUUCACGAGAUUUUUCAUAAUUUUGCUUCCUAUGUAGAGUUGGUUCACAAAGUUGUAUAACCUACUAAACAAGUUAAAUAACAUUAGUAGACACGUUGUGAUUCCGAUGACUAAAAUUCACAAACCAAAAUUCGACCGUCAGAUAUGAUCAUUAUGACGAAAUAUGUCUAUGGUAAAAAAUUCAACUGGAUCCGACAACGUUAAGGGCUCGAUCGAAACGGUCAACCAUAAUCCAUCGUCACUUAUCACACGAAAACGCUCAUAUCUCCCUCUAUAUUACGUAGUUUGGUCAAACCUUCCACACAAAAAACUCUCACGUAGAUGAGACGAAACUGCCCAUAUAAAAAUUUUGAGACAUUUACCUUCCAACGAUAGGGCUCCCCAUAAACCCGAAUAACGGUAAAUAGUAGACACGUUGUGAUUCCGAUGACUAAAAUUCACAAACCAAAAUUCGACCGUCAGAUAUGAUCAUUAUGACGAAAGAUGUCUAUGGUAAAAAAUUCAACUAGAUCCGACAACGUUAAGGGCUCGAUCGAAAGGGUCAACUCUAAUCGAAAAUAAGAAAACUGCAUUUUGAAGCCCUAAACGGACUCAGAUGGCCAAAAAAGCCGAUACAGCAUGGCAUUAGCGAUGAGUUUGACUCGUAGCGCCGUUACGCUUCCGGAAAGGUAUCACAAUAGUCAAUCAGACACCAAACGCCAAAUCUGCAGCAUAGUGAAUAAUAAGGGUAAGUCAACUAUCGGCACCGAGACUUUUUCCGGAAUACUGUGAUUUUUCAACCGUAGACGUAUUUCACCGUUCUGGUCAUAUCUUAUUUCACGACUUUUUUGCGUUUGAAGGUUCUACGUAUAGUUUUUUUUUCUCAGAUGAGUUGUUGUCUAGAUCUGUAAAUAUAAUGCACUUUAGCCGACGAAAUUAUAUUUUUUCGUCGGCUAAACUUUUAAACAUUUCAUCGGCUAAAGUUCACAGACUAUAGCCGACGAAAAAAAUUAUUCAGCCGACGAAAUAUUAAUUUCGUCGGCUAAAGUUGACCAUAGCCGACGAAAAUUUUAAAUUAGCCGACGAAAAAAAAUUCGUCGGCUAAAGUGGACUUUAGCCGACGAAAAAAAAAUUCGUCGGCCUGUUUUUUUUUUUUCGUCGGCUAAAGCCUUUCUUCUGGUAGUGAUGGUAAAAUUCUUAUUAAAUACCAAGCUAGUAAAUAAGGUAAAAAUUUAAGAGUCGGGAUGUAACAUGGUUAAUGCAUGGUGAUAUGUGAUGUAUGAACAUGUGAUGCUUUGAGUGGUGAUAUCGAGAUGAAUAUUGUUUGGGUUGAUAGAUGGAUUUCAAUUUGGAGAUUCGAUUGAAUUAUGAUUUGUGGGCUUGUUGUGUUCUUUUGGCUUGAAAGGUUAUUUUGAAAUAUAUAGAUAUACAUGUAUAUAUAUAUAUACAGGCCCAUUCUGGUGCAGACGUCUCUCCGUUUGCCACCGGACGGCGCUGGCGACGGCGAGCCUCCACCGUAGCGGACUCCAACAGUGUCCCCGACCACUUUCCCUCCCCGGCGAGUCCGCCGAAUUCCAGUUUUCCGACGAGAUCAUCCAAAACUUCAAACAAAAUCAAUCUCGCCGGAAAACUAGAAUUUGACAGACUCGCCGAGGAGGGAAAGUGGUUGGGCCAUUAGAAGAGAGGGGAUGUACUAGUGGACCCUAGGAGUUAGACACCAGAAGAGAGGGGAUGCACUGGUGGCACCAGAAGAGAGGGGAUGUAUUGGUGUGUGCGUAUAGGAGUGUCGGGCCACUAGAAGAGAGGGGAUGUACUAGUGGGCCCCAGGAGUUAGACACCAGGAGAGAGGGGAUGAACUGGUGGCACCAAAAGACAAGGGAUGUACUGGUGUGUGAGUAUAGGAGUGUCGGUGUGUUUAGGGUUUAAUUGAGAGCAAGUUGUUGAAGUAUACGACGGUUUAAUUGCAGAGUGAAUGUGAUGAUUUAUUAAGUCAAAUUCGUUAAUAUCAAGUGCGGAUUGCGACUUAUUUAUGAAUAUCUAGGAUGUAAGUAUAAUAAUUUAGACCCCUGUAAUAUUUUUAGUGGGAGAGCGGUUGUGGCUACAGAGUUGGUUGUAUGCUCUAGCGGUUUGUAUGAUAUGUUGGUUUGUAGUGAUUACUGUUUCUUACAGGUCAAGGUUGUCCACUUUUAGGGAAAGUUAUGCCGAACUCUCGGUAGAAUUUCCUUUUGAGGUGGUCCCCGCAAGAUCUUCUCGGAUUUCAGGGUGAAAUUCGGGACGGGUCCUGUCCCGCUAGUCUCCCGUACUUUGUAAUAAAGAGCCUCUCAAGCUAAUAUAUAUAUAUAUAUAUAUAUAUAUNNNNNNNNNNNNNNNNNNNNAAAAAUUUGAUCGGGGAAGUUGGUGUAAUGCCAUAUCCCUAGAAAUGGCUAAAAAUAGGGGAUCCCUCAAUGGGAAUGGGGCCGUCUAUAUAUAUAUAUAUAUAUAUAUAUUUGCACUCGUCAUACUCCUUGUAUGAAUUCUUAUGAAAAAUAUAUGAAAAAUUGAAAUUCAUACAAGGCUAUAACACUUGCGUCUUACACUCACGUCACACCAUAAUGGAAUUUCAAACACUACAUCAUUAUGGCGGAAAAGACGAGUGUAUAUUUGUGCAUAUCCCCUAUAUGAAUUACUAUUUUCAUAUCGGGCUACGAUGCUUGCGUCUCACGCUCAUGUCACACCAUAAUGAAAUUUUAUCUCAUUAUGGCGGAAAAGCACGUAUAGCUAGCUAGCAUUUAUAUACAUACUAUCCUCAUAAAUAUCCAUAUAUCUAUCCGCCGAAAAUCUCAACUCUCCAAAAUAAUGAAAAUUGCCAAUUAUAAAAGAAACAAUAAAUAUAUGACUCCACCGAAAAAGUUACCGAAAAGUUAACAAAUAAAAUAUGAAUAAUCACUUUCGAAAAUACUUCGCAGUAAUCAAUCGUAAAAGGAAAUUAUUCUACAAAUUAAGAAUCAAUAAAUUAAACUCAAUCAUUAAAUAAAUACCCAUUGCAUGCAUUUAAUUUAAAUUUUAAAACAAACGUCCACUCACAGUAUUAGGCCCAAGCUUCUAAGUGCUCGGAAUACUCCUCGAGCGUUGCCACUAAACAAGACCUUAACUUGGAAUCGAAAUCAUAAUCAAUUUCCAUGCCUUUAACACAUCAACCAAUUUACUUCCAAAAUUUACUAAGGGCACCCAAAAAGGGAGAGUUUCCUAAAAUAGAAAGUUUCCUAAUUAGGACCUACAACCUAUGUUGCACGGACACUCCACACCCCUGGAGUGUCGGAGUGUCAAACACUCCGACACGCCGACACGGCGCCCGACACGGCAAAAUACGUGUCCGACAAGCCACGUGGCGUGUCCGAAAAAAAAAAGUUUGGAUGGAUUUAGGGCUGGGCACGGUCCUUGGACCGGCAUCAAAUUUUCAGGGACCGGGACCAGUGUUCUGGGAGAAGAAAAGGAAAAAAAUAAAAAGAACGGAAGCAUUUAGUUAAUGUGUCUCCAAGAAAUAAACCGGGUGUCCAAAACAGAGACAAGCCUUUGGGUGUCCCUGGUGUUUACUUGAAGCUUCGGGUGUCCAAAUCAAAAUACCUAAACUUCGAUACCAGAAAAUUUAAACUUGGUGCGAAACCGAGAAAUCCCCAAAAUACCCAAAUGUUCGAACUACAAUGGUUUGAUCCCUUCACAGGGUAUGUAGGCAGUCUGGAUUUAAAUCUAGACACAACCACAUUUAAAGCCAAAUCCUUGGUCCUUUCCAAGUCAAAUUCCCAAACACAUAACCAAACCUUUCGACAAGUCAUCUACUUCGUCGAAACCCCAAAAGCCAUAAAACUUGAACUACGAGUGACUUGAUCCCAUUCGGAGUACGUAGGCAGCCUGUAAAACAAAUCGAGUGCAGUCGCAAUUCCCCUCAAACACACAUUCCCCAUUUGUUACUUUGUAUUUAGAAUCAAAGGGUUUUCCCUUAAAAGCGAGGGUUGUAAUUAAGGAAUUUAUUUUAUUCUGAAUAGGUCAAACCGGACAUAAUUAAAACUCUAUUUUAAUCAAUAAGAUAGAGUGAAAUUGUGUUGGGUAUAUUUAUUUACAAUUUUUGCUGAACAUAGUUUUUGGCGACUCCACUGGGGACCCAUUUUCCCUUUCAUCUCUUUUUAUGAAGUUAUUAACUUGUUAUAUGUGUUUCACAGGGAAAACAAAUCAAUGGCACCACAAGUAACAGUUUUCUUCCACAAGCUCCCAGCAACUGCUGCUCACCCAAGCCAAACAGGUCAUCGAAUGACAUUUGUGAUUGGCCAUGUUCCUAUCACUUCUGCAAAGGCAAAGCUUGAAGCAAAACAAGUCAAGCUAGUUGUAAGCGCUGUGAAGACUCAGACUUUCAAAGCUGUCUCCAAAAAUGCUUUGAGAAAUCAGAGGAAGAGGGUUGCAAGAGGUCCAAUUACCCGCAACAUGGCUAAAAGGAUUGCAAGGUCUAGGGAGGCCGAGAGGAUCUAAAACUAGGGAAUACCCUGUUUAUGGAGAUGAUUCCUACACAGGUCCAAUUACCCGCAACAUGGCUAAAAGGAUGAUGCUUGAAACGUCGUCAGCAAGUACUACGUCAGAAGAAGGGUAUACGUCUCUAAAGGAUAAUCCUUUAUUUGUCUCGUGGAAGGGUAAUCCCUUAUAUGAGACCUUGGUUCCAACUGAAGGCUCCUUACAUGCUUUGAUACCUCAAUCAGUCGCAAGGUCUAGUGAGAGUUGUGACUCUGAUUCUGAUAACGUUCAAGUUCUCAUGGCAAGCUCGUCAAGCCCAGAAGAGCAACUGAAACAGCAGAUGGAGGAGUUGACAAAGAAGUUAGCUCAACUUGAACGCGAUGCUCUACAGAGGCAAGUUGAAAGAGAAGUAGAAGCUAAGAGGAUAGCAGAUAUCGAGGCCGAGUCGAAGAGGAGAUUAGCUGAAAAAGAAGCCGAGGUUGUUGAGCUUAUAGCAAAAUGUGCUGCACUCAUGGAAAAGAAAGGGCAGGAAGGUCCUGGUCCCUCAUUUGUUAAAGAUAACGAUAAUGCGCUCUCGCCUGAAGGGAUUAAGAACAUGAUAGCUGAAGGGAUCAGAGACUUCCAAAUGUCUCUGUCUACACCAGUCCUUGGAUACCGUAAGCCAUAUCCAGACCAUUAUGAUGCGAUACCUUUUCCUAAGGGAUAUCAAAGGCCAACGUUCGACAAGUUUGACGGGAUAAAUAGUUCCCCUCGAGAGCAUUUAGCUCACUUUUAUUCAGCUUGUGGAGAAGCGUCACAAAUCGAUGCCUUUUUGGUCAGACAGUUUGUACAAUCCCUCAAAGGUGCUGCGUUCACGUGGUACACUCAGCUAGAGCCAGGUUCCAUUCAAACAUGGGAUGAUAUGCAAAGAGCAUUUUUGGCACAGUUUGUCAGCUCUAAGAAGAAAGUUUCAAUUAUUGACCUGGCAGACACAAGACAAAAAGUUGGAGAAAGUUCUACCGAAUUCAUCACAAGGUGGAGAAGUCUUAAUCUCCAAUGUCCUGACAAGUUAUCUGAGACCUCUGCUGUUCAGAUGUGUGCUAAUAACCUCCUCCCAGAGAUCGCGACAUAUGUUGGCACAGCUGAACCCCAAACUUUUGAUGCAUUGGUCUCCAAAGCAAGCAAUGUCGAAAGGCAAAUUGCUCGCCAAAAGUCAUCUUCAAAAAUUCAAAUUGCGGAUAAGAAGAACGAUUCCAAGAAGCCAGUCGUCAAGAAAGGGGAAACAAUGGCAACUUUCGUCAGGAAUGAAAAAAAAAUGACAAUGUCAAAAGUAACAACGACAACAAUAAAAUGAGGAAUGAUCGACCUCGCAGACUCACACUCGGUGAAAGAAAAAAGGUCACCUAUUCAUUUGAUGAUGAUGAUGUUGAGGCGAUUUUCGAUGAGCUCAUUGCAUCUGAAAGCAUUAAAAUUCCUGAAUCAAAACGACCUGCUGAAAUGAACAAGACCAAUGAUCCUAAAUAUUGUCGGUAUCACCGCAUAGUAAGUCAUACGUUGAAGGACUGUUAUAUUCUUAAGGACAUAAUUCAAGAUAUGAUUAACAAAAAGGAGAUCGUGACAGCAAUCGCAAAUGUAACUACAACUGGUUUGUCUAGACCAGAUGGUGCCAUAUCAGUCGCGUUCAAGGUCGACGACGAAGUCACGAUUGUCGAAGCAUAUCCAGACAUGCCUUGUCUGGAAACCCUAACAUUCCAUCCCUAUACGAGCUUAUGACAGCACCAAGUUUUGAUGUAUGGGAGGAUUCAGAUGGGUUGGAAGAUUCAGAUGGAGAAUGGUGCAGGGCAGAAAAUAAUGCAAGACAACUUCGUCCCCCUAUUGUGAAGACCCCUUCUUCUUCCUCAAGAAUCAAAUAUCGCCGCAAGUCAUCUUCAAAAAAUAAGAAGAAAGGAAGAACUGCAAAGAAAGUUCAAAUCCAAAACACGGAGGAGUACAAGCAGUCCCCGAGAACUCCGAUUACUCUUGGGGACUUCCUACCAAAAGAGCUUUUUGGGAAGGACCAACAAAGAAAAGACGAUGAGGACGUACUUCAAUGUUGCAUGGUAACUAUUAAUGCAGUUUCCCCUUCCAACUCAGAUGCACAUGAUGAAAGUGCACAUGAAGUUGAUCAAAUUCAGCUACGCUCUGGCUUGGUUGUCCCAUCACCUGUGCAAAAGGGUGGAAAAUCACUACCCAUGAAAUUUAGGGUAAAAAAUGAUACAAAGAAGGUGACUGAUAGGGUAAAAACUACAUCAAAAGAGUCUCCUCAGAAGACCAAAGAAACUCACCAAAAGAGCAAAUAUGAUGUACUAUCACACCUGAAACGUAUCCCCUCACUUUUAAGUGUGUAUGACGUUUUGUGUAUGACAAGGGAGUUAAGAGAAGCAUUGAUCGAAGCGUUGUUGAGCCCAGAUUUGUAUAAAGAGGAUGUUGUUGAAGUUGAUACGACCACCGCAAGAGUUUGUCCCCAUUGCAGAAAUUGCAUCUCGUUUCUAGAGGAGGAUUUGCUGUUGAAAGGGGAACACCAUAACAGACCUCUCUACGUCACAGGACUUGUGGGUAAUACAACAAUCAAUAGAAUUUUACUUGACUGUGGCUCGGCUGUGAACUUGUUGCCCCUCAAAACGCUUCACAUUAUGGGAAUGAGUGCUAAACAACUUACUCCAUCCAUGCUCACCAUCCAAGGUUUUAACCAAGCUGGUCAAAAAGCAAUGGGUACGAUUGUCUUACAAAUGGAGAUUGGGGAAAUUCUCUCAAGCGCUUUGUUUCAUGUGAUUGAUGCUCCUACGUCCUACAAUGUAUUGUUAGGGCGCCCAUGGCUCCAUAAUUAUGGUGUCGUCCCUUCUACACUUCACCAAUGCUUUAAGUGGUUGGAAAAUGGAGAAGUCAAAACAGUCGUGGCAGAUGCUGACCCUUUUAAAGGCGAAGAGGUAAACUAUUCAGAUGCUUAGUUCUACAAGCCAACGGAGCUUCCUGAAGUACUUGUGGAAGAAACUCCCAAACACGUGCUAGAAGCAAGGAAAUUGGAAGCGUCGAAGCCGUCAAAACUUCGGGUCAGAGUAACUCCCCCGGUAUUGUCCUCAAAAGGAAAGGCUCCAAGCUCAGAAAAAUCAAAACCAAAGAUGGUCUUCAAGUAUGUGAAAAUAGACCAACGAGAACCUAGGCAAAAAGCCAUAACACCUAUCAAGGACACAAUGGAGACGCUCUGCACGACCUCUUCGUAAAAUUGACCAAUCUAUCCCAAAGAGUGAUAUCGUGAUCUCUACAACACUCGGUAAUGGGCAUAGUAGGCAGACGCGGGUUGUUUCCUUCAAAAACAGAAAUCUGAAGUUAGCAUCAUCUGUUCCUUUAAAGAUUAACCUUAAAGGUAGAAAGGCAAUUUCAAAAGCCACUCCCCUAAAAGUCAUGGUUAAGCAGGUAAAUGGUAUGCUUAAGGUAAAGGUUCCUGAGUCAGAUUCCACCGAGUCAGGUGUUGUUACGGAUCUUGAGAAGACUAUGUUUCGUGAGGAAGACAUGACACAAGAAGAUUUGCCUCGUGUUUCUGUGUUUCGACGUCUAACAAUUGAUCCUCAACCUCGAGUUUCGAUGUUUCAACGAUUGGGUGAAAUUCAUCCCAAACCACAAAAGAACAGAAAGUGGAAGCUCAAGGUUAAACAACAAAGAGUACUAGUUGCUAAACAGGAGGACGAAAGUACACAUGAAUCUUCGUCAACGAAUUGCGUUUCCAUCGAAGAAAAUCAAGUCGAAGACGAAGAAGAAUAUGAAUUCAUCGAUAGUGCUCAACUUGCCCCGCCCCAAAUAGAAGAUGGAGGACAAGCGACAGUUGAUGAGCUGCAGAAAAUAAAUUUAGGCACCAGUGAACACCCAAAACCUAUAUUUGUGAGUGCUCUUUUGACUACAGAAGAAUUUCAAGACUACAAGAAUCUUCUAGAAGAAUAUAAAGAUGUGUUUGCAUGGGGCUAUCAAGACAUGCCUGGCCUAGAUCCAGAAGUUGCUGUUCAUAAUCUCGCAGUAUCAGAGGAAAAAGGUGGGUUAAACAAGCACCAAGACGCUUUCGUACAGAGCUAGCUACUCAAAUUGAAGCUGAAGUGGACAAGCUAAUUGAUGUGGGUUUCAUUCGUGAAGUCAAAUACCCUACAUGGCUGGCCAGUAUUGUACCUGUUGAAAAAAAGAAUGGACAAAUUCGCAUUUGUGUAGACUACAGAGAUCUUAAUGAAGCUUGCCCAAAGGAUGAAUUUCCAUUGCCAAUUACUGAACUCUUAGUUGAUGCAACAACAGGCUUCGGUGCUCUGUCCUUCAUGGAUGGUUUCUCCGGCUAUAAUCAAAUAAAAAUGGCCCCGGAGGAUGAAGAGUUUACAGCAUUUCGUACCCCCAAGGGGUAUAUUGUUAUACAGUUAUGCCUUUUGGCUUGAAAAAUGCAAGUGCUACCUACCAAAGAGUGAUGACAGCCAUCUUUGGUGACAUGUUGCAUAAUAUAGUCGAAUGUUAUGUUGACGACUUGGUGGUCAAAAGCAAGAAGAGGGGGCAUCACCUAAAUGACUUGAGAAGAGUCUUUGAGAGACUUCGAAAAAAUAAGUUGAAAAUGAACCCUCUUAAAUGUGCAUUUGGAGUAACAUCUGGUAAGUUUCUCGGUUUCGUUGUCAGGUACCGGGGAAUAGAAAUUGGUCCAACUAAAAUCAAAGCAAUAAGGGAAAUGCCAGCACCGAAAAAUCUUCGAGAGUUGAGAGGAUUGCAAGGGAGACUCGCUUAUAUAAGAAGGUUCAUAUCGAAUCUUUCUGGAAGGUGUCAACCAUUUUCAAGACUGAUGAAGAAAGACGUACCUUUCAUCUGGGAUCAAGCAUGUCAAAUUGCAUUUGAUAGCAUCAAGGAAUAUUUGCUCCAUCCACCAGUCCUAAUGGCGCCUAUAAAAGGGAAAUCUUUAAUCCUUUACAUAGCAGCUCUUGAGCACUCCCUGGGGGCAUUGUUGGCACAAAAUAAUGAUGAGGGGAAAGAAAACGCUCUCUGCUAUUUAAGUCGAACAUUGGUGGGAGCUGAACAUAAUUACACGCCAAUAGAGAAGAUCUGCUUGGCUUUAGUCUACGCCGUCCAAAAAUUACGGCAUUAUCUACUUGCUCAUAGUGUCACCUUGAUAUCUAGAGCUGAUCCAUUAAAGUAUUUGAUGACAAAGCCUAUGCCCUCGGGUAGGCUUGCUAAAUGGUCUUUGAUUCUCUCAGAGUUUGAGAUAAAGUAUGUGCCUCAAAAGGCAAUAAAAGGGUAAGCCCUCGCAGACUUCUUGGCAGCACACCCGGUACCAGAUGAUCAUGAAUUACCCGAAGACUUGCUAGACGAAAAUGUCUUCUCAACUGAGACCCCUUCGACGGAGCCGAUAGAAAACAAGGAGCUGGAGCUGGCAUUGUGUUCAUCACCCCUUUUGGCGGUAUAAUCCCCUACUCAUUCUCUCUAAUGGCUUUGUGUUCAAAUAAUAUUGUAGAAUAUGAAGCACUCAUCAUUGGCCUCGAGAUCGCUUUGGAAAUGAGGAUUGACUCCUUACAAGCAUUUGGUGACUCCCAACUGAUCGUCAGACAAAUAAAUGGUGAGUACGCAUUCCUAUGGGUCAAAAAUGAGAACCUUGUCCCAUACUACCAACGGGUCAAAUACCUUAUGGGACAAUUCCAAAACAUAAAUGUUAGCCACAUUCCUAGAUCAGAGAAUGAUAAAGCAGAUGCAUUGGCUAACCUGGCAGCUUCUUUAAUCCAACCUGACGAAAGAGACAUCCAGAUAACAGUUGGGGAACGUCGAUUGCUGCCUACAUUACUCGAACGAAUGGAAGUCACCAAUGAAACACAUGUGGUUUCAGUGUUCGAAGUUGAGGAAGAGUCUGAUUGGCGAAUGGACAUGAUCAAGUAUUGCCAGACAGGUAUACUACCUGCAGAUCCAAAGAAAAGAGUCUAUGUCAGGCGGACAGCACCUCGAUAUACGUACCUUAAUAACACUCUGUAUAGGAUGUCCUUCGAUGGAAUACUCUUGAGGUGUUUAUCAAAAGAAGAGGGAGUUGAAGCUCUUAAAGAUGCCCAUGCUGGUACAUGCGGAGCUCACCAAGCUGGUCCAAAAUUGGCAGCCCAAUUGAAGAGAAUAGGUUAUUACUGGCCAUCAAUGGUACAAGACUCAAUAAAUUAUGCGCGGUCAUGCAAGGCGUGCCAACUACAUGGAGAUUUUAUACACCAACCUCCACUACCUCUUCAUCCCACAACUCUCUCAUACCCCUUUGAAACAUGGGGGUUGGAUGUUGUGGGCGUCAUAGCUCCUAAAUCCUCACGCCUGCAUCAGUACAUAUUGGCUGCAACAGAUUACUUUUCCAAAUGGAGUGAGGCAAUUCCUCUUAAAGCGGUAAGAGCAGAGGAUGUUGCAAAAUUUAUCAAGACUCACAUCAUCUAUCGCUUCAGAGUUCCCUCCAAGAUAAUAUCCGACAAUGCCUCGUAUUUCAAGUGCAAGGCCAUGGUCACAAUGUGUGAGAAGUAUAAGAUCCAACAUGCAUUUUCGUCCAGCUACAACCCAACAGCUAAUGGCCAAGCAGAGGCUUUCAAUAAAGUACUUUGCAACAUCCUGAAGAAAAUGGUCUCAACAAACAAAAGAGACUGGCAUAAUCGCCUCCCGGAGGCAUUAUGGGCAUAUCGGACCACCGUUCGCACAGCAACUGGUUGUACUCCAUUCAGCUUGGUCUAUGGGUCUGAAGCAGUAUUGCCAUUAGAAGUCCAAUUGCCUUCUUUAAGGAUAGCUAAAAUGUUGACAAAUCCAGAUGAAAAUGCACAAGUCAGACUGGCAGAGCUUGAAGCACUUGAUGAAAAGAGACUUGCAGUUCAACAAAAACUCGAAAUUUACCAAGCUCAAGUUGCAAGUGCUUUCAACAAGAAAGUUAAGUUCAGGUCAUUCAAAACAGGCGACUUGGUCUUAACAGUCCGAAGGCCCAUCAUCGUCGCCAGGAAGUUAAAGGGAAAGUUUGAACUCAAAUGGGAAGGUCCAUAUGUGGUCACCAAGGUCUUCACCAAAGGCGCAUACAAGCUUUCAAAUGCAGACGGAGAUUGCAUCUACCCCUGUGUCAACGAGAAGUUCGUGAAAAAAUUCUAUGCCUCUUGAAGCUCGCUAGAUCCAAAAACCUGAAAGAGCGGUCUAGAAAAAAGUUAGAGCUACAAAAAAAAAGAAAAAAAAAGAAAAGCUCGCUGGAUUGAAAAGCCGGGAGGGCGGUCCAGGCAAAAGUUAGAGCAUAAAGCCUCCCGAACUACGACGGCUUGAUCCCCCAAAAGGGGUACGUAGGCAGUCUAGUCCUAAAAAGCUAGAUGCAGCCACCCAACCAAAAAAAAAUCAUCCUGAAUCAAUCAGGUGAACUACGGGUAGCUUGAUCCCUUCAUAGGGUACGUAGGCAAUUUAGUUUUAAAACUGGAUGCAGCUGCAAAAAAUAAAAAAUAAAAAAAAUGUUUUCAAAAAAAACUUUGCCCAAAAUCAAAUGGGUGAACUACGUUUGGCUUGAUUCCUUCACAGGCUACGUAGGCAGUCUGGUAACAAACUGGAUCCAGCCAUAAUUUCAAACCAAUCCUUUUUAUUCCUAACAUGUUUGUUUCAUGUGAUUAUAAACAGGUAAAAGAGGUUGGUUCGUCAAAACCGUUAUCAUUGAAUAAUGGUAUCAACUGUUGAUCAUACACCAAGGUAUGCAAGCUCAGAUGACAGCCCAAGCAUUCGGAUCACCAAAGAGAGCAACCAACAGUCGACAAAAGCAUUAAUAUGUUUUGCAUGUUCUUGAAAUUACAAGUCCGCGAUCAAAAAAAAAAGAGAAGAAUACUGACAGCAACAUAGGUGAGGCUCAAAUGUCCCUCUAAGAUGUUUUCCUUGUUGUACCUGCACACAUAACAAUGGACUUGCUCAAGUACAUCCUGGAAUGAAAAACCAAAAAAAAAGGGAAGGAAAAAGGAUGGAGAUUGGUCCAGUAAGUGCAAAAUUUGUACUUUGUAGCAGCAAAUAAAAAAGAGACAUGGAAACAAUUUGAAGUCUUGACAAAUUAACAAUUGCUGUUCAAACCAAAUCUAUUCAAUAAAAAAAAAUCUUUUAUAUCUAUGUUGUCAAGAAGAAAUCACAACAUCAGGUCACAGCAACACUCAAAUGUUUGAGGAGAAGAUCAACAAAGACCUUCACCAAAUCUUCCAAGGUAACCAACAGAAAGUAAGUGACAAAGCAAGACAGAGAGAAAAAAUCAAAUCAGAGCCCUAUAAGCAAGCUGUGGGUUCAUUCUUAUUCUGAUACUUCGCCAAAAGACUUCAAAGAAUUGAUUAGCCUUUCGAACUCCUCUUCUUGAGCUUUGUGUGAAUUUUUUAGGCUCUCAAAUUCUACAAGCUGGUCUUCUUUGGCUUCAAUCCUUGCCUGACGAAGUUCUUCAUUUAGUUUGUUUUGUUGUUCAGCAGAGUUCUUCAAAGAGGCGAUUUUCUCUUCAAGGUGACUCUUCGCGAUCUCAUACUUUUGGCGCAAUUGUUGUGCUUUCUGUUCUGCCUUUAUAAUGUGCUCCUCACUGGCCUUCAAAACCUCAAAUUCCUGGUUAAGGCCGGUCAAUUCUAAAUCUAAAGCUGCCUGGGCAUGGUGACACUCUUCGUGGCUGCGUAUUAAGUUACGGAUGCGUUCAGUAUCUAUUGUGGAGCACUCCUCAAUGACAAGCAUGUUUUUAGAAAGCAUGUCUGCCAAUUCAAAGGUUUUGCCAACGUUUUUAGCGAACCUUUCAAAUCUGUCCUCACCAGAUCCAUAUGAUUUAAUGACUGGUCCCAACAUCUCAAGUGACUUCUGGACCUCACCACGACAAUCAGUAAUGAGUUCCAGUGGUUGGGACAAGCUUAUCUUGCUUAAAAUGUCUUCUACCUCUGUAAUAAUAAAAUCACCCCAGCGCUCAUUCGAUUUUGAGUUGAAGAUUUUACGCAAGAUAGAUGAAGUUUCAUUUAGCUGACAAAUACCUUCAUCAGCAGUCUCGCAUGCGUCAGGAUCUAUUGGCUCUGUACCACCACUAUUAGAAUCAGAAUGAUCUCUUGGUGGUGUACUAAAUCCCUUUGUUUGCAGUUCUGACCCCUUUAGCUGAGUUGGUUGUUUCCAUUCUAGUUGGAGUAAUUUCGGUUCUAAACUGUUUAUUUCUGUUUCUGUUCCAAUCAAGGACAACUCUACAUCAUACUGAGUCUUCUCACAGACUGACUCCAAGCUCUCAGGCUCCGGUGAUGGUAAGUCGGAUUCUAAAUCCUUUAUGUGCAGCUCUGAUGUGUUCAGAGGGAACCCCAAAGCAUUCUCUUGCGAAACUGACUUGAUCAAGUCUUGAUCUACUUCUUUUGAAGACAGUCUAGCACUAUGCCCUUUCGGCAAUGGCUUCUUCCUCUUUGUUUAAAAAACAUGUGACUUACGUCCCGAAUCCUUACACUUGGGGUCUACUUGCUUCAACCCAGACCCUCGCUCCUUCAAGUUUGUUUCCGAGUCCUUCAAACUUAGUUUCAAACUUUGCGAUUUUGGAAUCAGGUCACAUACUACUACUGAUUUCAACCUUGAGGCAAUAACUUUGUCACCGUUAUGAGAAGCGUGAUCAGCUGGAGGAGAUGCAGUUUCGUCUGCGACAUUACCUCUAAGAUCAUCAUACCGAGCUCGCUUGCUGCCCCAACCUUCAUCACCAAAGUUUGUUCUAUGAGUUUUCUUGCUCAUACCAUCUUUUCUCCCUUCUAAAGGAGAAGCACUUUUAGAAUAAGCAGCUGGAUCUCCUUCCUCAAAAUCAGAAAAGAUUAUUUUUCUUGGCUUGGCGGCAGAUACAUCUUUGAGGGACUUCAGCGGGAAAAUGUUAUUCUGCCUUUCGAGAGGGCGUUUCUUCAAGGUCAGGUAAACAAAAGACACAGACCGACCUAGAUAGGGGGCACAUGCCAUCAUCCACCACCUGCAAUAAGUCCAGGUACACAUUCCAUCGUAAGAAGAACGGGGAAUGUAAAAACGGGUACCAGUGUCAGCUCUAAGAAGUUUAAUUUGAGCUUUCGCUAAGUCUUCAACACCACACUUAUUUCUCUUCUCAAUCUUGAAUUGAAGUCUAUUCGCCGGAACCCCUUGAUCAAAGCCAAAUUGACGAGCAAACCUAUUUGGAUAGUAUGGUUCUAACCAGAGCUCACCACCAAUUCGUAUGGGAAGUAAUGCAGAACGUAGACAAACCAGAAAGUCAAACUUUUCUUCAGACAAGUUCCCAUCGUCAACCAAAAAGUAACCCUAUGGCUCGAUAAAGGGGCUGGGACGAUACUCUACAGAGCCUUUGGUCCUAAAAACAAGUCUAGCUGUAGUAACAUCGAAAUCCUGAGCUUUAAUGCCAGCACAUCUUUUUAGAUGGGGGUAGUUUUCAGGGAACUCACUGUCAGCAUGUCGUCUAUAUAAACAGUUGAAGUGCUCUCCCAACCAACCAAUCACAUAAUGAACAGGAAAACAACCUCGUGACUCUCCAGGUCCUCGUGGAUCAGUCACGAUUUUCCCAAGACCAUGAUAAAUAUGACCCAACACUGCUGGUGCGAGAGACACUCUGAUUCCUUGAGCCAUUAAACAUGCCAUAUGAAAAGUUUCAGGUCUAAUUACAUAAUAAUAAGAGGGAAAGACAAACCUGCUGAGCCAGUAAUCUAAGAAUGCAGCCAAUUCCCCUUCUUUUGAAACUACCAAAGUAGGUCGGAAACCCAUAAAUUUCUCACGCUGCGUGUGGUUUAUGCAUUGUGUGUCCUCUCCAUAGGCUUUGUAUAGCAGCUGCCCUCUAUAGAAGUGUCUAACCCAAUCCCUCCAACGAACAAAUUUCUGUUUACUUAAGACACAUAGUCAGGAAUAUAUGCACAAAAGCUCAGAAAGCGUAGCAGGGUAUGAUCCAUCUCGCUGCAACCUUCCGUUUUCAGGAAUAAAUUCUUCAUAGGGAAUCCCUGAAAUCGGCAAGCCUCCAAUCAUCUUCAUAUCCCACAAUGAUAUACUUAUCUCCCCAUCUCCAUGGUGUAAAGUGUUCGUCAAAGGACUCCACUAUUCCAAGAAUGCUUUCCAUGUGCUCGUGCAAUAAUGGUAAGGAUAUCGAGAGACGCCAACGGCACCAAAUAUUCCAGCCUGAUUCAACACGCCUUCAAAAUUGGCUAAUAUGAAUUCUGUCCACUCCAUUACUCCUAUCUCAAGUGUAGCACAACCCCGUAAACAAAGGCUCGAAGACCAAUCUUGUUUGGUGUUUAGCAUCUUGUGAAGUAUCGGGUAAAAAUUCUCUUCGAAAGUGAAAAGACCUCUAUCAUGUCUGUUAUCAACCUUCUCCAAAGUAUGCCCCUUAAAUACAUGGGAAAAGUUGCGGGUUGUUCUUAUCACUUGAUCCUCCAAAUCUUGGCGAAAUGUAAGAAAGCCUGAGUUCAUUUCAACUUCUGUCACCAAGGUAAUGAUGUCUUUAGGAGGGACAUCAACAUGAAUGGAGUUUAAAGGCCGUGAUCUCACGUACUCUAUGCCCUUUCCAACAACCUGCCUGUGUUUGUCCAAAGCUGCCUUGCAGGAAAUGCGACCAUAUGCAUCCAUUACCUGAGAUUAUAGCACGCAGAGAUGUUAAAAGCACGCAAUAGCAAGUCAAGCUUUGCGCGCGAAAAGCAAGUUCCACGUACAAAGCUUGAGGGGGCACUGUUGAUACCAAAAAAAAAGGAUUACAGAAAAGGAAAAAAUAAAUUAAAUAAAAUAAAUGGAAGAGUAUUUAUUCAUGUCAUACUCUUCCGUUGGUUUUGGUUACACGCACAAAGCUUUUGAGUUCAAUUACAACUCUUGCAAGCAGGUGCUUGGAUAAGAACAAAUCAGUACGAGCACCAGAGUUUGAUUGUAACUCAAUUAUCCUAACCAAGCACUCUAUAUAAAGAGGCCAAUACCUUCAAGAGAGAAAAAAAGAAGAAGAAGAGGAGAAGCAGAGGACGAGAGAGGAGAACGACAGAAGAAAAAACAACAACAAUGGGAGAAGGAAGCAAGGAGAAUCACAAAGGAGAGGUUCAUUCUUUACAAGGUUUGGAUGGCAAAUUCUCUUUCUCUUUGCGCAGCUCUCUUUAUGUUCUGUUGAUGGAGGCAUCAUUGCCUUCAUAUCCCUCGCGGACGGCCUCUGCUGUACUUGGUUACUUUGGAUACUAAUACUAUGGAGACUUUGAAAUCUCUCAUGGAUACUGGUUACUUUGGCUACCUGUUACUAUGGUUCUCUGGUUACUAUGAUCUGGAUACUAUGGUUACUCUCAGACACUAUGGUUACUAUGGUUCUGGUUCUCUGGGUACUUAGACACUGGUUACUAUGACAGAACGGUUACUCUUGUUUCUGCCCUUUGAUCCUACAAAACCGAACACAAAACCAAUACUCAAAAAGACCAUUGCUGUCCCUGUUUCCCGUUAAACACCACAGCCAAAUACCUUCCCAAAUUCCAUGAUUCCAAAACAUCAAUCUAGCUAUCCACUGAUAUUUCCAAAAUCACCAGCUAAAUAGAUUCCCUCGACUUCCAGAGUUCUCACACAAACACCAAUGCAAACUAAAAACAAAUACAUAAAGAGCUCACCUUCAAAUAAAAGCUGUGAGCCCUUUGUUUUUGUGAGACUGCAACACUGGUGUUCCUGGAACGGUCAAAGAGAAUUUGUCAAAAUAAAUACAAAGAUUGGGGGAGAAAAGUCCAAGCGGUGGUACUCUAGCUCAUCUCUCAGAGAAGACAAAACUUCACAAAUUUGACAUAGCACUCAAAGAAAAAAAAAGGUGUGAUGGUCAUGUCUAGUUUGAAGAAUGAUGAGCAAGACAAAUUUUUGUCUUGGGUGCACAGAGAAGAAGAAUAAAAGAAGAAAACUCACCACUGGAGGUUGGAUGCGGCAAUGGAGUCACAAAGCAAAAGUCAAGCUUGUCCCUAUGCACAAUUCACCCAGCUCACCUCCCUCGACGCCUCAAGCUCACCAAAGUUCCCAAGCCCAGCGUCAUCAAUGAUCAAGGCCAAAACAAGAUUUCAGUUUCUGUGGUAUACAAAUCAGAAGCGUGAAAGGAGGGAAUCAAAUUCUCACCUGUGUUGUGUAUAAAACCCGACUUCCAGCCUCGAAUCGGACACCAAUUUGGUCUCUGUAUCCGAACCUAUCUGUUCAACCUUCAAGCUCGCCUCCUACUGCAACAAGAAGCAAAAGUGUUCUGGGAGAAGAAAAAAUAAAAAGAACGGAAGCAUUUAGUUAAUGGGUCUCCAAGAAAUAAACCGGGUGUCCAAAACAGAGACAAGCCUUUGGGUGUCCCUGGUGUUUACUUGAAGCUUCGGGUGUCCAAAUCAAAAUACCUAAACUUCAAUACCAGAAAAUUUAAACUUGGUGCGAAACCGAGAAAUCCCCAAAAUACCCAAAUGUUCGAACUACAAUGGUUUGAUCCCUUAACAGGGUAUGUAGGCAGUCUGGAUUUAAAUUUAGAUACAACCACAUUUAAAGCCAAAUCCUUGGUCCUUUCCAAGCCAAAUUCCCAAACACAUAAUCAAACAUUUCGACAAGUCAUCUACUUCGUCGAAACCCCAAAAGCCAAAAAACUUGAACUACGAGUGACUUAAUCCCAUUCGGGGUACGUAGGCAGCCUGUAAAACAAAUCGGGUGCAGUCGCAAUUCCCCUCAAACACAGAUUCCCCAUUUGUUACUUUGUAUUUAGAAUCAAAGGGUUUUCCCUUAAAAGCGAGGGUUGUAAUUAAGAAAUUUAUUUUAUUCUGAAUGGUUCAAACCGGACAUAAUUAAAACUCUAUUUUAAUCAAUAAGAUAGAGUGAAAUUGUGUUGGGUAUAUUUAUUUAAAAUUUUUGCUCAACAACACCUCAAAAUCUCAACUCCAUCUUGGCAUAUAUGAUCUCGCCAAAAAAAAAACAACAGAUGAAACUAGACAUAAGGUUAAAUCUUUUUACACAACCCAUACGGCCUCUUCUUGAUGGCUCACUUGAAAGACUCGAUCUCUUCUUCUUUUUUGUCCUCCAGAAAGGUUCAGUAAGUGUCAGGUGAAGUGAUGGCUUCUGAUGUGAGGAGUGAAGAAGGAGACCCAUGAAAGAGUCUGGGAAACUAAAAGUGAAGGAGUGAAGGGCUGCACGUGAAUAGAUCUAGGUUUAAUAUAUAUAAUCACACGUGCUCAGUCCUAUAAUUAUAGCGUACUAGCGUAGGCUUGGAAAACUAGCCUAUAAAAGACUAUAAGAACACAACAGAUCUAUACCUCGGGCUUUCAGGCUUCACAAAAAUUUUAAAGUUAAGGACCGGGACUGGACCGGCUUUAAUUAGGACCGGACCGGACCGGUGAAAAACAGAAUCAAGAUCAUGAAAAAGCUCGACUUGGACCGGGUUUUCUUUCUUGCUCGGGCUUUAUGCCCAGCCCUAAUAGAUUAUGGAUAUGAUAAUUAUAUUAGUUCAUCUUCUUAUCUAUUAGAUGUUAUUGUGCUAGAGAUUGCCCUGUUUGAAAACAAGCUAUUGCUCAAGUUUGUUUUUCUUUAAUGUUAUGUUUUAGGUGCUUAAGUUCUGCUGCUUUUAAUAUUAUUAGUUAUGCACUUAACUUAUUUCUUAUGGUUACGGAAUAGACUAAAUUUAGAAUUUUAUUUGGUAAUGUAAUGAACUUAUUUCAUAUUUUAGUAUAUUUUUUAUUUAUUAAAAAUAUAUAAAUAUAUAAUUUUGUUUGCCGUGUCGGAAACUCAGUUUUUGAGUUUUGCCAUGUCGCCGUAUCGUGUCGUGUCGUGUCGCCGUGUCCGUGUCCGUGUCCAUGCAAGUUAGCCUACAACACUAAUCGAAGAGGAACUUGACAACUACCUUUACGGUCUCUGCCGGAUUUUGCCCUCGCCGGAAUCACCUGUCGGAUUCCGGCAACUUGCCGGAAAACUCCACCGGAUUCCGACGACUUACCGGAAUUUCACCAUGGCCUCCCUGUAAACUAUGAAUCACCAAGUUAUCGACAUGAAAUUCACCAAACAACAAUUAGCUUCUUUCAAACCCACAUAGCAGCAACACAACAGUUCAAAAUACAACCCUUACCUCAAAUCUUCUCAAUUCCACAAUCCCACUAGCUCGUCUAUGCUGGUUUCUCCACAUACCAAACCACUACACACCAAGACACUCAAUCAACAACCACCCCAACACUAAAUCAAUCAACACAACAACUCUAAAAGACACUACCUUACCUUAGGUGACCAACUAACAACAAGGUUAUGGCGUAGCAGUCCUCAGCCGAAAACUCAACCCUGCCUUCCUCCAUAAUCACCACUACUGCUUCCAAGAUGUAAUUAAACUGCUUUGAAGUUCCACCAGCACUCAACAAGAUUGCCAGAGACUCAAGAACACAGUCGCCGGAGACCCCGACGUGAACUCAGAAGAAACAGAGGAAAAGGGAUUUUUGAUUAGGUUCUGAUUUGAAGGAAAUAAAAGCACUAGACUGCUCAUAAGGAAGAGAGGAGGAAGGGACUCACUGUCGUUGGGUGGUCCAGUGACCGGAGCUCAAACCCUUGUCAAAAAACAAUGAAGUGCAAAGAAAAAGGGAUUUUAACAUUAGAGUUUGAUUCAAGAAAAGAAAGGCACCGGAAUGUGAAGAAGGAAGAGAGGAAGCUAACCCUACCAUUUACUCGUCAAGCCGUGGCCGGAAUCUCGAGGACUCGCCGAAAACAGCCGAGGCUUCUCUCCCUCGAUUUGGCUUUGAAUCGGACUAAAAUCGAGUUCUAUGGACCAGGUUAGAUAGAAGAGAUGGAGACGAAGAGAUUAGAGGUGGUCUCGUCGCCAGGGGUGGCCGGAGACGACGGCGUCGUGCGAAGGACGCCCUAGGCAGGUGGAGGGAGACACAGAAGUCUAGACUCGGGUCAAACUGAGUGUGGGCUUCUUUGACUGGGUCAACCCCCUCUUUACCUUUUAAGCUUAAUCCAAUGGCCAAGAUCAAAAUCCUAAUUGAUCCGAUAGCCCAGAUUAAUCCACAAUUUUCUAAUUUAAAAACAUAAAUUUUUUUUUGUUUUGCCAACCUUUAAUAAAUCGUAGAAAAUACCUCAAAACUCCGAAAAUAAACCGAAAACACUGGAGACCCCGUGUCGACGCGCACUACGACACAUAGACCUUAAAAGAAGAAUUGACAUUUCAAGAAGAACUUGAAAAUAAACUCGAGUGUUAACUUACUAAGUUACCGAGUGUGGUUAAAUUUCUUAGUAAUUUGUAGAAACACCCGAUAAAUAGGUAAAAUUAGGUACGGGGCGUUACAAUCUCCCCACCUUAUAAAAAUUUCGUCCUCGAAAUUUCAAACUAAAAGAGCCAAGGCUAACAAUCAUUGGUCGACGACAUUAUGGUGUUGGUUGAAGUGUUAACACACUGGUCACGUGUUACACUAUUAUUUACUGCUUAUGCUGCUUAUACUUCUACGAGCUCACUAUCCAUUCUUUAAAGAAGUUUAUCGGGAUAUAAGUUAAAGUGUCAUGUACCCCAUGCUCACACGCAAUACGGUCUCACCGAGGCUACGACUAAUCAACUUUAGCUUGUCGCUCGAACAUUAUUAAUGUGCACCGAUCUUUGUAUUGCGUCUUGGGGCUAUGCAAUAUUUGCAUGCAGCUUUACUAUUCAUCUAUGACCCACCAUCAUUGAAUAUUGUUGUACUACAACUCGUGACUGUGUACCAGGAUCGACACAAAAUUGCAAUCCUUGAGGUCAAACUUGAUUGAAACAGAUCUUCAAUCUUUGAGCUCGGCUAGAUGUUAUUUCUAGGUGCCAAAUCGCAAUGUCACUGCGCACAAUGAGGGGUCAUUUGAGAUGAAUAAGUAUUUAUGUUGGAUAUGAAUCUCUACUUAUAAUCCACUUAUGUAGAAACCUUGUCAGGCGAUCUCAUUCACCGCUAAGUUGCGAAUUGUCACUUUGAUGAGACAAUAUUCUCUCCGUUAGGGGGAGAUAAGAACACAAGUGUUCAAGUGGAACGAUGUGAAUUGUCAUGGUUUGUCUCCACUAAGUCUCAUCUUGAUCCCAAAUGCUUAAAGUGUUAAAGUGAUGAGAUCACAUGCUGCAAAUAUGUCAGCAAGGAUUGAUGUCCUAUCAAGAGGACAUGGCGCGACCAAAAGGAGUUGGUCUUGAUGCCAUCACUAUAGAUGGUGAUAGGGUGACGCCAUAUGGUGGUAAAAUUGAUGUCACAAGGCCGUGUGGCUCCCGAAAAAGAGAGGGAGGCCUUUAGGUUCGAUACUUUCUCACACUAGGAAGAAAAUGAGCUUGGCACAACCUGAUCCAUUGAUCAGUGAUACUCAAAUCUUUCUCAUGAAGUCUGAAUUGUGAUUAUCGUUGGGGGACGCCUUAAUGUCAAAUCCAAUGCAUAUAUAGAUCUCUACAAGUAUUACACUAGUGUACACGAGGACAUGGGAUAAUGAGUCUACUAUCGAACCACCUUUUGUUGAUGGAUAUCAACUUAGUUGAUUGGCCUAAUGGAAAGAUGUGAUCCAGCAUUAACAAAGAGAUAGGUCCUUGGGCAGGUGAUGUCGACACCGCAAGUUAAAACCUAUCAACUCGCGUAGUGAGAACAAGAGCUUAGACUCAUCUUAUGGCGCAAGGUCUCUCACAAACCCACAUUGGGAUGAGAUAUGCUCUCGUAAUGGAUGUCAUUGCACUCCACUACUUCGUCAGUUUGGUAGUUUCUGAAUAACUGAACAUGCAGCCUAUGAAUGUGGUCAUAAUAACAUCUCUACGAGAUCAGAGAUAUACAUGAAGGUCUUAAACGGACUUCGUUCAUCCGAAUCAAGUGGCUCCAAACCACAAGAGCACACGUUUGCUAAAGGUAUUGAAACACACAUGGACUCUACUUGAUUUGGAAAGGAUAUGGUGAAUUAUGCCUUUGCGUGUUCAUUCCGGAUUUACAUGGACUCUUGAUGGAUCAAGAGACGCCAAUAUGUAUCAACAUCUGAAGUUAAGAAUGAAAAAGAUCUUAGGAAGACAUGGUCUCGAAAAGGCACUCGAUGACUGUAUUGAUGAUGAUUUUCCAUCAAUCGGCUUAGGCGCUUUAACGAAAGUGAGGCCUACAUAUACCCCAUGAUUAGUCAAAGUCUUUACUCUAAAGAGAGAUCCGUUGUUUUGUCUAAAGAAAGAUGACAAAUAUGUGUUAAGAGAUGAAGUUCCCAUCUAAGUACAAUAAGACGUAUCAAUAUACUCAACAUAAUACAAAAGACUUGGCAUCUCAUUCGCUAUGUAAAGAUAAUCGUAGGUAUGCGCCCACGCAAUGCCAAUGUAAUGACAGUAACUCAUUUUUCAAUACUUAAUGGUAUGAAAGGUUGAGGCUUAUUUUAUCCAUACAUAAGAAAGACACAUCAAAAGCGAAAUCAGAAUCUGUCAAGUUUUGUAGGUCAAAUGCCACAGGACCUACAUGAAAUCUCACUCACUGGAAAAUGGUGAAAUUGAUACCAUUGGAAAGGUCUAUGUGUCUACUUUCCAGGGACACCAACCAUUUGAUCAUACGUAUCAUAAAGUAGGACGGAUCUGUCCGAGAAUCUGAUUUUGGCAAAACAGUCAACUUCAACGGGACUUUAUGAAUAGCUCCUGAUGAACCAGAAUGUGUGUAAGAUACGGUUGGAAGGCCAAAUGAGUCUAGUUUCCAAAACCGUUUACGGUUUGUUCAUAUGUAUUUCCUAAAGGAAGUUACGGCUGUUCUAGUACCCGAAGGUCAUGCUGCACAGAAAUCUUUUUUUUCAGCGCGAACUUAUGUUUUAAGUUCACAAACGGCCUUCUCCUCAAGAUCUAAGUGUAAGAGAUCAUGUUUAAGAACAAUACGGCAUGAUCUAGUUAAUCAUUACCCAAUGCCACAUUUGAGACAUGUUAAAGAGCAUUGACAUGCUAAGUUAUCGAAACUUCCGUGAUUAGAAAGAAUCAGGAAGAGCCUUAUGAUCGAUGUAAAGAUCAGGGGGAGAUGCAGACUUCAGGGGGAGUCAAACACAUACAUACAUGUCACUAUCAAAUGUGAAGGGUGCGUUGUACUCUUUUUCUCCUACGAUCAAGGUUUAGUUUUUCUCCCACAGGGUUUUUGUUCCUUGACGAGGUUUUUAAAGAGGCGACAUAUCAGCACCACGAGCAUAGCGGUGCGCGGCAUAAGGGGGAGUGUUCUAGGAUAUUCCACAAUGUUCUAGGAUAUUCAAUAUGUGUGUCUUGGCCUUAUGCCAUCAGGAUAUGUAGUUAGAAUAUGACAAUGUAUUUCUUAUGAUUACCAUAUUGGUAUUUUAUAAUUUCUUAUAUAAAUGGCUCCUAUCAAUGAAUAAGAUGAUGAUUCUCUUGCUAUCUCUUUGUCUCUACACUUUAUACUCGAUUAAAAUAUGUUUUUGUUAGUGGGAAAAAGAUCCCCAAAUUGAGAGCUAGUGGGAAUUUUCCCUUAUUUCUUUGUAAUUACCAAUUAAUUGUGUUUAUUAAAAACAAUUAAUGACCUAAUUAUUUUCUUUGAUUUUUUCCUAAAAAUAUCCUAGUUAACCACAUCAUUGGAGGCAGUUGAUUUCGAAAUCCUUUUUAAAGAAUCUGCAUUUAUGUAACGCCCCAGACCAUAUUUUUACCGGUUUACUAUCAUUUGGACAGUAAAUAAUUAUCAUUUUCAUUUUCACUUAUUUUUUUCUAAGUUUUUAAUGGAUCAAAAGUUGACCUUUUCAUUUAUGUGAAAUUUGAAGAAUCUGUCUUUCAUCAAAGUUGUAGAGAGCGGCGGUACGAGUUCAUAGACACGCGGCACACACAGAUUUGGGUCCGUUUAAGAAAGUUACGGUCUAUAGAAGUUUAAGGAUUCGUUGGAGUUCAAGGGCAAAAAGGUCAUUUAGUCACGGAUUAAUAUAUAAGGGUAGAACCCUAGAAGGGGGGAGGGAGCCCCUCGUUUUCUCUCGGCCGCUUAGGCUCUAGAGGGAGACAGAAUUUUUGGGUCAACCCGACCCGACCUGAAAACCCGUUUGGAUUUUCGCAGUCAGGCCGCCUUAGGGCACGACACCAGCGUCGUUAGGUGCUCCUCGCCUGUAAUAUCCCGGAAUUUCAAAUUUCUAUUUUUAAAUGGAAAAUUAUUUUUCGAGAUAUUUUUAAUUCGAUUUCUAUUAUUCUUUCAAUUCUUUGUGGUUUUCGAAAAUUAUUCAAAUUUCUAGUUUGUCAAAUUUUGUGUUUUGAGACCGUAGGAUUAAACUAGACGUCGUUACGAGUUCGUGGGAUUUUUUGGAGCAUCGUUUGGACAUCAAAGCUAUUUUUAAUGAUUUUUGAAAGUUUGGUAUUGUCCAAAAAUUAAUUAAAAAUAUAUUUUUAUGACAGUUUGAUCUGGGCCAUUAGAUCAUAACCGCAAGAUCUCAGCUGUUGGGUGGCUUAUUUGUAUAAGGAAUCAGAUCAGUCCAGACGACAACCCAGACCGACCCCGUCUCGAGCUACGACGAAGCUCGGCGCCUCCGUCCGUCUUCCGGCCAUCUCCCGACGCAAUACCGGUGUCCACAGGUUCUUCUGGAUGUCCCCGACCUCACUAUGUUCUUCGUGUUCGAAGAGGAGUUCCGGCGAGAGAGAAAAGAAGGAGAGAAGGAAUUCUUGGUUCGCCGGUGAGAUUCCGAUUCCAGCGACGGCGGCAAGCGUGAAUUGUAUUGGAAGCUUCCUCCCGUCCUUGUGGUCUUCCCUAUGUCCUCAGUUUCUUCAGAAGAGGUCGGGAGAGAGAGAUUCGAAGUGGAGAAGGAGAGGUUGGGUUCGUCGGCGGGUUUCCGAUUCCGGCCAAGUCGAGGUCUCUCACUGGUAUGGAUAGCUUCAUCUCGAUCUCAAGAACCUUUCCAUGUUCUUAGAUUGCCAAGACAAGCUCUGAGGAGGGAGAAUCAAUUAAUGGAAGCUCAAGGGGUUUCCCGGCAAGGGUUCGAUGUUUUCCGGCCACCGGCGAAGGCAAGUGAGAUAUGAAACUUGGUAUUCUCUUCGAGCUCUACCUCUGCAUAUGCUUGAAUUUCAUUUUGGUUGAGAGAUGGAGGAUUUGGAUUCUGGGCAGUGUUGACUGCCGUGACUGCUACAGUGUACGGCGGCAGUGGUGGCGUUUUGGUAUUUCUUGAUGAUUUCCAGUUGUUAUGGAUUUCUUAGCAUGAUUUUGAUGCUAUAUAUAUGUUGGAAUUAGAUGAAUUGGAGAAGGACUGUGUUGUGUUAUUUGGAAUGAAGGACAGUAGGAAAUUGUUGAUGUGGCUGUGAUUUAGUAUACAAUAAUUGAGAAUUGGAGGGGUUGGAUGAUCGGGAGGUUUUCUGUACAAGUAUGAUUUUCCGUGUUUGAUACGUUUUGGAUGUUGCUGUUAUACAUAUUAGAACUACAAAAAUUUGGAGCAACUGAGUUAUCAUUCACGUCGGCUGUAAUGGUGUUUUGGUAUUUAUGUAGUGAUAUCUAGUCACUAAUGAAGUUGCAGAGUAUGAAAUAGGUUUUGUAUGGAGUUGUAUAUAAUUGAAGUCCUGAAAUAGAAGAGUCGGGUGAUGGAGGUGGUUGAUUUGUGUAUUUGAUUAAUACAGAGAGCUGUUUUGGUAUUUUGUGUUGUGAAGAAGAUAUAGUUUAAUUAAGAGAUGAGAUGGAGCACGCAGAUUGACUUUGGUAAUAAGGAAGGAAAGUUGAAUUAGGUACUCGCUACUGAUAAGAAGAUGUUUAAUUGAAGCUAUUUCGGAAAGCUUGAGAAUUUUGGUGUCCAGAGUAAUUCUGCAGAGUUUAGAUCACUGUUUAGAGCAUAGUUGGGAUACGCCGACAACGUUGAUUGCAAAUGUAGAUUUUAAACGUGGGGAUAAUGCGAAAUGAGUACAUAUGGCAUAUGGUUAGGAAUUUAUCAAAAAAAAUGCGAGAGGAAUUAGAAAUAAAGAUUUCGGUGUCCUUAUCAAUUUCAAGGACUUGAUUUCAUUGGCUUGAAAUGAUUCGCCGACAUUCUCAGAAUAAGUAUUCGGUACGAGAAUUGGAGGCACGUUGCAGUUCCAGAAGUAGAAGGAUAAGAAUUUCAGAAUGUGUGCCGCGGUAUUACUACUUUCUGUUAGCGUCAGAACUGACACUAGGAUUCCAGGUAGGAUCUUUCUCGAGGAACCUUUUUUUAAAUUGAUAAUUAGGUUAUAAUUGAAAUGAGUGAUUUGUGUGACAUUGAUUUAUUAACUCUUGGUCGUUUUAUAUUUUUGUUAAAAACAUGUGUAAUCGUUGAAAUAUAUGGUUAAUGUUAUCGCUUUUCGAUAAAAGCAUGUGUUCGAUAUUGUUAUAUUACGCGUAUCGAUAUUGAUUGCAUGCAUUAUGCAUUGUGAGAUUAGUGAGAAUGAUGAUUAUGGAGAGGAGAAUGAGAUUAUUAGAGCAGAUACAUUUUGUAUAGUUGAGUUUCCUCAUGGGUUGUCCUCGAGAUCUAUGAUUAGCCCACACGUGCACAAAUCCAGGGAAAGUAUGCCCUUUCGAUGGUGACAUCAAUAAAAUGAUCUUAUCGGGUUGCAGAUCGGGAGACCAUGAGUAUAACAAGAUAACUAACAAAAGAGGUACAGGUGGUGAGAUAUCACUGAUUGUUAGAUCAUAUAUUCGAGACAUUUGAGUCACCCCCGGUUGGUAAAAUACAUGGUAUGGGACAUGUAGGCUCACAUGUCUUUGAUGUAUGGACUAACAACCAGUAAAUGAGGAAGCCAUUCAUUAGCAUAUAUGCAUCGAAUUGUCGUUUUAUUGGUAAAAUAUUGGUUGACAUUGUUUGACAACUUAAUUGUGUCACAUAUUUAAGUAUAAUUUAAGAGGUUUGGCCCUACUGAGCGUAAGCUCACCCCUAUAGAAUCUUGUUCAGGUGCUUAGGUGGACACGUCUUACAAGAAGACUAAUUGUGCCAUUUAGCUGACGUGUACAAGAGUCAACCAGGUUUACGGAAGAUAAGAAGUGAGAUAGAUCGCAAGGGCUUAUCUUUUUUGUUUUUGUAAUUGGUUUUGUUAUUUGUAAACGUUUUAUUUUUAACAAUUUCUAGAAAAGUAUUUGAAAUUGUUUUAUUUUCUUUUACUUUUUCCGCUCACGCCUUGAGUUCGACAUCAGGUGCUUGGAAACCACUGACACCGGGUUCGGGGUGUGACAUCGCCUUCCUCGAUCUCUGCCCGGCCUUCAAUUCCAUCAGUUCUUGCUUAGAACAAUGAUUUGAAGAGAAGACCAAGAACCUAGUCAAGUCGGGUAACCUGAUCGGUUCUCCUUUCUCUGGUCGACCCAGGCAACGUCACCACCCACGUUUUGAAGGUCUCCUCUCGUAUAUCUAUUCCCCUUAAGGAAGUAAGCCGAUUCAAAACAUGCAAGGAGAACUAAGAGGAAGAGAUUCGAGCCCUAGGAGAGAGAAACUCGGAUUCGAUUUGCUUUUGAGGUAACUUCUGGUCUUUAGACCUUGAAAUGGCUUUUGUGGUAGUUGUGAAUGUUGUUGUGCUUGUUGAAAGGAAGAAAUUGAUAUAUGGCUUGCAGUCAGAAUCGGUAGUUGGCGCGUGGGGUGUGUGCCUCCUCUGAUCUCUUGGUGGUUUGACUUAACUUGUUAGGUAGGGUUCAGUAAUACGAACCCAUCGAUAUAGUAUUUGUCCAAUUUGGUUAACGUAUGAAAUUAUUGGGUAACCCCAAAGUAUGGAUUUCCAAACUAGGAAGCUGUGAGGUUAUAAGUUUUGACCCUCGUAUUUGGGUUGAAAGGGUGGCGCGUGGGCCUACGGCUGCCGCUUUUGGUGGUGAGUGAAUAUGCAUAUGAGCUAGGUAAGGGUAAUGUUUACUUUGUUUUUAAAUGAAUAAGCAUGCAUGUUUUCUUUUGGAAAUUAUCGUUCUAUUUUCUGAGCUUAUAUUAUAAUUCUGGUUUAUUUGGGUUUGAUGCAUCAAUUAAGAGUUGGUCAUGAUUUUUGGAAUUGAGCUCGGGUCAUUAAUUUGGUAUUUGAGUUUUGAUAUUCUUUAUGAUGUCCGGAUUUAAUUAUUAUCAUCAUUAUUUGUUGACUUUGUUUUGGCCACAAUCCUCAGCAUGGGCAGAAAGGUAACUUAGUAGUACCAAAAAUAAACAAUGGGUGUGGGCGUGCCACCGCACGGGCGUGGAAUGAGAAUGCGCUGAUGCUGGACUUCUAAUCAAACAAGAGUUAGGCUCUGGUGCCGCCUUUUUAUUCGCUUGCAAUCGAUACUCACUGUUGUAGCAAGCAUAGCAAUUAAUCGGGACAAUGACCGUGGUCGAGACUGAACGGGCUCUGUAAACUAAGGCGAGAUGCGCUUUAGCGUUGGGGUUUCGAGAAGCUCAAAGAUUUGUUAUAGUUGUUGUAUGAUUUGAUUGUGUCUGUGAAUGAUUCUCGACCCCUCCUUAUAUAGGGGUUCACAGCUAGCUAGUAAAGAUGCAACCACAAUCCAAUUCGAACUCAGCAAUCAGAGUAACAACAGGACACGUCCCGCUUGCGAACUAAACCAUCAGAAUGACGGGUGUCCAGUUGUACAGAUAGACUCCGCUUAGGUCGCAAACACUAACCCCGCGUUAUCGAAAACUCUGUAGUCUCCUAUGUGAACUCAAAAAGUCUCCUUGCCCGCGAGGCGCUAAAGUUCUCAUAGGAAACCAACUCGCACGCCUCUGAAGCUCGCGCUCUUUAGUAAGCUUUAUCUUAAAAAGGGCCACAGGUACUGGCCCAAAUGCUAUCUAAAAGUUAUUAUUAGUCUUAGACCGAAAUAUCAACUGGGCUUAAACAUUGCCUCCUAGGCCUCAAGCUUUUGGCCCAUUCGUAAUAGCUAAGCGAAGAGGCCUUAAUGAGUACGUUUCGAUAAUUCAAAAUUCGAAAAGCGUUGACGUUACGGCGUCAUCGCCUCUUUUCAUCAUGACCAUUGAUUGAAAGGACGUUUCGAUUCGUCCCCUUUAAAAAUACUACACGGGUCCCUUCAUUUCAUCAUCUCCAUCCAUCCACCCAUCUCUCUCCUUUCUGCAGAACUGUGACGACUCAAAAUUUUAAAAAAUAAAAAUAAUAAUACCUAAACUAGUAUAUAUAUAUAUAUAUUAAUAUAUAUAUUUUCUUUUACUCUAUACUUUUGGUAUUUAGUAUUUCGUGUGUGUGUAUAUUUACAUAUAGUAUUAACAUGCUAAAAUUUAUCUAGUUAUUUAGUUUCUUUUCUUUUUAUUGUUAUUGUUAUUUUGGUUUAAGUAAAGAGUUUGUAGCCCAUAACCAAAAGCCUUGAUCCAAUACCCAGAAACCCAAACCCGAGCCCAAAACAACAUAGGAAAAGAAAAACAAAAGAAAGCUUGUUGUUGUAGAUUUGUAGAACGACAGUCGCCUUCUUCUUCCGCCCUCAUCUUCAUCGACCCCGGCCUCCUUCUUCCUCAAUUCUUUCCAUUAUGAAAACAUCGUUCAACCGCCUCAAAGAAACCCAGAACCUUCUUAAGAAAAGUCAAUUUUCACGGCUACCGCCAUGAACAAGCAGAACGUGUCAGUUGCCUGGAGACCAGCUGCUAAAUCUUUGAAGCUAUACCAUAGGAGCUAGAACCCUAGGGGUCUGGUCUAGCACCUAAACGGGUAAGAUUUCAGAUGCACAAUUCAAUUUUGCUUCCUCUGUUCUUAUCAUGGACUCCACGUUCUUCUCUCUUUCUGGACACUAUAAAUAGGACUAAAUUCUGUAGAAUUUUUCUGGGUUUGUAGUAGUCUUUCCUACUUAGAGAGAGAGAGAGAGAGAGAGAGAGAGAGAGAGAGAGAGAGAGAGAGAGAGAGAGAGAGAGAGAGAGAGAGAGAGAGUAGUAGAGAGAGAGAGAGAGAGAGAAGAAAUUGGUGUUGUAGGAAAUUGGCAGAAGAAUUCAGGUUUUGUAUUUUAUUUAUGUUCUUGAUCAAUUGGUUAUUCCUUUGUGAACCAUGUUGUGACUUAUGUAUAUAUGCUUCUUGUUAUAGAGGAUCAUCUUGGUAUGAAGUAAAGCAUUAGGAUUGGGUUUUUCUUUGUUGUUACCUACUGGGAAUUAUCUUUGAAAAGGGAAACUUGAUUUGAGUCAAAAGCUGUAAUUUUCUGAUUUUGGUCUUCUACUUUCGAAAAUCAUAAGUAUUUGUAGAAAAUUCCUUUUGCUGCGAUUCCAGUUACUAAUUGAUCUUUAGGAUGUCUGUUACAAUAGUUAUGAAGACACUAACUGUAAAUUCCCAACCAAGCUAUGUCGUUUUUAGCCAUAAAGUUUAUUGGUCAGGAAGUCAGGAAGUUGUUUUGUGAUUUCAUAUUUCUGUUUUUAAUUACACUCUUUGCUUUUGAAUUUUUGUUGUUUUGAUAUGAGAUUGUACAUAUGUAAUGAUUAGAUUAUAAAGUUCCUAUAGAUGUUACUAGUUCCUACAAUUGAAAGUAGAAACCAUGAUUUUAGAUUGCUUAAAGUUGCUCAAAAAUUUAGAAGUUAGAUUAUUGCAUAUUUUUCUGUUAGCUAUCUUUGUGGUAAUUUUAGGCUUUUUGAGUGCAAUCUUUGUGUGUUGUUUUUUUUUUUUUUGUAACAUUGAAGUGUUAUUAUUCAGUAAUCAAUAGUUUUAGUUACAUAAUAGUGUUUGUUAUGCUUUCAAGUACAAGUAGGCAUAUAUCAGCAAAUUUGCAAAAAAAUUUAGCUGAACUGUAUCUGAACUUUGAAAUUGCAUAACUAAUUAUAGAAAAAUCGUUUUGGGGUGAUUCCAACUCUCAUAGUUUCUUCUGUUUGCCUGCUAUAAGUCAUUAGAAGACCUUGAAGUCAAAAUAUCAACGGUUUUGUACAGUUUUCAGUCUGUUUGUAACUGGUUCAGAAAAGCCUGUUUGUGAAAGAAACUGUUUUGGUACUUUAGCUCUUGUUUUAGCAUGUUACCUAAUUCCUAAUUUAAGUUCUAAAUGAAAUGGAUUUAGUAUAAGAUUUUUCAACUAAUGAUUGUAUCUUUUUAUUAGGAACUUGCUGUGAGUAUUGACAAAGGUAGGGGGAAAACUUGGAGAACCUCUGUGCUUGCUCUAAUUGUUGUUUCAUUAGGUUACAUGCUUGUGUGAAAUUUUUGUUUCCUUGCUGCCAUUUAUAUAUGUAGGAUUUGUUUGGAUGUACAUGUUAUCAUAUAAGGGAAUGGAAGUGCUAUGCAUAAAGCACUUUGGGGGUAAAGAAGUUAGGAUUAAACUUUUGUGUAGUUGAGUCCUUGUCCUUGGAGGUACCACAUCCCACAAUGCUCGUGUAAAUGCAUAAGAAUGGCGCAAUUAGUAUAGGUGAAAAGGGCGGGAUUGACGAAAGAGGAACGGACAAGAUGACUAGCAAAAGGGGAAUGUGAAAUUGAGUGGGAGGUAGUUCAUAUAAAUGAGUAGCCUAAGUCACCCUUGUGAUAAAAUACAUGGUAUGGAACAUGUAGACUUAGUCUAUUCGGUUAUAUGAACUACAUGGAGUAAUUGUAUAUGCAUUGUUUAUUUUAUUAAAGUUGUUUAUGUUCUCUUGUUGGAAGAGGUUUUUGCCUCCUACUGGGCUUAUUAUGCCCACCCCUUUAAAUAUUUUGCAGGUGAGGAAUAAAUAGUUUGAAGUUGGUUUCUUCCAAGGAUCUUUUAUUUACGUGUGAAAUAUGUGUGUUGUUGUUUUCCUUAGAAUAAGACGUAGACUUUAGUCUACCUUUGUAAUGUUACUUUUUGGAGUACUUUGUAAUAAAGAAUAAAUUUUAGUCUAUUGUUGAGUUGUUCUUUUCCAAUUUCUUUCAUAUUCUAAUUAUGUAAAAUCUAUUUCAUAGUUAGAAUAUGAGUUACACCUAAAAAAAAAAUAUUUUCCAAAAAUUAGGGUGUGACAAGAACCUUCGCCGCCGUCUCCUUUACAAACAAGUCCAGAAAUGCCUCCGAAACCCAUCGUCCGAGACCCAAAUCUUAGUAUCACGUCGGCAAACGCCUGGUCCCCUGAUUUUACUCGGUGUUUUGCAGGAAACCCUCCUCAGGGAUCACCGAUCUACUUCCUUGAGACUGGGGAAGCCCUGCUCGACCCAACUCCCACACAACCUCUCUCGGCCGCCGAUCUUCAUCACUAUGUCGACUCCGUGCGUCGCCCAAUCCUCGCCCACCGCCGUGAACCUGGUGACUUUGUGACCUGGGCUUAGCAAGCUCGCUCCCACACGAACAUCCGAGUGGGAGAAUGGCCCAACACCACCGACAAAGAGCGGGCAUGGUAUGAAGCUCGCCUCUAGACCGACCUACCGAUCUAGGAGGCGGCGGGCAUCGCUGAAGCUAUUGCUCUGAGUUUCUCGCUGCUUAACUCUACUGACAGGACGCCUAUCGCUACGACGACAUGUCUAUGAAACAGUGCCACCAACACUUUCGACUUCCCCUUCGGACAGAUGAGCGUCUCUUUGCUGGACGUUCUUGCCAUCACAGGGCUGCCGAUCCACGGUAAGCCAUAUGUUCCGAGCGAUUUUGCUUCGACAGAGUUUACCUACACCAGCAAUCCGGGCAUACGACAUCCCUUGAAGUCCUCGUUUCCAAUCUGGAGGAACUAUUUUAUCUAGCAUGCAAAACAACACGAAAGAGGUAUUGCUUUCCUUAAAUAUUGGCUUAAUAAAUUUAUAUUCGGUGGUGGCGCCCAAAAGUCUACGGAUAAGUGGACGAAACUAGCCGUAGCAUUUUACAAUGGGAUUGAAGUAGGGCUAGGGCUGCUCGUAUUGGGCGCACUCUAUCGGGCCUUUCGAUGCUCGCCGCCCGACUUCCUGCCUGAGAACCAACUUCUUGGGUUCGCCGUGUGUAGAAACCCUGCGAAUCGGACUCCUCUGUCCUUCUUCGCCAGUCUCUCCAUCUUGUACAACCAACUGGAGCCACCUCCUACCAUAAACAUGAUGGUCCGUCGGUGCCAUCCCGAGGUCCUAGUAGAUGGCUUCUUUCCUCGGCCUAACUCCGACCCUAAUGUCAAGACAAGCUUCAUGAGGGCGGUUUCUUGCUGCGUCCUUUGCCUUGUUGAGGAGGAGCAAGGCUUCGAGCUCUACGCUCCAAAUCACUUCGCCAGGCAACUCAGCUUCACCCAAUGAGUCCCAUAUCCACUUCUUCCUUCAGUGAACAUGUACACUUCUUGGCGCAAAAUGGGUGAGGCGAGCCAUAUUACCCCGCUGGAGAAUAUCUUCCCUUUCACUCUAGCCUUGCUCGAAAUUGAGCCUUCGCUGGGUGUCGAUCCCGCCUAUCUCUCAUGUGGCAAUCACUCUCUGACAAUCACUGGGAGUAUGCAGACGAUGUCGUCUUCGCUGCCAUCUUCUCUCCCCUAUACGACACUCUAGGCGAGUCGGAUCGUACUAUCCUUGACGCCCAACACGGGCAAGUAGAGAGUCCUCGGAGGACAACAGCACGACCAAGGUCAACAUUGUCUCCUGCAGCCACAGUUGCUCGUCGGCCAAACCAACAUCGUCAUUCAGGAAAGGGAUUCCGCCUCAGAGGUAUGCUAGUGAGCUUGUAAUUUUACAACACCUUUUUGCCCAAUCGGAUUCCCUCUAAUUCGUUCCCCCCCUCCCCCCCUUUUUAUAUAGGUUGCACCUCGCCAAAGAUCUUCCAAGAGACUUGCAUCUGCUAAAGGGCCUGUAGCAUAGUCUAAUGAGGAGACCCUUCCGCCAAUUCGUCAGUCGACAGGCAGAGAGAGCUCGCGCAAGCGCCCUACCGAGGAUGAAGAAGAAGAAACGGAUGAAAGGCGCUACCAGGAGCAGUUUGGUUUGGUAAGCAUCUCAUUCUUAAACCCACUUUACUCAAGUUUGCAAUGUGAUUACUAACUUUCACCUCAUAGGUAUGGCACCGCCAUGUCCGCCCCCGCAUGGUCCACUGAUUUUACUUGUGUUUUGCAAGGAAGCCUCCUCAAGGAUCACCGAUCUACUUCCUUGAGACUACGGAAGCCCUGCUCAGCCCAACUCCCUCACAACCUCUCUCGACCGCCGAUCUUCAUCACUAUGUUGACUCCGUACGCCGCCCAGUCCUCGCCCACCGUCGUGAACCUGAUGACUUUGCGAUCUGGGCUCAGCAAGCUCGCUCCCACACGACCAUCCGAGUGGGAGAAUGGCCCAACGCCACCAACGAAGAACGGGCAUGGUAUGAGGCUCGCCUCCAAACCGACCUACCGAUCUAGGAAGCGGGGAGCAUCGCCGAAGCUAUUGCUCUGAGUUUCUCGCAGCUUAACUCCACUGACAGGGCGCCUAUCUGUAACGCCCCAAACUGCACCUCCUCAGCUUAGGCAAGUUACAGUGCCGCGAGUCUCAAAAGGAGAAACGCAAGACAGUUAAUAUAAGAAAACAUUUAAGAAAAAGACAGCAGAAGCGUAAGAUUAUAUUUUGAGGUGUAAAAUCUUUAUUUUUCUCAAAGUAUUUUAAUUCACCAAGAACAUGGUACAAGAGAUGUUUAAAAAUAAUGAACUCAAAGGAAUACAGUUUCCCAAUAAGAUAUCACAACACAAACUUAUAACAGGAUUGAACGCUUUCAUUCCUCUCAAACUUAAUUUAAGAAAUUACCAAAUAUUAACGAACUUCAAGAAAUAGAAUUACGAAUGAGAAUACAACAAGGCCAACAUAAUAAAAUUUUGGAACAAGAAACUCAAGUAUUAAAGUAUAAGGUAAGCAUCAAAACAAGAUACCGAUCAUAAACAUGCACACCCAGCUCCUCGCCACUAUCCCGUCCCAGUGCACAAUACCUGCAUUCACAAAUUGUUGUAGGGGUGAGCUUUCGUCCUCGCUGCUCAAAGAAACUACCCAUGACUAGGUUUGAAAACAUAAAGUGGAGCUCCAACAUGAAAAUAUGCUUAAAACCAAAUUUAUAAUGAACAACAAACAUUUGAAAUGAAUAUUUCAUUCUCAAAUAAAUGUGGCGUCAUAAAUAUGUACCUCAUGGCCGGUCUUCUUCUGGACCCACUAUCCAACUUACCUCACUAUAUAUGUGUACAACAGGUAAGUGUAGCGAGAGUGUCCACUUACGCCAUAUCGCCUAGAGAAAGUGCCACACCUCAAAGCAUGUUAGACACUCCUCAGUCCAUACAAUCCCUCCGGAGGUUUAGGAAAUCGAAGCCCAAGGAAGUCACUAUGCCCCUCUCACUGUCAAGCCAUCAAUAACUCAUAUAACGGUUACAAUAUUUGUGAUAACCCAAUCAUGCAAUCUCAUAGAUGCAUUUAACAUUUUAUUAAACAAUAAAAUCAUUAAUCAAGGGAGUUCCGGGUCCCCUACCUGGAUUUCGAGGCUUUUCUCGUGAACUCCCAAAACGACGAGCCUUCCGCUCCUCGGGUAACUGGAGUCCCUAAUGUCUGACAUUUAAACCGUAAAUAUCUUAUCGAACAAGUAUAACCAAUCACGACGACUAAUUACCAAUCGUCAAAUCAACUUUUCAUGUUUUAACCAGAAUUGACCAACGUUUGACCGAUCAAUAUUUAUAAUCUUUUUCACCAAUUUCAUAACCAAUUCCACAACCAAAAUCUCUUUCGAUUUCCAUGUCUCUAGCAUAUUAGCCAUUUUAUCUCACAAACUCAGCAUAGCAUUUCUGACUCAACAUUACUAUGGACACCCAGCAUUCAAGUUCCUUUCACCAUAGUAUUAAAAUUACAACUUUCCACAGCUAAGGGCAACCAACUUUUCUAACUCCAAGUUUCAAAAUCAAUGAACCAUGUGUGAACUCAAAUAACAAUUUUCCAUAUAUACACACACAUACAUAUAUAGAAUUUACUUGGGACGAUCUGAUACCAUCCUUACAAACAGUCAAGGAAGCAGUACUCAACCAACAUCACUUUAUUUUCAGUCCUUAAUGAUCAAGAACCAGGAUUAUAAUAAUAGGGUACUAGCUCAGUACCAUCCAACUUCUUCGUGACUUAAAAGAUGAUCUUACCAUCUAGCUAACUUUAAUUAAUCAAUCAUACUAUUACCACAUCAGUAUACUAUAACAAUAAAUCUAAACCAAUCAUCAAAAGAUCACAACCAGUCUUCCAAAGUGUGAUUAAACGGGUAUAUACCUUAAACUGAAAACAGCCAAUGACAGCCUUUACUUUCCUCACAGCAACGUACAGAGAGUUCUUCCAUUCCUCAUCUUCUCCACCAGUCACCAAUUCUAAUAUUAAACAUACCCAAACCUCAGUUACAAAUAAAGUGCAUCAAAGUAAGCAACAUAGCGAUCAAAUUUCCAGAAGUCCAUACUUACUAGAACUAUUUAGCACGUUCUAGCUUCUGCUCAAAAAUAAAAACUCAAUAGCAGCUUUGUAUCUGGAUGAGGAGCACCUUAGCAGUAGCUAGAAUAGAUUCCUCCUUCAAUCUCCCUUUGUCCAAUUCCUCUCUUGAUCGACUGUGUGUAUAAGAGCACAACAAGGUUUCAACAUCAAUGAUCCAACAAAUAAUAACCCAUCAGUCAAUUUUGAAUUUUACCUUCGGAUUAAUAUAGUUCAAGGCGGAAUCCCUUCAUACUAGUCUGCUUCUAAUGAGGAACACCACGCUAGCUAGACCAAUCCUUCCUCUGCUCUCCCUAUCCACACGUGAUAACAAUUCGCUCAAAGCCAAAGAUGACGAGCUAACACCUUGACAAAUUUAACUUGAUCGAUUCAGCCCCGCAAGCCCCAAAGCAUAGAACCGCACUCGGAAACGAACCGAGGAAGACCCAAGAGUCACCGGACCGAGUUCUUCGCGGGUGGAGGAAUCAGAACCGACUUGGAGAGCGCUGGAGUUUCUAGGUUGGUCUAAGUCGGUUGACCAGCUCCGCUCAUUUAUAUAGCCUUUCCUCAAAUAACAUUACACGGUCGUGAUUAAGAGGUCACGGCGAGACUUGGGUCGUCACGUGGCAAUGAUUUUAGGGUUACAGUUUUCAGCCACGUUUUUUAUUUCUGGGUCGUUACAUGGCAGUGACUGUUUAUUAAAUUUUAUAUUAGGUAUUUUAAAUGUGAAUAAUGAUUUUAUAUAUUAAUAAAAUUAUGAUUAAAUAAACAAAAUGACAUAUUAAAAUUAAAUAUUUAUUUCAUGACUUAAAAUGACAUGCCAAGCCUAGAAAAAAAAUACAAUUAUUUAAAGAUAACACAAACAUAACAUAAAAAAAAAAACCGUAAUCUAGAUAUCCAUGUUGCCUUGCACUUCCCAUAAAUGCUCGAAAAAAUUAUAGGAGGGUGAUAUGUAUUUAUAGGAUUUAUAUAAAAAAAUUUAUAUAUUUUUUCCUAACCGUUGCCAGCUGUUUUACCGUUGGGAGCUUUUUUUACCCGUUGCCAGCUUUUUACCGUUGGGAUUGCAACAGUCAAUUCACCUGAGCCGUCAAUUUGCUUUUUUGAAAUGAACCAAUGGUCCAGAUCAAAGGACCGUUGCAUUUGAAUUCCCCGGAACGAGCCCAGGCGCUGACACGUGGCCCAGGAGUUCGUCCGCAGCGUCGCUAGGCGACAAAAAGCACCCGCCUUCUCGCUCUGUCCGCGCCAUGCAUCGCCUUCUCGGUCCGCUCUGCGCGCUUCACGUGGCUGACGUCGUGCUUCACAUGGCUGACGUCGACAUUUUGGGCUGAGCUGGAGACGAAGGCCCGGGUCUUCAAAAAUGGAGGCCUGGGUCAUAGGCCUGACCCAGGUGAAGACCCAAUGAAGGCCUGGGUUAAAGAAAAUUUGUGGGUGGACUUGGCUUUUUUUUUCUGGGUCUUCUUUCGAGGUGGCUUAAGGCCCGGGUGGUGUUUUUGGGGUUGGGGUGAACAUGCUCUAAGGCCCAGAUAGCACCAUACCUAUUUUUCUUUUUCCCUAAAUAAUUUCUGAAACUCUAAUCUUCGACAAGUCAUAACAAUUGAUCUGUAUGUCCGAAGAAUUUCCCGAGCUUCCUCACUAACUCGUUAAUAAUGCACUCGACCUUGUAAAAAUUCCUGAAGAUCUUCUCGAGCACAUUUAAAAACAUCGAGGUCGAUGACAAUUUAUCGAACGACCUCAAAUUAAGCUCGUCAAAUUUUCCGGGUGUUACACUAUUGCUGUGGCAGCAUGUUUAUGGUGAAACAUUUUUCCCCUUUCCACGAUUGCUACGAACCAAUGGGAUUGGUUCAUCACUUCUAUUUUUAGAAGCAUUAUUGGUUGAGCUUAAUUGUUGACUUGUGAUUUAAGAUAUAUAUUGAUCGAGCAUACUAAUUAUGAAAUGUGGAAUUAUUGAGUUAUUUGGUGCGGUAGAGUUGCUAAUGUAAAUAUAAUAACUUGACCCUUGUUGUUGAUAUAGUGGGUGGGUGGUUGUGGAUAUGAAGAGCUAACAGCUCUAAGGGUUGGGUUGAUAUGUUUAACCUACAUGGUAGAUUUUAUGAGUUAUAAAUUAUGGCUACAGGUGUUGAGGAUGUAGAUCGUUAAUAUACAAGUGUUUUUAUGAGUUUCUUUGUAGGUUAGGCUUGUCCACUUUUAGAGGAAGUUCGGCCGAACUUUUGGAAGAAUUUUCCUUUAGAGGUGGUCCCCGCAAGACCUUCUCGGGUUUCGAGAUGAAAUUUGGGACGGGUCUUGUCAAUUGGUAUCAGAGCCUGGUUAUGAUUCCUAAGGUAUAAGCUGUGUUAGAAUCUUGGUUUUGUUAUUGAGUGUAGGUUCAAAACUUCAUACUAGAACCUUAGUGAUUUUACAGUAGUUAAUUAUUUGAGUUGAUGUAAUGUUAGUUGUCUGAAAGUUUUGAUUUUUGUGUUUGUGUUCUAUGUCUAUUGGCUUUUGAGUUUUUCUUGGCUUAGUUCUUUGUUUAUUUUCGACAUAGAGAUGAUUGUAGGACAAAUUACUGGUCACUCCGCUAACUUUAGGGUGCUCGACAAUUUAGUCCGUUAUCUUUCAAUUUCAAUCGAUCACUCCGCUAACUGUCCAAUUUCACACAAUUCGGCCCAUCCGUUAAGUAGCCGUCCAAAUCGAUGGUUAAGUGCUGACAUGGCACACCAAAAAUCAAUUAAUUAUUCAUUUUUCUCAUUUUCCAUUUCUCUCCCAAAUUUCCAAUUAUCCCCCAAAAUUCCCAAUCUCCCCCAAUCUCAUUUUUCAGCCAACACCAAAUUCCCAGUCAACAUAGUCCGACCCUUCUUCCCUCUUCUCCUUCUUCUUCCUCUCCACAUUUUCCCCUCUAUCCCUCAAACUCUCUCACUCAGCUGCCGCAGAAGAGAAGAGCAGAGCAAUGGCUUUCAUCAAGGCCUCGAAGCCCCGCGCCUACUUCAAGCGUUUCCAGGUCAAAUACAAGNNNNNNNNNNNNNNNNNNNNNNNNNNNNNNNNNNNNNNNNNNNNNNNNNNNNNNNNNNNNNNNNNNNNNNNNNNNNNNNNNNNNNNNNNNNNNNNNNNNNNNNNNNNNNNNNNNNNNNNNNNNNNNNNNNNNNNNNNNNNNNNNNNNNNNNNNNNNNNNNNNNNNNNNNNNNNNNNNNNNNNNNNNNNNNNNNNNNNNNNNNNNNNNNNNNNNNNNNNNNNNNNNNNNNNNNNNNNNNNNNNNNNNNNNNNNNNNNNNNNNNNNNNNNNNNNNNNNNNNNNNNNNNNNNNNNNNNNNNNNNNNNNNNNNNNNNNNNNNNNNNNNNNNNNNNNNNNNNNNNNNNNNNNNNNNNNNNNNNNNNNNNNNNNNNNNNNNNNNNNNNNNNNNNNNNNNNNNNNNNNNNNNNNNNNNNNNNNNNNNNNNNNNNNNNNNNNNNNNNNNNNNNNNNNNNNNNNNNNNNNNNNNNNNNNNNNNNNNNNNNNNNNNNNNNNNNNNNNNNNNNNNNNNNNNNNNNNNNNNNNNNNNNNNNNNNNNNNNNNNNNNNNNNNNNNNNNNNNNNNNNNNNNNNNNNNNNNNNNNNNNNUUUUGAUUUUGGGAUUUGAAUUGUAUCUGUUGUGGUUCUUUGUGAUUGUGAGGGUUUAAUUUUGAGAAUUGGAGUAUGAUUUCAGAUGUUUGAUUUAAUGUGUGUGAAUUUGUCGAGGUGAUCAGCUCUUGAAUUUGAGAAGUGUGAGAAAUGUGGAGAGGAAGAAGAAGGAGAAGAGGGAAGAAGGGUCGGACUAUGUUGACUGGGAAUUUGGUGUUGGCUGAAAAAUGAGAUUGGGGGAGAUUGGGAAUUUUGGGGAUAAUUGGAAAUUUGGAAGAGAAAUGGAAAAUGAGAAAAAUGAAUAAUUAAUUGAUUUUUGGUGUGCCACGUCAGCACUUAACCAUCGAUUUGGACGGCUACUUAACGGAUGGACCGAAUUGUGUGAAAUUGGACAGUUAGCGAAGUGAUCGAUUGAAAUUGAAAGAUGACGGACUAAACUGUCGAGCACCCUAAAGUUAGCGGAGUGAUCAGUAAUUUGUCCAUGAUUGUAUGAGGUCAUGUAGGAGGAAUAGUAUUCUUCUCUUUCCAUUACUAGUUUUGACAAAAAUAUUUGGAGUUUUUGGUACUGUGAUCAGUUGAAUUACUAGGCAACUUACAAAGAACUUACUUAGUUGUUAGUUGUGGUGGAGCCAUGGCUAUUUGUUCCUGAUCUGUUCUGAUAUUUGUUGUUCGACUUUUCAUGGAUAAGUUUCGCUGGCAACUAUUGAUUGAGUCUGUUUGUGUUAAAAGUUUGUUGAUAGGUUGUAGGCAUAAUUUUCAUGAUUGUCAAUCCUAUACAAAAGUAAUCUCUCACCAAAUAUGACAUCCUUCCUUUCUUAAUUCUAAUUUUAACAAGUUUCAUUGCAAGUGAUAUUCAUUCCUUUUAAGGAGUGUAUUUCGUGUUUUAUUGCUACAUGAGAAAAGAAAGGAAACCUAAUUUGAUUAGGUUUUAUGUAACACCCUGGACCAAAUUUUUACUAUUUACUGGGUAUUCUUCGAGUUACUGAGGAAUUUAACCGUGUUCGGUAAUUUGGUGAUUUAACACUCGAGUUUAUUGUCGAGUUUUUCUCAAAAUGUUAAAUCCCUCUUUUAAGGCCUCGAUGUAGUAGUACAUGUCGACACGGGUUGAACGGUGCCUUUGGAUUAUCUGUCGGAGCUUCGAGUUUUUUUUUUCUAUGAUUUAUUAGACGUUUGAUCUUAGAAAUUAUCUUUCGGAAGAAAAUAACUUUUAAUCCGGGAUGUCAAGUCCAUUAGGGUUUGAUCUGGGCUGUAGAAUUUAAGCUUCAAAGGUAAAGAGGAGGUUGACCUAGUCAAAGAACCCAACUCGGGUUUGACUGAGCCCAACUGUGCCUCUCUCUCUCCUCCCUCGUCUCCCUUUGUCACUGCCUUCUCCAGCGCAGCACCGCCAUCUCCAGCCACCCCCGGUGACGAAACCGUCACCGUUCUCUUCCUCUCCUCCUCUCCUUUCUAGCCCAGCCCGUGGAUCACGCAAGCAAACCGGAUCAGAGGAGAUCGAAGCUGUCGAACACGACUGUGUUCGUUGGAUUCCAGCCAGCUCGGGCAACGGCGACGGCAACGAACGGUAGGGUUCUUCUCCUCUAUCCUUCUCCUUUCUUUCUAUGCCUUUCACUCUUCAAAUCGAGUUCGAAUUCGGAAAGCCCCUUUUGUGUUUUUAGGUUUACGUUGAGGUUUUCCGGUGGGUUUGUUCUAAGAGUUCCGACGGGACUACCGAGCUCCGGUGAGUUUAGAAAAGGUCGAAUGGAGCUCAAUCGCGCCUUGGAGAGAUUUAAGAGCAGUAAUCAUGGUUUGGAAUGGGAGUAGAAGCUCGAGUUCCCAAUCGGGGACUCCGGUCGAACUUCAAAAUUCGUCUUUAUAAGAAAAUCUGACAAGGGUCGAGGUUCUGCAGUUUGACUUGAGAUGGCUAAGGUAGUUCCUCUUUCUUCUCGAGCUGCUGUGUCGUUGUUUCUAUGUUGGAUCGUUUGGAGUUUGGUGACUGAUUCAAUGUUUUGGUUGUUUGUUGAGAACUUGGUGAUUCGGAGUUUGCGGGGAGGCUAUGGCCAAAUUCCUGCAAGUCUCCGGAAUCCGGUAAACUAUUCCGAUAGGUCGCCGGAAUCCAAUGAGGGUUUCGGCAAAGCAGCAGAUCCGACAGAGAACCGAGAAGGUAGUUCUUGAGGUUAUUCUUUCUAAUUCUAGUCGUAGUUUCCAAUUUAGUAAAAUCUGCCAUGUUAGGAAAGUUUCUAUUUAGGGAGACUUUCCCUUUUUGGAAACUUCUAUUUAUGGAAACCCAUUUUUGGGCGCCCUUAGUGAUUUUGGUGAGAAGUUGUGUAGAAAGGAAGUGAAUGAGGAUUGUAUGGAUGAAGAAUCAAUUGUUUUUGUGUUGUGAUCGAGGAUUUCUCGGAUUAAGAAAAUUGGAUAAAUGAGGAAUGGAGUUGGUGAAAGGUUUGUUCUUAUUGAAGAACUAAUUGAGUACUAAUUGAGUUCAAGUGAAGUAAAUAAUUGAAUUAUUAAAAUGGUUGUUGGAUUUGAAUUGGAUGGUUAAGAGUAAUCAAGGUAACCAGAAUUUUCAAGUCGAAGGUUAAAGUGGAAAAUGUUGAAGCUUCGUUAGUUGGCCAACCCUAAUUCAAUUGGUCAAACUUGGUCAAUUCUGGUCAACCCAGGAAACCUAGCCAAACUAGGAAGAAUUUGAAUCGAUGAUUAUUAUGGAGUCUGGUCUAACCAAUUUAUUCUUCUAUUUAUCGUCAGACGUGGGAUUGGCUAGAGAGUGUGAAUAGUUAGAGGCAGCGCUCGUCGAGUAUUCUGAGCAUUGGAAGGCUUAGGCCUAAUACUGUGAGUGGACUUUUGUUUUAAUUAAAAGCAUGCGAUGCAUUAUAUUGUUGAUCAGUUAUUCUUCUGCUGAAAUUUAUUGUUUUCUUUGAUAUUUGGCAAUUUUCAUCUUUUGGAGAGUUACCGAAAAUGAGAUUUUCGGUGGAUAUGUAUAUUAGAUGUUUAUGAGGAUAGUAUGUAUACAAAUGCUAACUAGCCAUACGUGCCUGGUCCAACAUAAUGAGGUAAAAUUUCAUUAUGGCGCGACAUGAGUGUUAGACACUAGCGUCAUAGCCCUAAAUGAAAACUACUUUCUUUUCUGGUUUAUUUAGGUUGUCAAAUAUGAAGUCCACACGUAUAGAAAUACACCGUCCUCUUCGGUCCGAAUGAGGAAAAAUACCAUUAUGGCGCAACGUGAGCGUUAGACGCCAGCGUUGUAGCCUUGUAUGAAUUUCUUUUUUUUCUAAAUUGUUUCUAGGAUUCAUACAAGGAGUCUGACGAGUGUAAAUACUUACGAAUAUAUGAUUAUAUAUAAUUUAGCCUGAGAGUCUCCAUUUUAUUUGAGUUGGUGACUAGCCGGAGCUAGUCGUGAAAUUACUAGUUUAUGAGUUGAGCGCUUUUGAGCUACCGCAUGCAGUAUAUUUUUUCUUUGGAAAUUGAAAUGGAGAAGCGUAAAUAUUUUUAUUAAUUUAUUUUUGUCCACUCACUCUAACGUGUUUCAAAUGUUUUCCCCUAGGCCCUUCGUUUUAAAAUGCUCAGUUGGCAGGUUUGCAUAGUUGAGGUCGGGCGUACGUGGAGAAGAGGCAUAGUCAAUAGUAUAGCUUCCGCUCAUUUCUACAUUUCUAAUUCUUUUCCUCUCAGUUAGAAUUGCUCUGAACCUAUAAAUGGUUGGUUAUGAGAUUUGUUUAAAGUUAGUAUUUAAUUUGGGUGGUGUUGUGAUUUGGGGAGCACGAAGGCUCUAGGAGUUUAUGGUUGGAUUUAAAUUUUCAGAAGUGUUUGCAGGUUUUAUUAGGAAGGGUUAUCCAUUUUCAAGGGAGGUUAUGCCGAAUUUUCGGUAAACUUUCCUCGGGUUUCAGGAUGAAAUUCAGGGUGGGUCCUGACAGUUGGUAUCAAAGCACUAGGUUAUAUGCUUUAGACACUAUGUGUUGAUUAGGUUUGUGAUGUAGUUGUUCUUCUUUUAUUUAUGGAAAGUAGUGUGCCAUAAAUGUCUACAUCUUUAAGACUAUGCCUCCGUACGCCGACCUCUUGAGUGUUCAUCCUUCGAGUUUGAAAAGGUGUAUAGUUUGCACCUAUUCCAAGGUUCAUUAAUUUAAUAUCUUUGAUAUUAAUGGUUGGAGUUGAUUUGCGAGUGGGGAACGAAAAAGCUUGUUAGCAUUCCUUUCAGGUAUCCAAUGAUUGAUUGGGUUAAGAUUAAGGUUUCAGAUUAAGAUGCUAAGGUGAGCAUCUUGUGCAAAUCUGUUGGGUGAAAUGUUGAUGAUUAAUGCCUUGGAGUUGUCCAUUUUUAGUGGGCAAGAUUAGAGUCAAAAAUUGGUUGAUGGGAGAUUUUGGUAUUGAGUUACAUGACUUCUGAGAGAGUCUAGUUGGAAGGAAAGUUCGAAGUAGUGGUGUAUUCUAUUGAUGUAAAAGUUAGUUGAAAUGAUGAGGUGAGGUAUCCAAUGGUAAUUCAAAGGGGUACCUAUAUGAGUUGUUGAGGACCCUAGUCUUGGGUUAAAUAAGGUUUUAGGGAAUUUGUCGCUAGUGAUUGUGUGGUAAGACAUUGCUGCAUAAAGAGCUAAAUGUCAAUUUAGAUAAGUCAUGAUUGAAGGCCAAUUUGCCGACUAUGUUUAUCCGCAGUAGAAAGCAGUUGGGAACAUUUUGGAAUAAUGCUGGUUAUGUCAGCACAUAUUCUGGUUCCUACAACUCUAAUUAUGGAUAAGUUUUUAUCUUUUGAGCAAUUUAUUAAAAUGGUGGUGGUAAUAUCUUUUGGAAAUGACAGAUAAUAAUAGUCGAUGAAUAGUAAGAUUUCUGAUGAUUUUGGUCUCUAUUGUGGGUUAGUUGAAGUUUGUUUAAGCACUAAGUGUAAUGACUUGAAUUGCUUUUCCUUGGGUUAGUUUUUUUCAAAAGUCAUUGGUCAGUGCGUUAUGACAACUUGUUGUUGUGCCACAGUCGGGGAAUUUUAGAAAUUGAUUGGUGGCACUAAAUGUUUUGAGUUUCAAGCAAGUUUGGAAUCGUGGAGUGAGAUGUCAGUUAUAUUUUUUUAAUCGUGGGGCCAUUAUGGUUUCUUUCGGAAUUCCAGGUGUUGAAGUUUGGUUUCCAGAUUUGUUGAGUGUUUGGGAAGAUGAUAAUGUAAUGGAAUUGAAAAGUAAUGGUGGAGUGAGAGCGAGAUGGUUGUGGUCACUCCAGUUUUAUGACAACGCCUGGUGAAUUUAUUACGUGUUGUCAUAGGUAUUCUAUAGCAGUUGUGUGGAGUUGGUGAAAGUGGUAGCAGUGGAAUAAAACCCACUGGAUCAUAGAACAAGAGUGUGUGGGUGUCCAAAGUAUUUUUUUAAACAAUGUCAUUCCGGGUGGUUAAUGUAAGUCUCAAAUUUGUGAUCGAAGUUGGUUUUUGACAUCAUUUCGUUCGUAAUGGGUGACUAACUACGACAUAACAAUGGGAGGAUCUGUUCUCACCUUAUUUCUAAUUCGGUGAGAUGGAGUAAAAUUUUGGUCGUGGUGUGUGUGGGAAUAUUUAAAUUAUUCCUACUGUAGGUUUUUGGGUAGCAUCCUCAGAGCUUAAAAUUAUGAAGUGCGAAUUCAAACUCUACGUUACAAGGGUUAGAGAUUCUGGUUAGUUGUCGAAUUUAUGAUAAAUUGGUUGUUGUGUCGUAGGUAUGGAUCCUGGAUAAAUCCAGUCGUGAUCCCAAGUGAGCUGGAGUUUAAUUAAGCGAUGAAUCUUGGAGCCAUAAGUCCUAUGUGGUAGUCUAAGAGUCGUGUGGUGAUGUUGAUUAGAUGGGUUGUGUCGUUGUAGGUAUAUUUUAUGAUGUAGCUUUAUGGGAGAAGGUUUUUCCCCUGUUGACUCAAGAAGGUUUUCCCUUGUUCACUCAAGAAGCUUUUCGAGUCAAGGUUUAUUAAGAGACUUAUUACUACGAAUAGUUGAUUUAUUGAUAGGUUGAUCAACGUCUCUUCUCGGGAUCGUUUUGUGGUGGGACCACUCGUUGAUCCAAGUUUGAUUUGGGAGGUCUUCGCUUUUUGGUUGUGCGUUCAUCCAUUGGUGUCAGGAUGAUUAGUUGAGGUUUCUAUUGCGAUUUCGAAACGGCUUCUGGCGGAUAUCGGAGAUUUGUGGAGCUUUUGAGCUUGAAGUUAGAGGACUUGCCUUUCGUGUGCUUUAAGUCAUUUCUUCUGGAACUUGAGCUGAGUUUUAGCCAUGAGUUUUGAUUCUUGCUUGAAUUCAUGGUUUUCGUUGGUUGGGGAACCACAAGGUGUAGUAGUGGAUCUUGUAUAAAAAUUUAUCUUUGCUUUUGUUAGUUGCAUGUUAUUGCAAGCUCGGGUAUCGAAUAAUCUUUUUGGUGGGAAGUCAUGGCCCUGGGAGGCGUAGGAGACUUGAGCAUAUCUGAUUUUCAGAUCAUUUUCUGCUAUCAGAUUAAUUAUUAUUGGAGGUAGAAAAGAAGUGUGUUUGUCGAGUUCAAAGGUUUUGGUAUUUGGAAACAUUCUUAUGGAACGGCUAGAGUGAGCCGUGUGCUUUUAAUUAUUGAAUUUGGGGUCGCGGUUGUACCCGAAUAAGUAGCAUGGCUGAAGAUGUAAAUUUUUGUCAAUGCUUAAGAAAGGUGUUCUAUUUAUGUGGAUUUCAACGUCAAGUUUGGCAUCAUGAAUUGGUUGUGCCAAUUUUUCGUGGGCAUAAUUAGUUAGUUUUUGCUUAUGGCAAGCAAGGAGGAAUAUCCAGUUUCCACAUGAUAGUCAUGUUUCAAAUUAUCUUCUGGUUUGUGGUAAAGAGAAUAGUGGAGAUAGCAGAAUCAGGAGAGAGUUGAAAUUCUCAUAAGCUGCUAGUUUGUGGUAUUCAAAAAGGUAAUGUAAUAGUUUUGGUGAAGAGACCUAAGUGACGUGGUAUUGAUCUUUUCAUAAUGUUAUUUCGAGAAUCGAGGUUAUCAUAUGUUGGUGGACUGGUCUCUUAGGCAGAGCAAGGUUGUCUUGUGGACUUGCGAGAGCUUUGACUCCAUGAAAGACUCUGCGAAAUGUCUCGGCAUUAGAAGUGAUUGUUGCAGUUCUGCAGUGUGUUCAUCCUUAAAAAUCUGUUCAAUUAGCGGGUCUUAAUUUUGACCCCUAUGAGCAUGUGGGAAUGUGUGAAUGUGUGAACUUUAGUUUCCUAGCAAGUGGGCUUCAUUGUCGAGCUGUGAGCAGUGUAAUGACGAGGUUGUUGCGUGACGUUAGGAGAUUUGAGCCCGAUGGUGAUAGCAAAUUUAUGCGUUUUAUUUGGGUUAGCUAUUUCCAUUGCUCAGGAAAGAGUGUGCAUACCAACGGGUACUCGUACACUGUCACAUCCCGACCCUUAUAUUUUUACCUUAUUUACUACCUUGGUUAUAAUAAGAAUUUUACCGUCUCCGUCAUUGAGGUAAUAGUUUAAUUGGUCCCUAGAGGGGUUUCGGGGACGAUUAUGUGCGGAGGAUUAUUCGUAGGAGGAAAAUAUGACGACGGUAAAAAAUGGUAAAUUUUAGCUAGUAAAAGGUAAUUUUUAUUCGGGUAUUAUUUUUUCGGGGUGUUUUAUUUUUGGAAUUGGGUUGUAUAUAGGACGUGGAUCGGGUAGGAGGCCCAAGCCUAUUUCUUCUUCUCUCUUUUCUUUCUCUCUUCUCUCUCUCCCUCCAGAGCUCUCUCUCCCCCGCCGGUUUCCUCCGCUCAGCUCUCCGCCGUCCGGCCACCGUAGGCCGCCGCUCUGGUCCCGUUCGGUUGCCCUCCGACCCAGCUUCCAUCCUAGGCCGGUGAAGGCUGCGCUAGCGCCGCCGUGAAGGAGUUCUCCCGCCUAGAACCUCGGGCUGCCCAAAGUCCUCCAUCGCCGGAACUCACUCCUCCGGCCACCAAUCCGGGCAAACUUGGUACGGUUUUGUAGAUCUCCUUCCCAGCAGCCUUGCCCUAAAAGGGCUCACUCCUGUUUGCUUCAGGUAAGGAGAAAUUUGAGGUGGAAACUCUAGGGCGUUUUUGAUGUUUUUGUUCGAUUGGCAUAGCUAGGCUUGGAUUUUGGGUUUGUGCUAGUUAGAAAAGUUGUAGAGCAUGAGGAGAGGAUUAUUUUGUCAAAAUUUCAUAAGAAUUGGAGGUCGUCGGAAUCGGCCUCUGGCUGCCGCUGCCGGCGGGGCUGGCGCCGGCGCCGGCGCCGGUUGGGAGAUUUUAAUGUUUUUAAAUUUGGAAUAUUAAGGGGAGUUUAUUGGAGUGAGUUAUGGAAUUUUUGGAUGAGUUUUGGAUAGGUUGGUGAAUUUCCGAAGUUUGGUAUUUUGGCGGUGAUUUAAUGUAGAAUCCGGCCGUUGGAUUAAAGUUGUUUAAACUGUGGGAAGGUGUAGUUACGGCUGCUGGUUCUAGGGUUGAAAUGUGGACCAUUUCGAAGUUAGGAAAUGACAAGCGUGUUUAUGGCUCUCGGUUAAUUUCUCCUAUUUUGCAUAAAUAUUGGAAUUUCGGACUAGGAAAUUUAUAUUAUUUUUGGAACAGGUCGUGAGGAGGCUCGAGCAGACGAGGCUCCAGAUCGACAUCAGGCUUAGGCCUAAUUUGUGAGUGGACUUUUGUUUUAAAUAAUGUGCAUGCGAAAUAAUUUAUGUUGUUAGAGAAUAACCGAAAUUGAGAAUUUCGGUGAGUAUGUAUAUAUAUCCAUAUUUGGAUGAUUAUGAGAAUAAUAAGUAUAUUAGGGAAUGCUAGCUAGCUAUACGUGCUUUUCCACCAUACUGAGGUAAAAUGCCAUUAUGGUGCGACGUGAGCGUUAGACGUAAUCGUCGUAGCCCUAUAUAAAUAUAAUAAUUUAUAUAGGGGAUAUGCGCGUAUAUAUUUAUACACCGUCUUUUCCACCAUAAUGAGGUAAAAUGGCAUUAUGGUGCGACGUGAGCGUUAGACGCAAGCGUCGUAGCCUUGUGUGAAUUUUCUAUUUGUCUUUGUUGUUUUAAGAAAAUUCAUACAAGGGAUAUGACGAGUGUAAUAUAUACAUAUUUUAUUUUAACCUGAGAGGCUCUUAUUUUUGAAGUGUUGGUGACUAGCGCGGCUAGUCACGUUUUGGUAAAUUUUUAAAAAGCUUUUGAGCUUGUUGUAUGCUGUUAAUUAUUUUUCCACAGAAGUUAAUUUAGGAAGCAUAAAGAUUUAUUUUCUUUUAAAAUUUAUUUUUGUCCACUCACUCUAACGUGUUUCAAAUGUCUUCCCCUGGGCUCUUUGUUUUAAAAUGCCCAGUCUGCAGAGUUCGGGUUGGAUCUAGUAGAAGGCGAGGCAUAGUCACCAGUUUUUCCGCCAGUUUUCAUCAAUAAGUUACCUGUUUAACCUACUAGUAUUUUCUUGCUUCCGCUAGUGUCUAGUAGCUCUGAAUACUUUAGGAUUAUUGUAUAUUAUCUCGGUAGUGUGCUCGGUCGGUUGACUUCAUGUUUAGAAUUUCUGAAGGGUAAGAUUUGCUGUUUUUAGCUGGAUAAUAUUAUGAUGUUUGGACGUGUUGUAAUAAGAGUGUAAAUUUGAAUUUUUCGAGUUAGGGUUGUCCAUUUUCGAGGGAGAUUUUAUCAAUCUUUACGGUAAAUUUUCCUUGGAGGUGGUCCUCACACGACUUACUCCGGGUUUCAGGGUGAAAUUCGGGGUGGGUCGUGUCAGUUGGUAUCAGAGCUUUAGGUUUCCUUUUCCUGCUUCCUUGUCACUAUCAUAUUUGCCUAAGUAGCACGUAGUGUCUAUAGAGUGAUGAUCCGACCGCGGCGGAUUCAUUGGCAUUUUAUGCUUUUGAUGCUAUGUGUUAUUGGGUAUGUGUGAUAGUUGUGUUAGUCUUAUUUAUGGACUACUAAAUAUCUUCUUCCUCAGGUACAAUGCCUCCUAGGCGCCCAUGGCAACCCUGUGUGGCUACUUCGACCAAUGCCGAUGAGGGCAAUGAGGUCAGGGGACUGGUUGAUGAUAUUGGAAAUAUGCUGAGGGAUGUCAUGGAUCGAGCUCCACGCCCUCCUACGAUGAAAAGGAGAGAAGUUUUUGAUGCUGGAGCCAGAGAGUUCAAGGGUGCCAAGGGACCUCUUGAUGCUCACAAUUGGGUGGACAAGAUGGAAAAUGCUUUUGCGAGCACUGAGUUGCCAGAAGAAAGAAAGGUGAAGAUGGCAGUGACUUUUCUGGAUGAUUCAGCACAUCACUGGUGGUCGCUUGCCAGCAGGAAUAUUGAGGAUGCUCUGAAUAUGUCGUGGGAGCAGUUUAAGACUCUCUUCUUGGGGCAAUAUUUCAAUCAUGCCCACCGCAGCAGAAUUCAGUCGGAUUUCCUGCAUUUGACGAAAAGGGAUGAUGAGGGUAUCUUAGAGUUCCAGGAAAGGUUCACUUCCCUGAGCUACCAUGUGUCCUAUCUGGUUCCUGAUGAGAAGACCAGGAUUGAAAUGUUCAUUGGGGCACUUGGUGGGGUAUAUGCAGACCAGAUGACAGGGGUAAUUUACCCGACCUUUGCGGAUGCAGUUGGGGCAGCCAUGGCCAUUGAGUCCAGGGAGACAUAUGGUGCUCGGCCCCGUGAUUUCAGUGGCCCCAGUCAGGGUCCAUCAAAGAAGACUGCUUCAUCAUCCGCUUCAAGGUCUUCUGCUGGUAGUGGCAGUAGUGGUAGAUCUAGCUCUGGUGUUCGAAGCAAGUCUAAGGGACGUUUCAAAAGUUCUUCUCGUAGUCAUUUGGGUAGGCAGCAGUCUGGGCAGUAUGGUUCUGGUAGUAGCUUCCAUGGUGGGUCAACCGGUAGCCAGACUUUUUCUUAUGGGGAGCAGCAGUUUUCUGGGUGCUUUGAGUGUGGUGGUCAGGACCACUUCAGGAGAGAUUGCCCAUUGUUGGCUUAGAGGACCACCCCUACCCCUACUCAGCCAGUUGGUCAGUCUUCAGCUAGAGGCUCUAGUAGUGGUGCCCAGGGUAGUUCUUUGGUCAGAGGUGGCUCUCAGAGAGGUGGUAGUCAGCGUGGACGUCCCAUGACUCGCGCUAGACUGCAUGCUAUGACCGAGCAGGAGGGUCGUACUUCUUCAGAUGUCAUCAUUGGUACGUUAUUAAUUUUUGGUCAGCCUGCAUUUACUUUAAUUGAUCCCGGAGCCACGCAUUCAUUCUUGUCUAGUAGAUUUGCCCUCCAUGCCAAUGUGCCAUCAUCGUCUCUUCCAAGCGAGUGACAUGUGUCUCUACCCUCCGGGGAGGUGAUGAGGAUAAAUUGGGUGUUUAGUGGUUGUGAAGUUUUAGUGGAAGGAGUUAAUUUCGAGGCUGAUUUAAUUCCUCUAGAUAUAGUGGAGUUUGAUGUGAUCUUGGGAAUGGACUUUUUGGAAGCAUAUAGAGCUGUGGUAGAUUGUUUUCAGAAAGUAGUGGUGCUUCGAAGUCUAGAAGGUUUUGAGGUUGCUUUUCACGGGGAAAGAGAUGUUAUUUCUAGUUGCAUAAUUUCCGCUGUUGCUACAAGGAAAUUGUUGAGUAAAGGCUGUCAGGCAUUUUUAGCUCAUGUGGUGGAUUCAAGUAUGGGAGUUGUGGGAUUAGAAGAUAUUCCAGUAGUAAGGGAGUUCCCGGAUGUUUUUCCUGAAGAGUUGCAUGGUUUACCUCCUACAAGGGAGAUAGACUUCUCUAUAGAAUUACUUCCCGGAACUAUGCCUAUCUCUCAGGCACCUUACAGAAUGGCUCCAGCGGAAUUGGAAGAGUUGAAGACUCAAUUGCAGGAGUUGGUAGAUAAGGGUUUUAUUCGGCCUAGCAUGUAUCCAUGGGGUGCUCCGGUGUUGUUUGUUAAGAAGAAAGACGGCACCAUGAGACUAUACAUUGAUUAUAGGAAGUUGAAUCAGGUCACAGUGAAGAAUAAAUAUCUGUUGCCUCGGAUCGAUGAUUUAUUUGAUCAGUUGAGGGGUGCCUCUGUUUUCUCUAAGAUUGAUUUGAGAUCGGGUUAUCAUCAGUUGCGGAUCCGAGAGGGGGACAUAGCCAAGACUGCUUUUCAGUCACGAUAUGGUCAUUAUGAGUUUGAGGUGAUGCCAUUUGGACUUACUAAUGCACCCGCGGCGUUCAUGGAUCUCAUGAAUAGGGUGUUUAGUCCAUAUCUUGAUUGUUUCGUGAUCGUAUUCAUAGAUGACAUCUUGGUUUACUCAAGAAGUGAGAAGGACCAUGCCAAGCAUCUAAGAAUAAUAUUGCGGAUUUUGGAAAAUUCGCAGUUAUCUGCUAAAUUUAGCAAGUGUGAGUUUUGGCUAGAUAAAGUUGGGUUUUUGGGUCAUGUGGUUUCGGCAUAAAGAAUUAGUGUGGAUCCCCAAAAGGUGGAAGCAGUGUCAAAUUGGAGAAGACCCACCACUGUGACGGAGAUUCGUAGUUUCUUGGGUUUAGCAGGUUAUUAUCGGCACUUUGUGAAAGAUUUUUCAAAGAUUGCUGCUCCUCUUACAAGAUUGACUAGGAAGGGGGUUAAGUUUGAAUGGUCAGAUCUAUGCGAGCAAAGUUUUCAAGAAUUGAAGAAUUGCUAGACAAGUGCUCAUGUUUUAGUACUUCCGGAUGAUAGUGGAGAGUAUGUGGUCUAUUGUGAUGCUUUUAGAUGUGGUCUAGGUGGAGUUUUGAUGCAGCAUGAUCGAGUUAUUGCCUACGCUUCUAGGCAAUUAAAGCCGCAUGAGGGGAAUUAUCCUACUCAUGAUUUGGAGCUUGCAGCGGUAGUUUUUGCUCUCAAGUUGUGGAGACACUAUCUUUAUGGAGCCAAGUGUCAGAUUUUUACCGAUCACAAGAGUCUUCGGUAUGUGUUCACUCAAAGAGAGCUAAAUAUGAGACAUAGAAUGUGGAUGGAGUUAAUCAAUGAUUAUGAUUGCACUAUUGAGUAUCAUCCUGGAAAAGCUAAUGUGGUAGCUAAUGCUCUUAGCCGAAAUCCCUCCAUAUCUUUAUCUCAUAUAAAGAUGGUUCGUGUUCCGCUUCUUUGUGAGUUGCGAGCUACAGGGGUGGAUUUAGCAGUAGAUGAGGUUGGUGCUUUGGUAGCCAGUUUUCAUGUGAGGCCAGUUUUGGUUGAUAGAGUGCGGGAAGCACAGAAUAAUGAUCCUUCCAUAGUUCGAUUGGUAGAAAGAGCUUUGAGCGGAGCCACAGCUGAUCAUUUCUCAGUUAGAAGGGAUGAGACUUUAUUGUUUAAGAAUCGGCUUUGUGUUCCAAAAAGAAAUGAAGAGUUGAAGAGUGAGAUUACGGAGGAAGCUCAUAGUUCUGCAUAUGCUACUCAUCCGGGUAGCACAAAAAUGUAUCGGAUUUUGAAGAAUUAUUAUUGGUGGCCAAACAUGAAGAGAGAAAUUGCAGCUUAUGUGAGUAGAUGUUUGAUUUGUCAGCAAGUAAAAGCUGUAAGUGUCACAUCCUGACGUGUCGCGUAACCGGGGUCAAACAACUUCAAUUUAAUUACCCUGCAAUCGUAGUAAUAUGGACAAGUAGGGAUUGUUCUAGCCGGGGAAACCAAAGGGCGAUCGAAAGAAGAGAAACCAAACAACUUAUAAACAAGUAUUCACAUAUAUACAUUGAAAUAUUGGGGGUUUAAGAUUGAAUAAUUCUAACAAAUCACCUACUGAAAAUUAAACAUAAGAUUAUUAUAUAUAAGUGAUCAACAUACUCAUGCAACACAUAACGCGAAAAACUAUCAAGAACACAUAACAACUUCAUGCAAGGCCGGGCAGCAACGUUCAAAUUAUCCUAGACUCUAACCAAUUCCGAUUCUAAUUAGAGCCUUUGCAGUUAUCUAAUUGUUAAGACUCCUCAAGUAUUUAGAACCAUCUUUGCGCUUAAUCCUAAACAUAGAUGCUAACUCAUUUAAAGACACGUUGCGUAAAGAUUAAACAAGAAAACACUUUAGCACACGAGUCAAUCGGAAACAUGAUCUAAGGCAUGGCGUCACUCAUCCUAUUAGCAUGCAAAUUAUCAAAAUUAUAUCCGCCCUAAGUUAAUAACAGAGACCAAGACAACUUUGCGUAUGAAUCAAUCCAAAAUUAUUAUGGUAGAUGAAACCGCACCUUAAGGACAACCAUGGCCGAGGCAACCUCAAGGAUUGAUUUAGAUGCACGAAUUCAUGACAAUUAAUUAAUUAGAAAUAAAAAACACAUAAGAACAUGCUACUGCCCCAAAACCUAAAUCACGAAAUCAUCAUAUAUUCAAGAAGUUAUAAAUCAAAACAUAGAACAAUCAAAGAUCACAAAGAAAUCCGAAAACCUUGUUUGAUAAAUAAAACCAAAAUCGAAAAGUAUAUUACAAUAGAGUUCGAAACCAUAUAGAAAAUAAUACAAGAAGCCAUGAGAAAAUCACACUUUUACAACCUUGAAAGAUUCGGCAAGUGUGGGGAAAAUCGGUGGAAGGAUGGAAUGAUUCUUAUGGUUUGUGGUGGAUGAAACGGCUAAGUAAUUUUCUGUAUAGGGUUUGGUAGAGUUUCGGCUGUGUAAUUGCAAGGGUCGAGAUCAUCCCCUUCUGCCCUUGAAGUCAUGCUUUAUAUAGAGGAAAAACCCUAGAGAAGCCGGCCACAAAGUUGAAACCAAGUUGGUUUAGGUUUCCCUAGUUUUUCUCAAUUCGGCAGAAUGACCUCCGUCUGAUGAUUACGUCAUAACUCCCUCUAGAAAAUAGAUAUUGAGGUGAUUCCAAUUGAUUUGGAAACUAGACUCCCCUAGCUCUCUAUCCAUAUCUAGCACGUUUUCCGAUUCAUUGUGAGCUGUCCUGGAGAUUCCGUUGAAGUUGAGAGACGUCCACAUGAAUUUUCCCGAAAUUAAUCAGGGUUUUCAAGACUUGGAUAUUCCUUGAUAUUCUGCUGAAUUUAGAUUUUCUUCUCCAUAUUGGACUUGGUUUGGACCUCUCCUUUCAUGGAUUAGGCUUCGUGGAUCAGCUGCUUUGCAUCCCUAGGUCCAUCAAGAACACUUCUCUCGGCAAUGAUUCAAGCAUAAUUAACUUCAAUUCUCCUGAUUCUUUCUCCCAUAACUCUUCUACAUAUCACCUAAGUAUCAGAGAAGUUAAAUCAAUUUGUGACAAUGUAAAAGCUUUACAGAAUCAUAAGAACAUCAGGCUCCACAAAUCAGCUUUUGACAAUUUUCUACAUCAUUCCUCUAUGUUAAACACGUUUUACACACAACUCUACCAAAAACUUCCAACUCUACAUUAUGACUCUAUUCUACGACAAUAAGAGAUAAUCAAAGUACAAAUGGAGGUAAUAACAUAUUAAGAAUGUCGCAUUUUAUGCGCCUAUCACAUCCCGACCCUUAAAUUUUUACCUUAUUUACUAGCUUGGUUAUAAUAAGAAUUUUACCGUCUCCGUCAUUGAGAUAAUAGUUUAAUUGGUCCCUAAAGGGGUUUCAGGGACGGUUACGCUCGGAGGCUUAUUAUAUGUUUAUAAUCAAGGUGAUCACUUACAAAUAUUUUUAAGUAAAAGUUGUGUUUGAUCACUUCAUUUCAAAUCACUUCAAUUACAAGGAGUCUGACGAGUGUAAAUACAUACACUUAUAUAUGUUUAUAUAUAAUUUAGCUUGAGAGGCUGUAUUUUAUUAAGUUGUGGUGACUAGCCGGUGCUGGUCGUGAAGUUGCUAGUUUUUGAGUUGAGCACUUUUGAGCGAUUGCAUGCAGUAAAUUUUCUUUGGAAAUUAAAUUGGGGAAGCAUAAAGAAAUAUUUUUAUUUAAUUUAUUUUUGUUCACUCACUCUAACUGUUCCACAUGUUUUCCCCUGGGCCCUUCGUUUUAAAUUGCCUAGUCUGCAGAGUUCAGGUUGGACCUAGUAGGAGACGAGGCAUAGUUACCCGCUUUUCCGCCAGUUUUCAUCAGUAGGUUACCUGUUUAACCUACUAGUUUUUUCUUGCUUCCGCUAGUGUCUAGUAGCUCUGAAUACUUUGGGAUUAUUGUAAUUUAUGUUUAAAAUUUCUGAAGGUUAAUUAUGUGAUGUUUGGACGUGUUGUAUUAAGAGUGUAUUUUGGAAUUUUCGAGUUAGGGUUGUCCAUUUUCAAGGGAGAUUUUUAUCAAUCCUUUCAGUAAAUUUUCCUUAGAGGUGGUCCCCGCACGACUUACUCCGGGUUUCAGGGUGAAAUUCGGGGUGGGUCAUGUCAGUUGGUAUCAGAGCUAUAGGUUUCCUUUUCCUGCUUUCUUGUCACUAUCAUAUUUGCCUAAGUAGCACGUAGUGUCUAUAGAGUGAUGAUCCGACCGCGGCGGAUUCAUUGGCAUUUUAUGCUUUUGAUGUUAUGUGUUAUUGGGUAUAUGUGAUUGUUGUGUUAGUCUUGUUUAUGGACUACUAAAUUUCUUCUCCUUCAAGUACUAUGCCUCCUAGGCGCCCGCGGCAACCCCGUGUGGCCACUUCGACCAAUGCCGAUGAGGGCAAUGAGGUCAGGGGACUGGUUGAUGAUAUUGGAAAUAUGCUGAGGGAUGUCAUGGAUCGAGCUCCACGCCCUCCUGUUGUGAAAGGGAGAGAAGUUUUUGAUGCUGGAGCCAGAGAGUUCAAGGGUGGCAAGGGACCUCUUGAUGCUCACAAUUGGGUGGAUAAGAUGGAAAUGGCUUUUGCGAGCACUGAGCUGCCAGAAGAAAGAAAGGUGAAGAUAGCAGUGACUUUUCUGGAUGAUUCAGCACAUCACUGGUGGUCGCUUGCCAGCAUGAAUGUUGAGGAUGCGCUGAAUAUGUCGUAGGAGCAGUUUAAGACUCUCUUCUUGGGGCAGUAUUUCAAUCAUGCCCACCGCAGCAGAAUUCAAUCGGAUUUCCUGCAUAUGUCAAAGAGGGAUGAUGAGGGUAUCUUAGAGUUCCAGGAAAGGUUCACUUCCCUGAGCUACCAUGUGUCAUAUCUGGUUCCUGAUGAGAGGACCAGGAUUGAGAUGUUCAUUGAGGCACUUGGUGGAGUGUAUGCGCACAAGAUGACAGGGGUAAUUUACCCGACCUUUGAGGAUGCAGUUGGUGCAGCCAUGGCCAUUGAGUUUAGGGGGACAUAUGGAGUUCGGCCUCGUGAUUACGGUGGCCCUAGUCAAGGUCCAUCCAAGAAGGCUGUUUCAUCAUCCGCUUCUGGGUCUUCUGCUGGUAGUGGCAGUAGUGGGGGAUCGAGCUCUGGUGCUCGAAACAGGACUAUAGGACGUUUCAGGAGACCUUCUCGGAGUCAUUUGGGUAGGCAGCAGUCUGGGCAGUAUGGUUCUGGUGGUAGUUUCCAUGGUGGGUCAUCCGGUAGCCAGACUUUUUCUUAUGGGCAGCAGCAGUUUUUUGGGUGCUUUUGAGUGUGGUGGUCAAGACCACUUCAGGAGAGAUUGCCCAUUGUUGGCUCAGAGGACCACCCCCACCCCUACUCAGCCAGUUGGUCAGUCUUCAGCUGGAGGCUCCAGUAGUGGUGCCCAGGGCAGUGCAUCGGUCAGAGGUGGCUCUCAGCAGGGUGGUGGUCAGCGUGGACGUCCCAUGACUUGCGCUAGACUACAUGCUAUGACCCAGCAGGAGGGUCGUACUUCUCCAGAUCUCAUCAUUUGUACGUUAUUAAUUUUCGGUCAGCCUGCUUUUACUUUAAUUGAUCCCGGAGCCACGCAUUCAUUCAUGUCUAGUAGAUUUGCCCUCCAUGCCAAUGUGCUAUCAUCGUCUCUUCCAGGGGAGUGGCAUGUGUCUCUACUCUCCGGUGAGGUGAUGAGAAUAAAUUGGGUAUUUAGUGGUUGUGAAGUUUUAAUGGAAGGAGUUAAUUUCGAGGCUGAUUUAAUUCCUCUAGAUAUAGUGGAGUUUGAUGUGAUCUUGGGAAUGGACUUUUUGGAAGCAUAUAGAGCUAUGGUAGAUUGUUUUCAGAAAGUAGUGGUGCUUCGAAGUCCAGAUGGUUUUGAGGUUGCUUUCCAAGGGGAAAGAGAUGUUAUUUCUAGUUGCAUAAUUUCCGUUGUUGCUGCAAGAAAUUGUUGAGUAAAGGCUGUCAGGCAUAUUUAGCUCAUGUGGUGGAUACAAGUAUGGGAGUUGUGAGAUUAGAAGAUAUUCCAGUCGUAAGGGAGUUCCCGGAUGUUUUUCCUGAGGAGUUGCCUGGUUUGCCUCUUGCAAGGGAGAUAGACUUCUCUAUAGAAUUACUUCCUGAAACUAUGCCUAUCUCUCAGGCACCUUACAGAAUGGCUCCAGCGGAAUUGAAAGAUUUGAAGACUCAAUUGCAAGAGUUGGUAGAUAAGGGUUUUAUUCGGCCUAGCAUGUAUCCAUGGGGUGCUCCGGUGUUGUUUGUUAAGAAGAAAGACGGCACCAUGAGACUAUGCAUUGAUUAUAGGAAGUUGAAUCAGGUCACAGUGAAGAAUAUAUAUCCGUUGCCUCAGAUCGAUGAUUUAUUUGAUCAGUUGAGGGGUGCCUCUGUUUUCUCUAAGAUUGAUUUGAGAUCGGGUUUUCAUCAGUUGCGGAUCCGAGAGGGUGACAUAGCCAAGACUGCUUUCUGAUCACGUUAUGGUCAUUAUGAAUUUGUGGUGAUGCCUUUUGGACUUAUUAAUGCACCCGCGGUGUUCAUGGAUCUCAUGAAUAGGGUGUUUAGUCCAUAUCUUGAUCGUUUCGUGAUCGUAUUCAUAGAUGAUAUCUUGGUUUACUCAAGAAGUGAGAAGGAGCAUGCCAAGCAUCUAAGAAUAAUAUUGCGGACUUUGGAAAUACAAGGAGUCUAACGAGUGUAAAUACAUACACUUAUAUAUGUUUAUAUAUAAUUUAGCCUGAGAGGCUCUAUUUUAUUAAGUUGUGGUGACUAGCCGGUGCUGGUCGUGAAGUUGCCAGUUUUUGAGUUGAGCACUUUUGAGCGAUUGCAUGCAGUAAAUUUUCUUUGGAAAUUAAAUUGGGGAAGCAUAAAGAAAUAUUUUUAUUUAAUUUAUUUUUGUCCACUCACUCUAACUGUUCCACAUGUUUUCCCUUGGGCCAUUCGUUUUAAAUUGCCUAGUCUGCAGAGUUCAGGUUGGACCUAGUAGGAGACGAGGCAUAGUUACCCGCUUUUCCGCCAGUUUUCAUCAGUAGGUUACCUGUUUAACCUACUAGUUUUUUCUUGCUUCCGCUAGUGUCUAGUAGCUCUGAAUACUUUGGGAUUAUUGUAAUUUAUGUUUAGAAUUUCUGAAGGUUUAUUAUGUGAUGUUUGGACGUGUUGUAUUAAGAGUGUAUUUUGAAAUUUUCGAGUUAGGGUUGUCCAUUUUCAAGGGAGAUUUUAUCAAUCCUUUCAGUAAAUUUUCCUUGGAGGUGGUCCCCGCACGACUUACUCCGGGUUUCAGGGUGAAAUUCGGGGUGGGUCGUGUCAUCAGCUUUAUGCCGUUUGAGCAAGAAUCCAUCUUCACCUUCAAACAAGUCACAAACCGUCAAGAAAUGGCAAGCCAAACGACGAGUGAAGGUGAUUUUUAAGAAGUCUACAAGAAGCAUAAUGAACGAAGAAGCGGAGGAAUCCUUGUCAGUAAACUAUGUUUCUUUUGAAGAGCAACCAAGCAAAAAAGAAGACAAAGAGUUUAUUGACACAGCAGAGCCUGCCCCACCUCAAAUAGAAGCCGAAGGACAAGCUGCUAUCGAUGACCUUCAAGAGAUCAACCUUGGGACAGUAGAAGAGCCAAAACCCAUAUUUGUGAGCGCACUAUUAACACCAGAUGAACUAGGGGACUACAUGUAACAUGCCAGACCCAAUUUUACCUAUUUACUAGGUAUUCCAUGAGUUACUGAAGAAUUUAACCGUGCUCGGUAACCUAGUAAGGUAACACUCCAGUUUAUUUUCGAAUUUUUUUCUCAAAAUGUCAAACUCUUCUUUUAAGGUCCCGAUGUCGUAGUACGAAUCGUUUAGAGUUCGUCGGUGUCUUCAGAAUUGUUUUGCAGAGCUCCGGCUAGUAUUAAUUUGACUGAAAUUAGGGUAAUUUUUUAAGUUUUAAAGGAAAAGAGGUGGUGGACUUUGGUCAAAUGCCCAAAGGGGGUGUUGACCGGCUCUCUCACUCCUCUCCUCGACUCUCCCUCGUCUCUCAUCCUUGCCGCGCCAGAGUGGCGCCGUCCGGCCAUCUAUGGCGACAAGACCCCGCCAAUAUCUUCCUCUCCCUCUUCUUUACAAAGUCUAGCUUUCAAUUCACCCAAGCACGAACCCUGGAAAGAGAUCGACGGGAAGAAGCACAGCGGUCCUUCGGCGAGCCUUGUCAAUGUCGGCCACGUCUUGGCGCCCGAACGGUAGGGUUCGUCUCCUUUAUCCUUCUUCCCUCUUUCUUUGCCUUUGACUCUUCAAAUCGAGUUCAAAUUCGGAAAGCCCUCUUUUGUGUUUUUAGGUUUUCGUCGAGGUUUUCCGGCAAGUUCGUUCUUGGAGCUCCGGCGGUAUUUCCGAGCUCCGAUGAGUCUAGAAUCGGUUGAAUGGAGCCCAGACGUGUCUUGGGAAGGGUUGGAGGAAGCGAUGGUGGUUUUGAACCGAGGUAGAGGCUUUCUGGCGAAGGGGGGUCCCUUGUUCUUCUGUUGGUUCUCCGUUUCUGUCAAGGCAGAGGCUUGGUGUGUCACAUCCCGACCCUUAGAUUUUUACCUUAUAUACUAGCUUGGUUAUAAUAAGAAUUUUACCGUCUCCAUCAUUCAGGUAUAGUUUAUUUGGUCCCUAGAGGUGUUUUGAGGGACGAUUAUUUGCGGAGAAUAAUUCGUAUGAGAAAAAUAUGACGACGGUAAAAAUGGUAAAUUUUAGCUGGUAAAAUGUAAUUUUUAUUAGGGUAUUAUUUUUCGGGGUGUUUUAUUUUUUUUUGGAGUUGGAUUUAAUGGUGGAGUUGGACCGGUUGGAAAGGCCCAACCCAUUUCCCUCUCUUCUCUCCCGUUUUCCCCUCCCCCGAGUCUUCUUCCCUGCCGGAUCGUCCAACCAACGUCUGCCGCCGUCCGGCCAGCCACCGGCUGCCGCUCCAGCCCAGUUCGGAGCCCCGCCACCUCCUCUCCCUUCCCGGUCUAGUGCCCCUGCCGGUAACGCCGCCGAGCGGGAGUUUUCCCUCAGGAGACGUUGGACUAUCCUUUGCCGGAACUCCCUCCUCCGGCCACCAAAACCGGCGAUCCUUAGCUCAUUUUGUAGCCCUCCUCCCGUGCAGCAACCCCUCCAUAGAGCUCACCCUCUCUUGAGUUAGGUAAGGAGAAAUGUGGAGUUGAAAUUUCUUGGGCUUUUAGGAUGUUUUUAGUCGAUUUCCCUAGUUAGGCUUGGAAUUGGUGUUUGUGCUAGUUAAGAGAGUUGUAGAGCAUGAUGAGAGGAUUAUUUUGUCAAAAUUUCAUAGGCAUUGGAGGUCGCAAGAAUCGGCCGGCGGAGCCGGCGCCGGCGCUGGAGCUGUUUGGGAGAUUUUAAUGUUUUUAAAUUUGGAAUAUUAAGGGGAGUUUAUUGGAGUGAGUUAUGGAAUUUUUGGAUGAGUUUUGGAUAGGUUUGUGAAUUUUCGAAGUUUGGUAUUUUUGGUGGUUAAUUAAUGUAGAAUCCGGCCGUAGGAUUUAAGUCGUAUUCUGUGGGAUGUUGUAUUUACGGCUGCCGGUAUGUUCGGUGAAGUUGAGCCGUAUUGAGUUAAGAAUGGCAAAUUUGGGCAAUGAUGAGUGUGUGGGAGGCUCACGUUUAAUUUUGCCCAUUUUGUUUAAUUAUUGGAAAUUUCGACUGGGAAAUUAAUAUUGUAAUUGGAACAGGGCGAGAGGAGGCCCGAGCAGGAGGAAGCCUCGGAGCGUCAUCAGGCUUAGGCCUAAUUUGUGAGUGGACUUUUGUUUUAAUUGAAAAGCAUGCAAUGAAUUAUUUGUUGAUCAUUUAUUUCUUUUCCUGAGAUUUAUUUCUUUUUCGAAUAUUUGGUAAUUUUCCUCCUUUGGAGAGAUCCUGAAAAUGAGAUUUUCGGUGGAUAUGUUUAAUGGAUAUUGUGAGUAUAGUAUGUAUAUAAAUGCUAGUUAGCCAUACGUGCUUGAUCCGCCAUAAUAAGGUAAAAUACCAUUAUGGUGUGACGUGAGUAUUAGACACAAACGUAGUAGCCCUAUAUGAAAACUAUUUUCUUUUCUGGUUCAUAUAGGUUUUCAUAUAGGGAGUCCACACGUAUAUACACUUGUGCUUUUCCGCCAUACUGAGGUACAAUUCCAUUAUGGUGUGACGUGAGCGUUAGACGCAAGCGUAGUAGCCUUGUAUGAAUUUCUAUUUUGCUUAUUCCUUCAUAGAAUUCGUAUAAGGAGUAUGACGAGUAUAAAUACAUACACAUAUAUAUAUAUUUAUGAUUAUAUAUAAUUUAGCCUGAGAGGCUCCAUUUUAUUUGAGUUGGUGACUAGCCGGAGCUAGUCGUGAAAUUGCCAGUUUAUGAGUUGAAUACUUUUGAGCUACCGCAUGCAGUAUAUUUUUCUUUGGAAAUUAAAAUGGGGAAACAUAAAUAUGUUUAUUAAUUUAUUUUUGUCCACUCACUCUAACGGUUUCAAAUGUCUUUCCCUAGGCCCUUCGUUUUAAAAUGCCCAGUCUGCAGAGUUCGGGUUGGAUCUAGUAGGAGGCGAGGCAUAGUCACCCGCAUUUCCGCCUGUUUUCAUCAGUAGGUUACCUGUUUAACCUACUAGUGUUUUCUUGCUUCCGCUAGUGUUUUCUUGCUUCCGCUAGUGUUUAGUAGCUCUAAAUACUUUGGGAUUUUUGUAUAUUAUUUCGGUGGUGUGCUCGGUCGGUUGACUUUAUCUUUAGAAUUUCUGAAGGAUAAUGUUUGCUGUUUUUAGCUGGAUAAUAUUGUGAUGUUUGGACGUAUUGUAAUAAGAUCGUAAAUUUGAAAUUUUCAAGUUAGGGUUGUCCAUUUUCAAGGGAGGUUUUAUAAAUCUUUACGGUAAAUUUUCCUUGGAGGUGGUCCCCGCAAGACUUACUCUGGGUUUCAGGGUGAAAUUUGAGGUGGGUCGUGUCAGUUGGUAUCAGAGCUUUAGGUUUCCUUUUCCUGCUUCCUUGUCACUAUCAUAUUUGCCUAAGUAGCACGUAGUGUCUAUAGAGUGAUGAUCCGACCGCGGCGGAUUCAUUGGCAUUUUAUGCUUCUGAUGCUAUGUGUUAUUGGGUAUGUGUGAUAGUUGUGUUAGUCUUAUUUAUUGACUACUAAAUAUCUUCUUCCUCAGGUACUAUGCCUCCUAGGCGCCCACGGCAACCCCGUGUGGCUACUUCGACCAAUGCCGAUAUGGGCAAUGAGGUCAGGGGACUGGUUGAUGAUAUUGGAAAUAUGCUGAGGGAUGUCAUGGAUCGAGCUCCACGCCCUCCAACUGUGAAAAGGAGAGAAAUUUUUGAUGCUGGAGCCAGAGAGUUCAAGGGUGCCAAAGGACCUCUUGAUGCUCACAAUUGGGUAGACAAGAUGGAAAAUGCUUUUGCGAGCACUGAGCUGCCAGAAGAAAGAAAGGUGAAGAUGGCAGUGACUUUUCUGGAUGAUUCAGCACAUCACUGGUGGUCGCUUGCCAGCAGGAAUAUUGAGUAUGCUCUGAAUAUGUCGUGGGAGCAGUUUAAGACUCUCUUCUUGGGGCAGUAUUUCAAUCAUGCCCACCGCAGCAGAAUUCAUUCAGAUUUCCUGCAUAUGACGAAGAGGGAUGAUGAGGGUAUCUUACAGUUCCAGGAAAGGUUCACUUCCCUGAGCUACCAUGUGUCAUAUCUGGUUCCUGAUGAGAAGACCAGGAUUGAGAUAUUCAUUGGGGCACUUGGUGGGGUGUAUGCGGACAAUAUGACAGGGGUAAUUUACCCGACCUUUCCGGAUGCAGUUGGUGCAGCCGUGGCCAUUGAGUUCAGGGGGACAUAUGGUGUUCGGCCCCGUGAUUACGGUGGCCCUAGUCAGGGUCCAUCCAAGAAGGCUGCUUCAUCAUCCGCUUUUGGGUCUUCUGGUGGUAGUGGCAGUAGUGGGGGAUCGAGCUCUAGUGCUCGAAACAGGACUAGAGGACUUUUCAGGAGACCUUCUCGGAGUCAUUUGGGUAGGCAGCAGUCUGGGCAGUAUGGUUUUGGUGGUAGCUUCCAUGGUGGGUCAUCCGGUAGCCAGACUUUUUCUUAUGGGCAGCAGCAGUUUUCUGGGUGCUUUGAGUGUGGUGGUCAAGACCGCUUCAGGAGAGAUUGCCCAUUGUUGGCUAAGAGGACCACCCUCACCCCUACUCAGCUAGUUGGUCAGUUUUCAGCUAGGGGCUCUAGUAGCGGUGCCCAGGACUGCAUGCUAUGACCGAGUAGGAGGGUCGUACUUCUUCAGAUGUCAUCAUUGGUACGUUAUUAAUUUUCGGUCAGCCUGCAUUUACUUUAUUUGAUCCCGGAGCCACGCCUUCAUUCAUGUCUAGUAGAUUUUCCCUCCAUGCUAAUGUGCCAUCAUCGUCUCUUCCAGGCGAGUGGCAUGUGUCUCUACCCUCCGGUGAGGUGAUGAGAAUAAAUUGGGUGUUUAGUGGUUGUGAAGUUUUAUUGGAAGGAGUUAAUUUCGAGGCUGAUUUAAUUCCUUUAGAGAUAGUGGAGUUUGAUGUGAUCUUGGGAAUGGACUUUUUGGAAGCAUAUAGAGCUAUGGUAGAUUGUUUUCAAAAAGUAGUGGUGCUUCGAAGUCCAGAUGGUUUUGAGGUUGCUUUCCAAGGGGAAAGAGAUGUUAUUUCUAGUUGCAUAAUUUCCGUUGUUGCUGCAAGGAAAUUGUUGAGUAAAGGUUGUCACGCAUAUUUAGCUCAUGUGGUGGAUUCAAGUAUGGAAGUUGUGGGAUUAGAAGAUAUUUCCUAUUGUAAGGGAGUUUCCGGAUGUUUUUCCUGAGGAGUUGCCUAGUUUGCCUCCUGCAUGGGAGAUAGACUUCUCUAUAGAAUUACUUCCCGGAACUAUGCCUAUCUCUCAGGCACCUUACAGAAUGGCUCCAGCGGAAUUGAAAGAGUUGAAGACUCAAUUGCAGGAGUUGGUAGAUAAGGGUUUUAUUCGGCCUAGCAUGUCUCCAUGGGGUGCUCUGGUGUUGUUUGUUAAGAAGAAAGACGGCACCAUGAGACUAUACAUUGAUUAUAGGAAGUUGAAUCUGGUCACAGUGAAGAAUAAAUAUCCGUUGCCUCGGAUCGAUGAUUUAUUUGAUCAGUUGAGGGGUGCCUCUGUUUUCUCUAAGAUUGAUUUGAGAUCGGGUUGUCACCAGUUGCGGAUCCGAGAGGGGGACAUAACCAAGAAUGCUUUUCGGUCACAAUAUGGUCAUUAUGAGUUUGUGGUGAUGCCAUUUGGACUUACUAAUGCACCCGCGGCGUUCAUGGAUCUCAUGAAUAGGGUGUUUAGUCCAUACCUUGAUCGUUUCGUGAUCGUAUUCAUAGAUGACAUCUUGGUUUACUCAAGAAGUGAGAAGGAGCAUGCCAAGCAUUUAAGAAUAAUAUUGCGAACUUUGGAAAAUUCGCAGUUAUUUGCUAAGUUUAGCAAGUGUGAGUUUUGGCUAGAUAAAGUGGGGUUUUUGGGUCAUGUGGUUUCGGCAAAAGGAGUUAGUGUGGAUCCCUAAAAGGUGGAAGCAGUGUCGAAUUGGAGAAGACCCACCACUGUGACAGAGAUUCGUAGUUUCUUGGGAUUAGCUGGUUAUUAUCGGCGCUUUGUGAAAGAUUUUUCAAAGAUUGCUGCUCCUCUUACAAGAUUGACCAGGAAGGGGGUUAAGUUUGAAUGGUCAGACCAAUGUGAGCAAAGUUUCCAAGAAUUGAAGAAUUGCUUGACAAGUGCUCUUGUUUUAGCACUUCCGGAUGAUAGUGGAGAGUAUGUGGUUUAUUGUGAUGCUUCUAGACGUGGUCUAGGUGGAGUUUUGAUGCAGCAUGAUCGAGUUAUUGCGUACGCUUCUAGGCAAUUGAAGCCGCAUGAGGGGAAUUAUCCUACUCAUGAUCUGGAGCUUGCAACGGUAGUUUUUGCUCUCAAGUUGUGGAGACACUAUCUUUAUGGGGCCAAGUGUCAGAUUUUUACUGAUCACAAAAGUCUUCGGUAUGUAUUCACUCAAAGAGAGCUAAAUAUGAGACAGAGAAGGUGGAUAGAGUUAAUCAAUGAUUAUGAUUGCACUAUUGAGUAUCAUCCUAGAAAAGGUAAUGUGGUAGCUGAUGCUCUUAGUCGAAAUCCCUCCAUAUCUUUUUCUCAUAUAAAGGUGGUUUGUGUUCCGCUUCUUUGUGAGUUGCGAGCUACAGGGGUGGAUCUAGCAGUAGAUGAGGUUGGUGCUUUGGUAGCCAGUUUUCAUGUGAGGCCAGUUUUGGUUGAUAGAGUGCGGGAAGCACAGAAUUGUCACAUCCCGACCCUUAUAUUUUUACCUUAUUUACUAGCCUGAUUAUAAUAAGAAUUUUACCGUCUCCGUAAUUGAGUAAAUAGUUUAAUUGGUCCCUAGAAGGGUUUCGGGGACGAUUAUGUGCGGAGGAUUAUUCGUAUGAGGAAAAUACGACGACGGUAAAAAUGGUAAAUUUUAGCUAGUAAAAGGUAAUUUUUAUUCGGGUAUUAUUUUUUCGGGGUGUUUUUAUUUUUGGAAUUUGGGUUGAUAUAGGUUGGACCGGUGGAGGCCCAACCCAUUUCUUUUUCCUUCUCCCUUUCUCUUCUUCCCUCUUUUCUUUUCCUCUCCCCGAGCCUCCCGCUGCCCGGUUUUCCGGNNNNNNNNNNNNNNNNNNNNNNNNNNNNNNNNNNNNNNNNNNNNNNNNNNNNNNNNNNNNNNNNNNNNNNNNNNNNNNNNNNNNNNNNNNNNNNNNNNNNNNNNNNNNNNNNNNNNNNNNNNNNNNNNNNNNNNNNNNNNNNNNNNNNNNNNNNNNNNNNNNNNNNNNNNNNNNNNNNNNNNNNNNNNNNNNNNNNNNNNNNNNNNNNNNNNNNNNNNNNNNNNNNNNNNNNNNNNNNNNNNNNNNNNNNNNNNNNNNNNNNNNNNNNNNNNNNNNNNNNNNNNNNNNNNNNNNNNNNNNNNNNNNNNNNNNNNNNNNNNNNNNNNNNNNNNNNNNNNNNNNNNNNNNNNNNNNNNNNNNNNNNNNNNNNNNNNNNNNNNNNNNNNNNNNNNNNNNNNNNNNNNNNNNNNNNNNNNNNNNNNNNNNNNNNNNNNNNNNNNNNNNNNNNNNNNNNNNNNNNNNNNNNNNNNNNNNNNNNNNNNNNNNNNNNNNNNNNNNNNNNNNNNNNNNNNNNNNNNNNNNNNNNNNNNNNNNNNNNNNNNNNNNNNNNNNNNNNNNNNNNNNNNNNNNNNNNNNNNNNNNNNNNNNNNNNNNNNNNNNNNNNNNNNNNNNNNNNNNNNNNNNNNNNNNNNNNNNNNNNNNNNNNNNNNNNNNNNNNNNNNNNNNNNNNNNNNNNNNNNNNNNNNNNNNNNNNNNNNNNNNNNNNNNNNNNNNNNNNNNNNNNNNNNNNNNNNNNNNNNNNNNNNNNNNNNNNNNNNNNNNNNNNNNNNUAUUAUUUUAUUUUGUCCACUCACUCUAACGUUAUUAAAUGUUUUCCCCUGGGCCCUUCGUUUUAAAUUGCCCAGUCUGCAGAGUUCGGGUUGGAUCUAGUAGGAGACGAGGCAUAGUCACCCGCAUUUCUGCCAGUUUUCGCCAGUAGGUUACCUGUUCAACCUACUCGUGUUUUUCUUGCUUCCGCUUGUGUUUAGUAGCUCUGAAUACUUUAGAAUUUUUGUAUAUUAUGUGUUAAAUUAAUAGUGUAAUUAAUUUUCGAGUUAGGGUUGUCCAUCUGCAAGGGAGAUUUUCUCAAUCUUUUCAGUAAAUUUUCCUUGGAGGUGGUCCCCGCACGACUUACUCUGGGUUUCAGGGUGAAAUUCGGGGUGGGUCGUGUCACAGAAUAAUGAUCCUUCCAUAGUUCGAUUGAUAGAGAGAGCUUUGAGCGGAGCCGCAGCUGAUCAUUUCUCAGUCAGAAGGGAUGGGACUUUAUUGUUUAAGAAUCGGCUUUGUGUUCCAAAAAGAAAUAAAGAGUUGAAGAGUGAGAUAAUGGAGGAAGCUCAUAGUUCUGCUUAAUUAUGCUGCUCAUCCGGGUAGCACAAAAAUGUAUCGGAUUUUGAAGGGUUAUUAUUGGUGGCCAAACAUGAAGAGAGAAAUUGCAGCUUAUGUGAGUAGAUGUCUGAUUUGUCAGCAAGUAAAAACUGAAAGGCAGAAGCCUUCUAGAUUGCUUGAGUCGUUGCCUAUUCCAGUAUGGAAGUGGGACCACAUCACCAUGGAUUUUGUUUUCAGUUUACCUCAUACCCGUGAAGGGCAUGACGGUAUUUGGGUGAUUGUGGAUAGACUCACCAAGUCUGCACAUUUCUUGCCAGUGGGAAAGAAGUUCAAAUUGGAUAAAUUAGCGGAGCUUUAUGUGAAUGAAAUUGUGAGGCUUCAUGGUGUUCCUGAAUCAAUAGUGUCAGAUCGAGAUCCUAGAUUUGCUUCUAAAUUCUGGGGAGCUCUUCAAGCAGCUUUAGGUACCCAAUUACUCUUCAGCACUGCUUUUCAUCCUCAGACUGAUGGGCAGUCCGAGAGGACUAUUCAGACUUUGGAGGAUAUGUUGAGGGCUUGUGCUUGGCAGUUUAGAGGAAGUUGGGAUAAAAACCUAUCUUUGAUGGAAUUUGCCUAUAAUAAUAGCUUUCAUUCUAGCAUUGGUAUGGCUCCCUUUGAGGCUCUUUAUGGGAGGCAGUGUCGCACGCCUUUGUGUUGGAAUGAAGUAGGGGAAAAAGAGAUUUGUGGCCCAGAGUUAAUCCAUGCUACGAAUGAGAAGAUUAAAGUGGUCAGGGAUAGACUCAAGACCGCUCAAAGUAGGCAGAAAAGUUAUGCAGAUGUCCGUAGGAGAGAUCUUGAGUUUCAAGUGGGUGAUUGGGUGUUCUUGAAACUAUCUCCUUGGAAAGGGGUAGUACGUUUCGGUAAGCGUGGGAAGCUUAGUCCGAGGUAUAUUGGCCCUUAUAAGAUAAUAGAGCGAGUUGGCUCACUUGCUUAUCGAUUAGCCUUGCCUCCAGAGUUAUCCAAGAUACAUAAUGUGUUUCAUGUAUCCAUGCUUCGCAAGUAUAUCGCCGAUCCUUCUCAUGUGCUACAAGAGCAGCCGAUCAGUUAACGAAAGAUUUGUCUUAUGAAGAGGAUCCGGUUCAGAUUCUUGAUCGAAAGGAGCAAGUGCUCAGAAACAAGACAAUCCCACUUGUCAAGGUGUUUUGGAGAAGUUAUCAAGUAGAAGAAGCUACUUGGGAAUCAGAGAAGCAAAUGAUGCAGCAGUAUCCCUAUCUCUUCAAAUGACAGGUGUGUAAAUUUCGAGGACGAAAUUUUUAUAAGGAGGGGAGAAUUGUCACAUCCCAACCCUUAGAUUUUUACCUUAUUUACUAGCUUGGUUAUAAUAAGAAUUUUACCGUCUCCAUCAUUCAGGUAUAGUUUAUUUGGUCCCUAGAGGUGUUUUGAGGGACGAUUAUUUGCGGAGAAUAAUUUAUAUGAGAAAAAUAUGACGACGGUNNNNNNNNNNNNNNNNNNNNNNNNNNNNNNNNNNNNNNNNNNNNNNNNNNNNNNNNNNNNNNNNNNNNNNNNNNNNNNNNNNNNNNNNNNNNNNNNNNNNNNNNNNNNNNNNNNNNNNNNNNNNNNNNNNNNNNNNNNNNNNNNNNNNNNNNNNNNNNNNNNNNNNNNNNNNNNNNNNNNNNNNNNCCGGCAAGGAGAGAGGGAGGGAAUCGGGAGAGAGAGAGAGGAAAAAGAGGGAGAGAGUGUUGGGCUUUCUCCACACAACCGGUCCUAAACCACCAAAUAAACCCAACUCCAAUAAUUAACACCCCAAAAUAAAACCUUUAUAAAAAUUACCUUUUACUAGCUAAAAUUUACCAUUUUUACCAUCGUCACGAUUUCCUCCUACGAAUAUUUCCGCUGAAAUAAUCGUCCCUCAAAACCCCUCUAGGGACUAUUUAAACUAUAAACUCAUUGACGAAGACGAUAAAACUCUCAUUAUACCAAGCUAGUAAAUAAUGUAAAAAUUUAAGAGUCGGGAUGUGACAAUUCUCCCCUCCUUAUAAAAAUUUCGUCCUCAAAAUUUACAUAAUUGACAUCAAAGAGGAAAGGAUACUGCUGCCUCAUUUGCUCCUCCAAUUUCCAAGUAGUUUCCACUACUUGAUGACUUCUCCACAGAACUUUAACAAGAGGAAAUGAUUUGCUUCUAAGCACUUGCUCAUUUGGGUCAAGAAUCUGAACCGGCUCCUCAUCAUAGGUCAAAACUUUCUUCAAAUUAAUCGGCUGGUCUUGCAACACAUGAGAGGGAUCGGCAAUAUACUUGCGAAACAUGGAUACAUGAAACGUGUCAAGACCCACCCCGAAUUUCACCCUGAAAUCCGAAGUAAAUCCUGCGGGGACCACCUUCAAGGAAAAUUUACCGAAAAUUCGGCAUAACCUUCCUUGAAAAUGGACAACUAUUUCUUGAAAAAAAAAAAAUCAAACUUAACACUUCUAUAAUCAAACCUCCAUCCUCAACUCCUGGAGCCUUCCUGCUUCCCAAGUUUAACACAUCUCCUAGUAUAUUAAAUACUAAACUUCGGGAAUUCCACAACCAACAACAAAGACAUCAUUUAUUCACUAACAGGUUAUCAGAGCAUAUCUAGUAAUGAAAAAAUAACAAUAAAUAAAGAUUAAGCGGAAGCAGCCUCUGACUAUGUCUCGACUCCAUGUACGCUCAACCUCAAUUAACUUAGCCAGCAAACUGGGCAUUUUUAAACCUAAGGGCCCAGGGGAAAGUAAUUUAAAAAUGUUAGAGUGAGUGGACGAAAAAUAAAUUCAAUAACUUAACAAUUAUAAAAUUUAAAUAUUUUCCCACUUUUCAACUGUUAAAACUUAACAGCAUGCAACUUAAAUGUCCUUAAAACUUUAAAUCCAAAAUCAUUUAAUAAAGGACAAACCAACCCCGCUGGUUAAUUAAAACAGAAAUCUCAUACGAGAAGAUAAACCAGCCUCGCUGGUUAAUCAAUUAUAUUAUUGAGAAGAAUAAAAUAAGGGGAAGAGUUAUCACCACAAAAAAGAGCCUCCCAGGCUCUGGUCGAUGCCUCCCAGGCUAAAAUAGCGACCCACGCUAAGCGCUCAACUCACAUAUGAUGAGGACCACUAAAUAAGGCUAUAAUAUCGUCCCACGUUAAGUGCUCAACUCACAUAUGAUGAGGACCGCUAAUAAGGCUAGCUAACUAAUAAAUAUAAAUACCGAUCGGUUGCCUCCCAGGCUAUAACAGCGUCCCACACUAGGCGCUUUACUCACAUAUGAAGAGGACCACUAAUAAAGCUAUAAUAGCGACUCACAUAUGAUGAGGACCGCUAAUAAGGUUAGCUAGCAAUAAUCAAUAUAAAAGCGACCCUAUAUUAUGGAGACUAAAAUUAUACGAAGUCACUUAAAUCCAUUAAACUUCCCCAAUAUCAAAUGAAUGGUACGGUUCCCAACCGUAUUUGAAAAUCAUCAUAAGAAAUUAUACUAAAACUCAAUGACGUGUCUCACAUGUCAAAAUAUUCUCGAAACCAUAUUAUAAGCGAGAUUUCAAUAUCAAAUAUAAAUCAUAAAUAACAAUAUCUCCACUCGAAAAUACUCGCUAAAAUAUUCUCCAAGUCAAAAUCAUUAUGCCUCAAAUAAACAAUUAAAUUAUGAUGGAGAACUACCGAAAAUCCCAUUUUCGGUAAUCAAUUAUUAAUCCCAAAGUCACCAUUAAAUCAAUCACAAUGAAAUCCGAAAUUUAUAAAAUAACCAAACUCAAAUAUCAAAUUAAUAAUCCGAGCUUAAAUCCAUAAAUCAUGACCAAACGUUAAUCAAUGCAUCACACUCAAAUAAUUUUCAAGAUCCUCUCAUGAGCCGAAAAUUAUAAUAUAUGCUCGGAAAAAUAAAAUGAUAAUUUAUAAAAUCUUACAUGCAUAUUUAAUUAAACCAAAAUGUCCACUCACAACUUUAGGCAUAAGCCCGACGAUAACCGCAUCGCUACUCAAGCGAGGUUCCCUUCGCAUCCUGGCACAACAACUAUGCUUAGAACCAAACUUCAAUUCCAGAAAAUAAAUACAUGAAUAAAAACAUCCAACUCUCUUCCGUUUAACCCACUACUCUUAAUAGGGUUAAACUCGCCGAAUUCGCACCAAACUCCACCACAACCUUAAUUCAUCAAUUCUAACAUUCUAUAAAAAAAUACCAAGGAAAUCCAACGGCCGGAUUUUUAUUCUAAUAACCGGCAAAAUCCUUAAUCUUUUAAAAAUCCCAAACCUUAUCAAAACUCCUCCAAAAAUUCCAAACUUCACAUCAUUAAACUCCCCUUAACAUAACACAUUUAAAACCCUGAAAAGCCCCCUUACAGAGGCCGGCGGCCAACUCCGGCGACCCCCGAUGGCUACCAAAUUUUAACAACAUCUUCCUCUCAACAUCCCAAACAACUUUCAUAACUAUCACUAAGUCCAAUUUCAAGCUUAAACAUGUCAAUCGAACAAAAACACAAUCAAGAACCCUAGAAGAUUCAAACCUCCGAUUCUCCUUACCUAGCUCGAGUUAGGAUGAAUCCUUUUAGGGUUUUUCUGCUGGGAGGGAGAGCUUCAAGUUGAGACCAACAGCUCCGGCUAUGGUGGCCGGAAAAGAGAUUUUCCGACGAAAACCCCACCACGCACAGUCGCGGCUUUCCGGCAUGAUUUCUCCUUCACGGCGGCGCGACAACGACUGCCACCUACCUAGACAUGUAGAGGAUGCUCCAAGCUUCAAAUCGAUACCAAGCACGCCACCUAGCUCGGCCGGACGGCGGCGGAUGGAGGUGAUGAAGUUGCCGAUCGGAGGAGAGGCGCGGGAGAGAGAAGAGAGACUGAGCGGGGUGAAACUGAUUUCUUACCUUACCCAUCCGGUAAGUUUCCAUUUUUAUACCCCCAACCAAAAUAAUAACUCUUGUUUUUAUACCAUAACUUAUUCAUACGAACUCCUAUUUAAGUGUGCCACGCGUUUGCGAACUCCGCUUAACGUCCUCUACAACUUUCAUGAAGAAAGUUUUUACAAAUUUUAGACGAAAGAAAAAGUCAACUUUUGGAGCCUUAAAUAGUAAACGGUUACUCAAAACGGUAAAAGCCAAAGUAACCUAAAAGUAAAUAACCGCAAAUUGACUUAAGAACCGGGAUGUGACAAAACACAUUAUGUAUCCUGGAUAAUUCUGGAGGCAAAACUAACCGAAAAACAAGUGAACCGACUCGCUUUAUAAUCUCAUAAGGAACAAUUCAUUUCGGACCAAUAUAUCUCGGGCCAAGCUUCCCACGUUACCAAAACGUACUACCCCUAUCUAAGGAGAUAAUUUUCGAAAACACUCACUUGAAACUCAUGGUCCUUCCUGCGGACAUCUUUAUAACACUUCUGACUACUUUGAGCUGUUUUAAGUCUAUCUCUAACUCCUUUAACCUUUUCAUUUGCAUACUGAAUUAUUUUUAACCUUCGCAAUGACUCUAAAUCCUUCGUUGAACUACCACUAACGUUUACACGUAAAUGGGUUCAGUGAUACCUGCUCCAGAGUACGAGUACCCGUAGGUAUGCACACUCUUUCCUGAGCAAUGGAAAUAGCUAACCCAAAUAAAGCACAUAAAUUUGCUAUCACCAUCAAGCUCAAACCUCCUAACGUCACGCAACAACCUCGUCAUUACGCUGCUCACAACUCGACAAUGAAGCCCACUUGUUAGGAAACUAAAGUUCACUCAUUCCCACAUGCUCAUAGGGGUCAAAAUUAAGACCCGCUAAUUGAAUAGAUUAAAGGAUACACACACUGCAGAACUGCAACAAUCACUUCUAAUGAUGAGACAUUUCGCAGAGUCUUUCACGGAGUCAAAGUUCUCGCAAGUCCAUAAGACCACCUUGCUCUGCCUAAGUGACCAGUCCACCAACAAAUGAUGACCUCGAAGCUCGAAAAUACAUUAUGAAAAGCUCAAUACUACUACCCUUAGGUCUCUCCACCAAAACUAUUACAUUACCAUUUUGCGAACCACAAACUAGCAGCUUAUGGGAAUUCCAACUCUUCCUUGAUUCUGCUAUCUCCACUAUUCUCUUUACCUCAAACCAGAAGAUAAUCUGAAGCAUGAUUAUCAUGUGGAGACUAGAAUUUCCUCCUUGCUCGCCAUAAACAAAACUGACUAAUAAUGCCCACGAAAAAUUGGCACAGUCAAUUCAUGAUGUUGAAAUCCACAUAAAUAGAACACCUUCCUUAAGCAUUGACAGAAUUUACAUCUCUAGCCAUGCUACUUAUUCGGGUGCAACCGCGACCCCAAAUUCAAUAGAUAAAAAUUAUACAGCUCACUUUAGCCGUUAAACGAGAUUUAAAAUCCCAAAACUACACAACACACUUUUUCUUUCUACCUCUAUUAACAAUUAAUUUGACAACAUAAUACGAUCUGAAAAUCAGAUAUGCUCAAGUCUCCUACAUAUUCCAGGCGCCACAGCUUCCCGCCAAAAAGAUUCUCUGAUAAUCCGAGCUCACAGCAACAAGUUAACCAUCGAAUAUAAAAGUUAAUUUCCAUACCAGGCCCACUACUACACUUGUGGCUCACCAACCAACGAAAACUAUAUAUUCAAGAAAAAGCCAAAACUCAUGGCUAAACUCAAUUCAAGCUCCAAAAGAAAUAAUUUAAAGCAUAUGAAAGAUAAGUCCCCCAACUUCGAACUUAAAAGUUUCACCACUAACCCGUUUCGAAUAUGAACUAGAAACCAAAAUUUAAUAGAGUGAUUUCAACUACUCACCCUGAUAUCAACGGAUGGACACACAUCCAGAUAGCGAUGACCUUCCAAAACAAACCUGAGUUAGCAAGUGGUCCCACCAAAAUACGAUCUCGAGAAAAGACAUCGCUCGACUUACCAAUAUCUCUACUAACCACAACAUUGAAACUCUUAAUAAACCUUGACUCGAAAGCUUCUUGAGUCAACAGGGGAAAAACCCUCUUCCAUAACACUACAACAUAAAAUAUACCUACAACGACACAAACCAUCUAAUCAACAUCACCACGCGACUCUCAGACUACCACAUAGGACUCACGACUCCAAGAUUCAUCACUUAAUUGAACUCCAGCUCACUUGGGAUCACGAUUGGAUUUAUCCAUGAUCCAUGUCUACAACACAACAACCAAUUUAUCAUUUGUCUCAAAAAAAAUUCGACAAACUAACCAGAAUCUCUAACCUUCAAAUCGAAGAGUUUGAAUUCGCACUUCAUAAAUUCAAGCUCUGAGGAUGCUACCCAAAAACUACAGUAGGAAUGAUUUAAAUAUUCCCACACACACCACAACCAAAAAUUCUGCACCAUCUCACCGAAUUAUAAAUAAGGUGAGUGAACAUAUUCUCCCAUCAAUGUGUCGUAGUUAGUCACCAAAUGCUAACGAAGUGAUGACAAUGAACCAACUUUGAUCACAAAUUCAAGACUUAUUUCAACUAUUCAGAACGACACUGCUUAAAAUUACUAUGGACACCCACGCCCUUUUGAUCCUUGAUUCAAUGGGCUUUAUUCCACAACUGCCACUUCCACCAACUCCAUGAAACUGAAUUAAAAUAAACAUGACAAUGCAAAAUAAGAUCACCAUCGGUUGUUGAAAAGCCGGAGUGACCACAACCAUCCCGCUCUCACUCCACCAUUACUUUUCAAUUCCAUUUACAUUAUCAACUUCCCAAACACUCAGCAAAUCUAGAGAUCAAACUUCAACACCUAGAAUUCCGAAAGGAUCCAUAAAGGCCACACAAUUUAAAAAUACUAUAACCGAUAAAUGCCACUCGACUCUUCAAAGCUUGCUUGCAAUUCGAAACAUUUAAUAACACCAUUCAAUUCCUUAAAUUCUCUUACUAUAACGCAAGAUUACAUAUGUCACAACGCUAUACCAUGGGCUAUUGAAAAACCAACAACCCCAAAAAAUAAUUCGGAAGUCAUUACACCGAGCGCCUCAACCAACUCCAGCUAAUUCACAAUAUAGACAAAGUCAUCCGAAUCUUAUUGUUUAUCGACUACUAAUAGCCGUCAUUCUCAAAAUAUUCCCACUACUCUCUUAAUAUAAUGCUCUAGGAAAAAGAACAUAUUCAUAAUUAGAGCUGCAGGAACCAGAACAUAUACCGCCACAACCAAUGUUAUCCCAACAUAUUCCCAAAAGUCACGAACUUGAUACCAAGAUCUUCCACCGGAUAUCUACAACUCCAUACUUGCCCACAAUAAAUAGGAAACUCUAAGACAUGCAUCGAAUCAAACCUUUCACCUACUACAGAUUCGCACAAGAUGUUCACCCUAACAUCUUAAUCAUAAUCAAACCAAUCAUUGGUCAAAUGAAAGGAAUGCUACUACGCAUAUGAGUUCCCAACCGGAGUUCUCAACUCGCAAUUGAACACUUAACAAUUUAAGAUAUCAACUUGAUAACCCUUGGAAAAGGCAUAAUCCAUACACCUUUCCAUUACUCAAAGCAUAAAGAUUACCCAAGAUGUCGGUGUACGGAGGCAUAGUCUUGAAGAUAUAAACAUUUAUGGCACAAUACUGUCCAUAAAUAAGACAAGAAUAACUACCUCACAACCCUAAUCAACACAUAGUGUCUAAAGCAUAUAAUGCUAAUAGAUCCGCCGCGGUCGGACCAUCACUCUAUAGACACUAAGUAUGACUAAGAAUAUGAGGUAGUACUAAAAAGAGAACAGAAUCGAAUAUCCUAGUGCUCUGAAACCAACUGACAGGACCCAACCUGAAUUUCACCUUGAAACCCGAAGUAAAUCUUGCGGGGACCACCUCCAAGGAAAGUUUACCGAAAAUUCGGCAUAACCUCCCUUGAAAAUGGACAACCCUUCCUAAAAAAAAACCUACAUACACUUUUGAUAAACCAAAUCCAACCUUAAACUCCUGGAGCCUUUAUGCUCCCACAAAUCACAACAUCUCCCAAUUAUUUACUAACUUUAAUAAGAAUAAUCCCACAACCAACAAUCAUAGUUCAGAGCAAUUCUAAUUGAGAGGAAAUGAACUAGAAAUUUAGAAAUGAGCGGAAGCUAUACUAUUGACUAUGCCUCUUCUUCAUGUACGCUCGACCUCAACUAUGCUAACCUGCAAACUGGGCAUUUUUUUAAAACGAAGAGCCCAGGGGAAAACAUUUGAAACCGUUAGAUUGAGUGGACAAAACUAAAUUUAAAAAGAAAUAAAUCUUUAUGCUUUCCCGAUUUAACUUCUGUGGAAAUACAAUUAACGGCAUGCAAAAAGCUCAAAAGCUUUUAAAAAUUUACCGAAUUUACCGAAACGCGACUAGCCGCGCUAGUCACCAACACUUAAUAAAAAAAAUAGAGCCUUUCAGGCUAAAAUAUAUUAUGUAUGUAUUACACUCGUCAUAUCCCUUAUAUGAAUUUUCUUGAAGCAACAAAGACAAAUAGAAAUCCACACAAGCCUACGACGCUUGCGUCUAAUGCUCACGUCGCACCAUAAUGGAAUUUUACCUCAUUAUGGUGGAAAAGACGGUGUAUAAAUAUAUAUGCGCAUAUCCCCUAUAUAAAUUAUUAUAUUUAUACAGGGCUACGACGAUUGCGUCUAACGCUCACGUCGCACCAUAAUGGAAUUUUUCCUCAUCAUGGUGGAAAAACAUGUAUAGCUAGCUAGCAUUUCUUUAUAUACAUAUUAUUCUAAUAAUCAUCCAAAUAUGGAUACAUAUAUAUACUCACCAUUCUCAAUUUCGGUUCUUCUCUAACAACGUAAAUUAUUUCGCAUGCACAUUAUUGAAAACAAAAGUCCACUCACAACUUUAGGCCUAAGCUUGACGUCGAUCCGAGGUCUCUUCUGCUUGAGCCUCCUCACGUCAUUUUUCCAAAUGUAAAAUUAAUUUCCCAACUAAAAAUCCAAAUAUUUAUACAAAAUAGGCAAAAUUAAACGUGAGCCAUAACCAUGCUCAUCAUUGCCUAACUUCGAUAUUCCUAAAUCGAAACGAUCCAAACUUUAAUACCAUAAUCGGCAGCCAUAAACACAAUCUCCCACAGAUUUAACGACUUUAAUCCUACAGCUGGAUUCUACAUUAAUUACCCGCCAAAAAAUACCAAACUUCGUAAAUUCACAAACCUAACCAAAACUCUUCCAAAAAUUCCAUAAUUCACAUCAAUAAACUCCCCUUAAUAUUCCACAUUUAAAACCAUAAAAAUUUCCCACACAACGGCGACCGGAGGCCGACUCCGGCGACCUCCGAUGCCUAUGAAAUUUUGACAGCAUCUUCCUCUCAACCUACUCUACAACUUUUCUAACUAGCACAAACACUAAUUCCAAGCUUAACUAGGCCAAUCAAACGAAAAAACCCAAAUAAGCCCAAAAACUUCUACUCACCGGUUCUCCUUACCUAGACCAAGAGAGGAUGAGCCCUUUGGAGGGAUUGAUGCACGGGACGAGAGCUUCAUUUUGAGCCGAGAAGCUCCGGCUAUGGCGACCGGAGGAGUGAGUUCCGGCGAGAGAACCACCAAGGCAGUUGGACCUUUCGGCUGCAUUUUCUCUCCCACGGUGGCACUAGGGAGGCUGCCACUGGUCCAAGACGGAAGCUAGGUCGAGGGCCGACUAAUCGAGACCGGAGCGGCGUUCUCAGGCGGCCGGACGACGGUAAACGGCUGGAUAGAAAAUCCGGCAAGGAGAGAGGGAGGGAAUCGGGAGAGAGAGAGAGAGAGGAAAAAGAGGGAGAGAGUGUUGGGCUUUCUCCUCCCAACCGGUCCUAACCCACCAAAUAAACCCAACUCUAAUAAUUAACACCCCAAAAAUAAAACUUUGAUAAAAAUUACCUUUUACUAGCUAAAAUUUACUAUUUUUACCGACGUCACAAUUUCCUCCUACGAAUAUUUCCUCCGAAAUAAUCGUCCCUCAAAACCCCUCUAGGGACUAUUUAAACUAUAAACACAUUGACGAAGACGGUAAAACUCUUAUUAUACCAAGCUAGUAAAUAAGGUAAAAGUUUAAGAGUCGGGAUGUGACAGUAUGUAUAUAAAUGCUAGCUAGCCAUACGUGCUUGGUCCGUCAUAAUGAGGUAAAAUUCUAUUAUGGCGUGACGUGAGUGUUAGACACAAGCGUCAUAGCCCUAUAUGAAAACUACUUUCUUAUCUGGUUUAUAUAGGUUUUCAUAUAGGGAGUCCACACGUAUAUAUACACCCGUCCUCUUCGGUCAUAAUGAGGAAAAAUUCCAUUAUGGUGCGACGUGAGCGUUAGACGCAUGGAGUAUUUUUCUAAUUUGUUUCUACGAUUCAUACAAGGAGUUUGACGAGUGUAAAUACAUACGCAUAUAUGUUUAUAUAUAUAAUUUAGCCUGAGAGGUUCCAUUUUAUUGAGUUUUGGAGACUAGCUGGAGCUAGUCAUGUUUUGGCCAGUGUGUGAGUAGAAAGCUUUGAGCUGUCGCAUGCAACAUAAUUUCUAUGGAAAUUAAAUUGGGAAAGCAUAAAGAAUUAUUUCUUUUAAAUUUAUUUUUGUCCACUCAAUCUAACAUUUUUCAAUUGCUUCUCCCCUGGGCCCUUCGUUUUAAAAUGCCUAGUUUGCAGGUUAGUUUAGUCGAGGUCGGGCGUACUUGGAGUCGAGGCAUAGUUCGUAUUACAGCUUCCGCUUAUUUGUUUAUUUUGUUUCUUUAUUCCUUUUAGAGUUGCUCUGAACCAAUGAAUUGUUUGUUGUGGGAUUAUAUUUAGAUUAGUGAAUAAAUUGAGAGAUGUUGUGAUUUGGGGAGCACGAAGGUUCCAGGAGUUUAAGUUUUGAUUUGGAUUUUUAGAAGUGUUUGCAUGUGCUUUUAGGAAGGGUUGUCCAUUUUAAAGGGAGGUUAUGCUGAAAUUUUCGGUAAAUUUUCCUUGGAGGUGGACCCCGCAAGAUGUACCUCGGGUUUCAAGGUGAAAUUCGGGGUGGGUCUUGACACUACAAGUCUUUACUCCAAGAGUACAUAGAUGUUUUCGCUUGGGGUUACCAAGAUAUGCCUGGCUUGGACCCUAAUGUAGCAGUUCAUAAGCUAGCAGUCUCAGAAGAAAGAUGGUGGGUGAAACAAGCUCCUCGACGCUUCUGCUCAGAGCUCGCUGUUCAAAUUGAAUCCGAGGUUGACAAACUCUUCGAUGUUGGUUUCAUUCGAGAAGUUAAAUACCCCACAUGGUUGGCUAGUAUCGUAUCUGUAAAAAGAAGAACGGACAAAUUCGCAUUUGCAUCGACUAUAGGAAUCUCAAUGAUGCUUGUCCAAAAGAUGAGUUCCCACUUCCAAUCACAGAGUUAUUGGUCGACGCUACAACAUGAUAUAGUGCUUUGUCAUUCAUGGAUGCGUUCUCAAGAUACAACCAAAUCAAGAUGACACUCGAGGAUGAGGAACUCACAGCCUUUCGUACACCAAAAGAGGUAUACUACUACACAGUGAUGCCAUUUGGCUUGAAAAAUGCAGGUGCAACUUAUCAAAGAGCAAUGACACACAUCUUCGCCGACAUGUUACAUAACACCGUUGAAUGUUAUGUUGACGAUUUGGUGGUCAAAACAAGAAAAAGGCAACACCACCUAGCUGAUUUGAGAAGGGUUUUUGACAGGCUUCGAAAAUACCAAUUGAAGAUGAACCCGUUGAAAUGUGCCUUUGGGGUGAUGUCUGGAAAAUUCCUUGGCUUUGUUGUCAGAUACCGAGGAAUCAAGGUCGACCCUACCAAAAUCACGACGAUUAGAGAAAUGCCUCCCCCUAGGGAUCUGCGGUAACUAAGAGGUUUGCAAGGAAGAUUAGCAUACAUAAGAAGGUUCAUUUCAAACCUUUCUGGAAGAUGUCAACCUUUCACGAGACUAAUGAAGAAAGACGUUCCUUUUAAAUGGGAUCAAGCUUGCCAAAAUGCUUUUUACAACAUCAAAGAAUAUUUGCUCAAACCCCUAGUAUUAAUGGCACCCAUCAAAGGAAGACCUUUAAUCCUCUAUACUGCAGCACUUGAAAGAUCUCUGGGGGCAAUGUUGGCGCAAAAUAAUAUGAGGGGAAAGAAAAUGCUUUGUAUUAUCUAAGCAGGACACUUGUGGGGGCAGAGCACAAUUAUACCCCCAUCGAAAAAGUUUACCUAGCCUUGGUAUUCGCUACUCAAAAGCUGCGACACUAUAUGCUUGCUCAUAGCAUCACAUUGAUCUCCAAAGCAGAUCCGCUCAGAUACUUGAUGUCAAAACCGGUAUUGUCUAGACGUCUAGCGAAAUGGUCAUUGCUUUUCUCAGAGUUUGACAUUAAAUUUGUCUCAAAAAGCCAUUAAAGGACUCGGACUCGCUGAUUUCCUAGCAGCACAUCCGGUACCUGAUCAUAUAGAACUUCCAGAAGACCUACCAGACAAAGAAGUCUUCUCUACAGAGGUAGCCAUGUGGCAACUUUACUUUGAUGGAGAACCUAGAACAAGAGGAGCAGGAGCGGGGGUUAUAUUGUCAAGACCCACCCCAAAUUUUACCCUAAAACCUGAAGUAAGUCCUGCAGGGACCACCUCCAAGGAAAAUUUAACAAAAAAUUUAACGAAAAAUUCGGCAUAACCUCCCUUGAAAAUGGACAACCCUAUCUUGAAAAAUUCAGAUAACACUCCUAUACCAACACAUCCAACCUCAACACCUAAAGCCACCCGCUCCCCCACAACACAUCCACCACACACAAAAAUAAUAACAGUUCUAAUCCAACACAUAAAUAUCCAAUUUAUAUCAUACACCAUCCUUUGAAUAUCUCCCAAAUUAAUAAACAAACACUUAGCACACAACCGAACUAUUAUACAAAUAAUCCCUAGGUAAUCAGAGCUACUAAACACUAGCGGAAGUAAGAAAAUAUGGUAGUAGGUUAACAUGUAACCUACUGAUGAAAGGUGGAAGAGAUGUGGGUAUGCCUCGCCUCUGACUAGUGUCAACCCGAACUCUGCAGACUGGGCAUUUUAAAACGAAGGGCCAAAGGGAAAACAUUUUAAAAACGUUAGAGUGAGUGGACAAAAAUAAAUUUAUAGAAUAUUUAUGCUUCCCAAUUUAAAUUUCCAUAGAAAAAUAUGUUGCAUGCGACAGCUCAAAAAUUGGCAAUUACAUGACUAGCUCCGGCUAGUUUCCAAAACUCAAACAAAUGAAGCCUCUCAGGCUAACUAUAUAUAUAUAUAUAUAUAUAUAUGUAUGUAUUUACACUCGUCAUACUCCUUGUAUGAUUUCUUAUGAAGAAAUAUAAGAAAAAUAGAAAUUUAUACAAGGCUACUACGCUUGCGUCUAACUCUCACGUCACGCCAUAAUGAAAUUUUACCUCAUUAUGCGGAAAAGCACGAGUGUAUAUAUAUACGUGCAUAUUCCCUAUAUAAAUUACUAAAUUUAUAUAGGGCUACGACGAUUGCGUCUAACGCUCACGUCACACCAUAAUGGUAUUUUACCUCAUUAUGGCGGAAAAGCACGUAUAGCUAGCUAGCAUUUAUUUAUAUACAUACUAUCCUCAUAAUCAUCCAUAUAUGAAUAUAUAAUCACCGAAAUUCUCAAUUCCGGUUAGUCUCCAACAAAAGAAAUUAUUCAUCAAUAAACCAUUUGCAUGCACACUAUUUAAAACAAAAGUCCACUCACAAAUUAGGCCUAAGCCUGAUUUCAAUCCGAGGCCUCUUCUGCUCGAGCCUCCUCACGCCCUGUUCCAAAUAUAAUAUUAAUUCCCAACCAAAUAUCCAAAACUUACACAUAAUAGGCAUAAUUCUAUGUGAGCCUUAAUCACACUCACACUUGCCCAACUUCACCAUUCUUAACUCAAUAGGGUCCAAACUUCACCGAACCUACUCGCAACUUUACUUCAACUUUCUAUCGAUUAAACGACUUUAAUCCCACGGCUGGAUUCUCCUUAAAUAACCGCCAAAAUUACUAAGCUUUAAAAAAUUCCCAAACCUAUCCAAAACUCAUCCAAAAAUUCUAAAAUUCACAUCAAUAACUCCCAUUAAUAUAACCAAUCAAAAACCAUGAAAAUCCCUUAAACAGCGGCAGGGGCGGCCGGAGGCCGACUCCGGCGACCUCCAAUGCCUACCAAAUUUUAACAGCAAUUUCCUCUCAACUCACUCUACAACUUCUUUAACUAGCACACACCCAAUUCUAAGCCUAACUAGGUCGAUCGAACGAAGACAUUCUAGAAAACCCUAGAGCUUCAACACCAAAUAUCUCCUUACCUAGCUCAAGAGGGAGAGACACCUUUGGAGGGAUGAAUGCACAGGAGGAGGGCUUCCUUUUUGAGCCUAGCAGCUCCGGCUAUGGCGGCCGGAGGAGUGAGUUCUGGCAAGAGCACAGUUGGCUCCUCGGAGGAGUUUCCUCCCGUUCAGCGGUGCUAUGGGCUUGCUCACCAGCCUAGGGAGAGAGGGGAGGAGAGAGGGUUUCGAUCGGGACCGGAGCGGUGGUCUGGGACGGAUCGGACGGCGGCAGGCAGGCGGCUGGAAGUUGGCCGGGGAGGGGGCUCGGGAGAGGGCUCGGGGAUGAGGGAAGAGAAAAGAGAGAAGAAGAAAAAGACUUUGGGCCUCCAACACCCGGUCCAACUCCUUAAUACCACUCUAAAACACUCCACUCCAUAACCUAAAACACCCCAAUAAAAAUACGCUAAUAAAAAAUUACCUUUUACUAGCUAAAAUUUACCAUUUUUACCAUCGUCAUAUUUUCUCCUACAAAUAAUUCUCCGAAAUAAUCGUCCCUUAAAAACCCUCUAGGGACCAAAUAAAUUAUAAUCUUAUUAACGAAGAUGGUAAAACUCUUAUUAAUACCAAGCUAGUAAAUAAGGUAAAAAUUUAAGGGUCGGGAUGUGACAAUUCUCCCCUCAUAAAAAUUUCGUCCUUGAAAUUUACAUUCUUGUCAAUCAAAGAGAUAGAGAUACUGCUGCCUCAUUUGCUCCUUUCGGUCGAGAAUCUGAACCAGUUCCUCUUCAUAGGUCAAAUCUUUCGUCAAACUGAUCGGCUGCUCUUGCAGCACAUGAGAGGGAUCAGCUAUACUUGCGAAGCAUGGAUACAUGAAACACAUUAUGUAUCCUGGAUAACUCUGGAGGCAAAACUAACCGAUAAGCAAGUGAGCCAAGUCGCUCUAUAAUCUUAUAAGGGCCAAUGUACCUCGGGCUAAGCUUCCCACGCUUACCGAAACGUACAACCCCUUUCCAAGGAGAUAGUUUCAAGAACACCCAAUCACCCACUUGAAACUCAAGGUCAUUCCUACGGACAUCUACAUAACUCUUCUGCCAACUUUGAGCGGCCUUGAGUCUAUCUCUGACCACUUUAACCUUCUCAUUUGUAUCAUGAAUCAACUCGGGACCGCAAAACUCUUUUUCUCCUACUUCAUUCCAACACAAAGGUGUACAACACUGCUUCCCAUAAAGUGCCUCAAAGGGAGCCAUACCAAUGCUAGAAUGAUAGCUAUUAUUAUAUGCAAAUUCCAUCAAAGAUAGGUUUUUAUCCCAACUCCCUCUAAACUGCAAGGAACAAGCUCUCAACAUAUCCUUCAAAGUCUGAAUAGUCCUCUCCGAUUGUCCAUCGGUCUGAGGAUGAAAAGCAGUGCUGAAGUGUAAUCGGGUGCCUAAAGCUGCUUGAAGAGCUCCCCAGAAUUUAGAAGAAAAUCUAGGAUCCUAAUCUGACACUAUUGAUUCAGGUACACCAUGAAGCCUCACAAUUUCAUUCACAUAAAGCUCCGCCAAUUUAUCCAAUUUAUACUUCUUUCCCACUAGCAAGAAAUGUGCAGACUUGGUGAGUCUAUCCACAAUCACCCAAAUAUCGUCAUGCCCUUCACGGGUACGAGGUAAACUGAAAACAAAAUCCAUGGUGAUGUGGUCCCACUUCCACAUUGGAAUAGAUAACGGCUCAAGCAACCCUGAAGGUUUCUGCCUUUCAGCUUUCACUUGCUGACAGAUUAAACAUCUACUCACAAAAGCUGCAAUUUCCCUCUUCAUAUUUGGCCACCAAUAAUAAUCUUUCAAAGUCCGAUACAUUUUUGUACUACUCGGAUGGGCAGCAUAUGCCGAACUAUGAGCUUCCUCCAUUAUCUCAUUCUUUAACUCUUAAUUCCUCUUUGGAACACAAAGCCUAUUCUUGAACAAUAAAGUUUCAUCUCUUCUAACUGAAAAAUCCACGGUGGUUCCACUCAAUGUUCUUUCUAUCAACCGAACUAUGGAAGGGUCAUUAUAUUGUGCCACCCGCACUAUAUCAACCAAAACUGGCCUCACAUAAAAACUAGCUAUCAAAGCACCAACUUCAUCCACCGAUAAAUCCACCCCUGUAGCUCGCAAUUCACAAAGAAGUGGAACUCGAACCGUCUUUAUAUGAGACAAAGAUAUGGAGGGAUUUCGACUAAGAGCAUCAGCUACCACAAUAGCUUUUCCAGGAUGAUACUCGAUAGUACAAUCAUAAUCAUUGAUCAACUCCAUUCACCUACUCUGUCUCAAGUUUAGCUCUCUUUGAGUGAAUACAUACCGAUGACUCUUGUGAUCAGUAAAAAUUUGACACUUGGCCCCAUAAAGGUAUUGUUUCUACAACUUGAGAGCAAAAAUUACCGCUGCAAGUUCUAGAUCAUGAGUGGGACAAUUCCCCUCAUGCGGCUUCAAUUGCCUAGAAACGUAGGCAAUAACUCGAUCAUGCUACAUUAAUACCCCACCUAGACCACGUCUAGAAGCAUCACAAUAAACCACGUACUCCCCAUUAGCAUCCGGAAGUGCUAAAACAGGAGCACUAGUCAAGCAAUUCUUCAAUUCUUGAAAACUUUGCUCACAUUUAUCUGACCAUUCAAACUUAACACCCUUCUUGGUCAAUCUUGUAAGAGGACCCGCAAUCUUUGAAAAAUCUUGCACAAAGCGCCGAUAAUAACCUGCUAAUCCCAAGAAAUUACGAAUCUCCGUCACAGUGGUGGGUCUUUUCCAAUAUGACACUGCUUUCACCUUUUGGGGAUCCACACUAACUCCUUCUGCCGAAACCAUAUGACCUAAGAACCCCACCUUAUCAAGCCAAAACUCACACUUGCUAAACUUAGCAUAUAACUGAGAAUUUUUCAAAGUCCGCAAUAUUAUUCUUAGAUGUUUGGCAUGCUCCUUCUCACUUCUUGAGUAAACCAAGAUGUCAUCUAUGAAUACGAUCACGAAACAAUCAAGAUAUGGACUAAACACCCUAUUCAGGAGGUCCAUGAACGCUGCGGGUGCAUUAGUAAGUCCAAACGGCAUCACCAUAAAUUCAUAAUGACCUUAACGUGAUCGAAAGCAGUCUUGGCUAUGUUACUCUCUCGGAUCCGUAACUGAUGAUAACCAGAUCUCAAGUCAAUCUUUGAGAAAAUAGAAGCACCUCUCAAUGAUAGGAGCAUAAAAUACGACAUUCUUAAUGUGUUAUUACCUCCAUUUGUACUUUGAUUAUCUCUUAUUGUCGUAGAAUAGAGUCAUAAUGUAGAGUCGAAAGUUUUUGGUAGAGUUGUGCGUAAAAUGUGUUAAACAUAGAGGAAUGAUGUAGAAAAUUGUCAAAAGCCGAUUUGUGGAGCCUUAGAGAUGUUCUUAUGAUUCUGUAAAGCUUUUACAUUGUCACAAAUUGAUUUAACUUCUCUGAUACUUAGGUGAUAUGUAAAAGAGUUAUGGCAAAAAGAAUCAGGAGAAUUGAAGUUAUGCUUGAAUCAUUGCCGAGAGAAGUGUUCCUGAUGGACCUAGGGAAGCAAAGCAGCUGAUCCACGAAGCCUAGUCCAUGAAGGAGAGGUCCAAACCAAGUCCAAUAUGGAGAAGAAGAUCUAAAUUCGGUAGAAUAUCAGGGAAUAUCCAAGUCUUGAAAAUCCGGAUUAAAUCGGGAGAAUUCCUGUGCACGUCUGUCAACUUCAACGGACUCUCCAGGACAGCUCACAAUGAAUCAGAAAACGUGCUAGAUAUGGAUAGAGAGCUACGGCAGUCUAGUUCCAAAUCAAUUGGAAUCACCUCAAUAUCUAUUUUCUAGAGGGAGUUAUGACGUAAUCAUCAGACGGAGGUCAUUCUGCCGAAUUGAGAAAACUAGGGAAACCUAAACCAACUUGGUUUCAACUUUGUGGCCGACUUCUCUAGGGUUUUUCCUCUAUAUAAAGCACGACUUCAAGAGCAGAAAAACAUCAUCUCUACUCUUGCAAUUACAUAGCCGAAACUCUACCAAACCCUAUACAGAAAUUACUUAGCCGAUUCAUCCACCACAAACCAUAAGAAUCAUUCCAUCAUUCCACCGAUUUUCCCCACACUUGCCGAAUCUUUCAAGGUUGUAAAAGUGUGAUUUUCUCAUGGCUUCUUGUAUUAUUUUCUGUAUAGUUUCGAACUCUAUUGUAAUAUACUUUUCGAUUUUGGUUUUAUUUAUCAAACAUGGUUUUCGGAUUUCUUUGUGAUCUUUGAUUGUUCUAUGUUUUGAUUUGUAACUUCUUGAAUAUAUGAUGAUUUCGUGAUUUAGGUUUUAGGGAAGUAGCAUGUUCUUAUGUGUUUUUGAUUUCUAAUUGAUUAAUUAUCAUGAAUUCGUGCAUCUAAAUCAAUCCUUGAGGCUGCCUUGGCCAUGGUUGUCCUUAAGGUGCGGUUUCAUCUACCAUAAUAAUUUUGGAUCAAUUCAUACGCAAAGUUGUCUUGGUCUCUGUUAUUAACUUAGGGCGGAUAUAAUUCUGAUAAUUUGCAUGCUAAUAGGAUGAGUGACGCCAUGCCUUAGAUCAUGUUUCCGAUUGACUCGUGUGCUAAAGUGUUUUCUUGUUUAAUCUCUACGCAACGUGUCUUUAAAUGAGUUAGCAUUCAUGUUUAGGAUCAAGCGCAAAGAUGGUUCUAAAUACUUGAGGAGUCUUAACAAUUAGAUAACCGCAAAGGCUCUAAUUAGAAUCGGAAUUGGUUAGAGUCUAGGAUAAUUUGAACGUUGCUGCCCGGCCUUGCAUGAAGUUGUUAUGUGUUCUUGAUGGUUUUUCGUGUUAUGUGUUGCAUGAGAAUGUUGAUCAUUUGUAUAUAAUAAUCUUAGGUUUAAUUUUCAGUAGGUUAUUUGUUAGAAUUAAUCAAUCUUAAACCCCCAAUAUUUCAAUAUAUAUGUGAAUACUUGUUUAUAAGUUGUUUGAUUUCUCUUCUUUCGAUCGCCCUUUGGUUUCCCCGGCUAGAACGAUCCCUACUUGUCCAUAUUACUACGAUUGCAGGGUAAUUAAAUUGAAGUUGUUUGACCUCGGUUACGCGACACGUCACUCAACUGAUCAACAAAUAAUCAAUGCGGGGCAACAGAUAUUUAUUCUUCACUGUGACUUAAUUUAGUUUCCUAUAAUCAAUGCAUAAUCUCAUGGUGCCAUCUUUCUUCUUAACAAACAACACCGGAGCACCCCAUGGAGACAUGCUAGGCCGAAUAAAACCCUUAUCUACCAACUCCUGCAGUUGAGUCUUUAAUUCCUUCAAUUCCGCUGGAGCCAUUCUAUAAGGUGCCUGUGAGAUAGGCAUAGUUCCGGGAAGUAAUUCAAAAGAGAAGUCUAUCUCCCUUUCAAGAGGCAAACCAGGUAACUCCUCAGGAAAAACAUCCGGAAACUCCCUUACUACAGGAAUAUCUUCUACUCCCAAAACUCCCAUACUUGUAUCCACAAUGUAAGCUAAAUAUGCCUAACAGCCUUUAUUUAACAAUUUCCUAGCAGCAACAGCAGAUAUCAAGCAACUCGAAAUAACAUCUCUUUCCCUUGAAAUGCAACCUCACAUUCAUCAGAACUUCGAAGCACCACCACUUUUCGAAAACAAUCCACCAUAGCUCUAUAAGCUUCCAAAACACUAUGCCAUUUCCUGCAUCAGGCAACACCUAUCAGGCGACACAUGUGAAAUUAAGUGUGGUUCGGGGUUUCCGGGCGACACAUUUUCUUUAUGUGUUGAUGGAAGUGCACUUAGACAAUACCAGUUUUCUUUGAAAAAAAUGUCUAUUUUCGGGGCGACACAUAUAUGUCGGUGAAGAAAGUGGUCAACUUUAGUCUCAAUUGUCUAAAUUUUACUCAUGUUAAUCCGAAGACAUUUAUGUGUCGGUUGAUAUUGAAUUUUGUUGAAUUGACAACUUGUGUGAAAAUUUUACUUCAUUAAGUUGAUACGACGACAUUUAUGUGUCGGCUGAUAUUGAAUUUUGUUGAAUUGACAACUUGUGUGAAAAUUUUACUCAAUUAUGUUGAUAAGACAACAUUUAUGUGUUGGCUAAUAUUUAAUUUUAUUGAAUUGACAACUUGUGUGAAAAUGAAUUAUGUUCAUAAGACAACAUUUAUCUGUUGACUGAUAUUGAAGUUUACUCAAUUAUGUUGAUAAGACAACAUUUAUGUGUUGGCUGAUAUUGAAUUUUAUCGAAUUGGCAACUUGUGUGAAAAUUUUACUCAAUUAUGUUGAUAAGACAACAUUUAUGUGUUCGCUGAUAUUGAAUUUUAUCGAAUUAGCAUCUUGUGUGAAGAUUUUACUCAAUUAUGUUGAUAAGACGACAUUUAUGUGUUGGCUGAUAUUGAAUUUUAUCGAAUUAACAACUUGUGUGAAAAAUUUACUUAAUUAUGUUGAUAAGACAACAUUUAUGUGUUGGCUGAUAAUGAAUUUUAUCGAAUUAACAACUUGUGUGAAAAAUUUACUUAAUUAUGUUGAUAAGACAAUAUUUAUGUGUUGGCUGAUAUUGAAUUUUAUUGAAUUGACAAUUUGUGAAAAUUUAAAAGUCAACACAUGUAUCAAAAUGGAAAUGCUCUUAUCUACAUCGGUCGAGACUUAUAUUUUCGAUUCGUCAACACUAAAACUCUCAUUCAAUAUUGUUGAAACUAAUCUAUGUGAAAUUUUGGACAAAUUUAUCAAGCGACUAUAUAGCUCCCCAUAGGAAAGCUUAUAGAAAUUUAAUCGUAAAUAAAGUUGACCUAUUUGUGAAGCAACUAUAUCUUGUAAAUAGAAUUUUGCAAAUCCAUCCGUAGGGUGCGUUACGUAUAGUGAAAUAUGGUUAUGGUAAAAAAAUCACAUAUUUUUGAUAACGUUUGUGUCCCGAUCGAGGCGGUCAACCCUUUUUACAAUUAUUAUCACCUAUGGGUAGCCCUAUCCCCGGAAAGUAAAAUUUCUGAAAUUUUUUUUUCUAUAUCGUUUUUUGCCUGCCUUGGGUCUCAUUGUGCUUCUGCAUGCUUUUGUUUCAUUGUGUUUCUGCGAGGUUGAGUACCUUCUUCUUCUGCCCUGUUUUCUUUCUCGCUAUCGAUCUCAGUGAUGGGUGUGUGUUUACUUUCGAGAGGAACAAUCUGGGGAUUCUUAGCUUUGAUGUGCGAAUUUGGAUUUGAAUCCUCCCUUACUCCUCACUAUCUGAUAUGCUUUCUCCAUUUGUUUUAGCUUUUGAGUUUAUUUGAUUUUGUUUUUUGGUUUUGGAACGAACAGGUCAUCGAUUCCUUCUCUGAGUUUACGCCUUCGCCCAGAGUUGGAAGACUUUCAUGGUUCAAAGCAAUUGGUGAUAAGCUGAUUUGGGAUUUAUGUAGAUCGGGUUUGCCUGUGGGUCGCGGUGGUCCGUUUAGUUGUUUCUGGGUUCAUUCUCUUAUGAAAAGGUGUGGGUGCAUGCUUUUUUUCCCCUGAUAUCGGUUUGCAUGUUGGUCGUUUUUUUGGGAUUGAAAAUUUUAGUGUCUUGCAGGGUUUUGUUUGUGUGGAUAGUAGCUGUGGUCAUUCGACGUUUCUCUCAUCCGAUCAGGUUUAUUUCUGUUAGAUUCUCUGAUCAAGCAGUUUUUUCUCUUCUUCCUUUUCUGGUUUUUGCUUCUUAAAUUUGUUUGGGUUGGAUGAAUACACAACCAGAGGAAAGGCUUUAGCCGAAGAAAAUAAAAAAACCAGGCCGACGAAUUAUUUUUUCGUCGGCUAAAGUCCACGUUAGCCGACGAAAUUUUCCUUCGUCGGCUAAUUUAAAUUUUUGUCGGCUAUACUAUACUUUAGCCGAUAAAAUUUUUUUUUCGUCGGCCAAAGUUUUCAUUCGUCGGCCAAAGUUUUUACUCAUCGACUAAAGUAUUUUAGUAAACGAAAACAAAUCUAGUCAGCUAUUAUCGAAAAAAGUCGUCGGCUAAAAGAAAAACAAUAAAAUGUUGUAUAACUUACUUAGUAGGUUUUAAACAAAUACACAACUUUGUGAACCAACUCUACAUAGAGGCAAAAUUAACAAAAAUCUCGUGAAAUAAGAUGUGUUCAGAAUGGUGAAAUAUGGCUAUGGUUCAAAAAUCACGUAAAUCAGGUAACGUCUCUGAUGUAGAACAGUCGAAACCCGGUAUGCUGCAGAUUUGGCUUUGCCAUGACAUAUGGGCCUUUUUGGCCAUCCGAGUCCGUUUUGGGCUUCAAAAUGCAGUUUUCUUAUUUCCGAUUAGAGUUGACCGUUUCGAUCGAGCCCUUAACGUUGUCGAAUCCAGUUGAAUUUUUUACCAUAGACAUCUUUCGUCAUAAUGAUCAUAUCUGACGGUCGAAUUUUGGUUUGUGAAUUUUAGUCAUCAGAAUCACGUCGUGUCUACUAAUGUUGUAUAACUUGUUUAGUAGGUUAUACAACAUAGGAACCAAAAUUAUCAAAAAUCUUAUGAAAUAAGAUGUGUUCAGAAUGAUGAAAUACAGCUAUGGUUCAAAAAUCACAUAAACUGGGCAAUGUCUCGGUGCCGAUAGUAGCGGUCAACCCUAUUUACCAUUAUUAUUCCCUAUGGGGAGCCCUAUCGACGGAAGGUAAAUGUCUCAAAAAUUUUAUAUGGGCAGUUGCGUCUCAUCUACGUGAGAGUUUUUUAUGUGGAAGGUUUGACUAAACUAUGUAAUAUAGAGGGAGAUAUGAGCGUUUUCAUGUGAUAAAUGACGUUGGAUUAAGGUUGACUGUUUCGAUCGAGCCCUUAACGUUGUUGGAUCCAGUUGAAUUUUUUACCAUAGACAACUUUUGUCAUAAUGAUCAUAUCUGACGGUCGAAUUUUGGUUUAUGUAUUUUAGUCAUCGGAAUCACAACGUGUCUACAAAUGUUGUAUAACUUGUUCAGUAGGUUAUACAACUUUGUGAACCAACUCUACAUAGGAAGCAAAAUUAUCAAAAAUCUAGUGAAUAAGAUAUGUUCAGAAUGGUGAAAUACGGCUAUGGUUCAAAAAUCACGUAAAUCGGGUAACGUCUCGGUGCCGAUAGUAGCGGUCAACCCUAUUUAGCGUUAUUAUUCCCUAUGGGGAGCCCUAUCGUCGGAAGGUAAAUGUCUCAAAAUUUUUAUGUAGGCGGUUGCGUCUCAUCUAUGUGAAAGUUUUUCGUGUGGAAGGUUUGACCAAACUACGUAAUAUAGAGGGAGAUAUGAGCGUUUUCGUGAAUUUAUAGACUUUAGACGACGAGAUAUUAAAAAAGUCGUCGGCUAAGGUCAAAAUUUUUUUUAUGGUAAAUCAAAUUUGGAGGAACAUUUUCAAAGGACUUUUGCUGACGAAAAUAUUCAAAAUCUCGUCGGCUAUUGUCAAAAAAUUUUCAAAAUUUUCAACCAAAAUUUUCAAAAGAGUUUAGCCGACGAAAAUAAAGAAUUUCGUCGGGUAAAGUUCUUUAUAUAGGAGUUUUACCGGAGGUGGAUGGUAAGAAGUCAGAAAAUCAGAAAAAGUUCCGGAUUUUCUUCUCGGCCUAGCUCCGCCGUCAAGCAACCAGAGACCGCCACAUUUGUCCCAAAAGCUUCGCCGUCGUCUCUACUUCAUUGCUGGACAGGUGGUGCAUCGAGUGGCGCCGCUGUGAGGGAUAAAUCGAGCUCCAAAACUCCGCUGGUUCGGAUUCGGUGUCGAUCGAAUUUCUUCUUCCUCAGGUCACCAUUUGGUGAGUUCUAUAUAUGGAUAAGUUGAGUUUGAUUAGUAAUACAUUCCCCUAGAAUUUAGUUGCUUGAUUCGAUGUGUGUUAGGAGAAUCGAAGAUUUGAAGUUUUUAGGGUUUAAAAUUGGGGAUUUUUAUAUUUUGAUUCAAUUGACCUGUUUAGGCUUAGAAUUAGGCUUUGACUUCUUCUAGAAAGUUGUUCGAAAUGUUGAGAGGAGGAUUUUGUCAAAUUUUGGUGGUGAUUGGAGGUGGCCGAAAGUUUCUGCAGUUUUUUUUUGAAAAAAACCAGCAACUUUAGCCGACGAUAUUUAAAUACUAUAUUCGUCGGCUAUAGUGUCAGGACCCACCUUGAAUUUCACCCUGAAACCCGAGGUAAAUCCUACGGGGUCCACUUUCAAGGAAAAUUUACCGAAAAUUCGGCAUAACAUUCCAACAACAAAGACAUUUAAUAAGCUACUACUGGACUUUCAGAGCAUAUCUAAUGAUGAAUGAAAACAAUGAAAACGAAUAAGCGGAAGCAGCCUCUGACUAUGCCUCGACUCCAUGUACGCUCGUUCUCAAAUAACUUAGCCUGCAAACUGGGCAUUUAUAAACCAAAGGGCCCAGGGGAAAGUAAUUUAAAAACGUUAGAGUGAGUGGACGAAAAUAAAUUCAAUAACUUAACAAUUAUAAAACUUAUAUACUUUCCCACUUUUCAACUUUUAAAACUUAACAGCAUGCAACUUAAACGUCUUUAAAACUUUAAAUCCAAAAUCACUUAAUAAAGGACAAACCAGCCCCGCUGGUUAGUUAAAACAGAAAUCUCAUCAGAGGAGAUAAACUAGCCCCGCUGGUUAAUAAAUAUAUUAUUGAGAAGAAUAAAAUAGGGGAAGAGUUAUCACCAUGAAAAAGGAGCCUCCUAGGCUCGGGUCGAUGCCUCCUAGGCUAUAAUAGCGUCCCACGCUAAGCGCUCAACUCACAUAUGAUGAGGACCACUAAAUAAGGCUAUAAUAGCGUCCCACGCUAAGUGCUCAACUCACAUAUGAUGAGGACCGUUAAUAAGGCUAGCUAACUAAUAAAUAUAAAUACCAAUCGGUUGUCUCCCAGGCUAUAACAGCGUCCCACGCUGAGCGCUCUACUCACAUAUGAAGAAGACCGCUAAUAAGGCUAUAAUAACGACUCACAUAUGAUGAGGACCGCCAAUAAGGUUAGCUAGCAAUAAUCAAUAUAAAAGCGACCCUAUAUUAUGGUGACUAAAAUCAUAUGAAGUCACUUAAAUCCAUUAAACUUCCCCAAUAUCAAAUAAAUGGUACGAUUCCCAACCGUAUUUGAAAAUCAUCAUAAGAAAUUAUACUAAACUCAAUGAUGUGUCUCACACGUCAAAAUAUUCUCGAAACCAUAUUAUAAGCGAGAUUUCAAUAUCAAAUAUAAAUCAUAAAUAACAAUAUCACCACUCGAAAAUACUCGCUAAAAUAUUCUCCAAAUCAAAAUCAUUAUGCCUCAAAUAAACAAUUAAAUUAUGAUGGAGAACUACCGAAAAUCCCAUUUUCGGUAAUCAUUUAUUAAUCCCAAAGUCACCACUAAAUCAAUCACAAUGAAAUCCGAAACUUAUAAAAUAACCAAACUCAAAUAUCAAAUUAAUAAUCCGAACUUAAAUCCAUGAAUCAUGACCAAACGUUAAUCAAUGCAUCACACUCAAAUAAUUUUCAAGAUCAUCUCAUGAGCCGAAAAUUAUAAUAUAAGCUCGGAAAAAUAAAAUGAUAAUUUAUAAAAUCUUGCAUGCAUAUUUAAUCAAACCAAAAUGUCCACUCACAACUUUAGGCAUAAGCCCGACGAUAACCGCAUCGCCACUCAAGCGAGGUUCCUUUCACAUCCUGGCACAACAACCAUACUUAGAACCAAACUUCAAUUCCAGAAAAUAAAUAUAUGAAUAAAAACAUCCAACUCUCUUCCGUUUAACCCACUACUCUUAAUAGGGUUAAACUCGCCGGAUUCGCACCAAACUCCACCACAACCUUAAUUCAUCAAUUCUAACAUUCUAUAAAAAAUACCAAGGAAAUCCAACGGCCGGAUUUUUUAUUCUAAUAACCGGCAAAAUCCUUAAUCUUUUAAAAAUCCCAAACCUUAUCAAAACUCCUCCAAAAAUUCCAAACUUCACAUCAUUAAACUCUCCUUAACAUAACACAUUUAAACCCUGAAAAGCCCCUUUACAGCGGCAGCGCCGCCGUCUGCUCUGCCUGCAACGGCGGCCGGCGGCCAACUCCGACGACCCCCGAUGGCUACCAAAUUUUAACAACAUCUUCCUCUCAACAUCCCAAACAACUUUAAUAACUAUCACUAAGUCUAAUUUCAAGCUUAAACAUGUCAAUCGAACAAAAACACAAUCAAGAACCCUAGAAGAUUCAAACCUUCGAUUCUCCUUACCUAGCUCGAGUUAGGAUGAAUCCUUUUAGGAUUUUGCUGCUGGGAGGGAGAGCUUCAAGUUGAGACCAACAGCUCCGGCUAUGGUGGCCGGAAAAGGGAUUUCCCGGCGAAAACCCCACCACGCACAGUCACGGCUUUCCAGCAUGAUUUCUCCUUCACGGCGGCGCGACACCGGCUGCCACCUACCUAGACUUGUAGAGGAUGCUCCAAGCUUCAAAUCGAUACCAAGCACGCCACCUAGCUCGGCCGGACGGCGGCGGAUGGAGGUGAUGAAGUUGCCGGUCGGAGGAGAGGCGCGGGAGAGAGAAGAGAGAGUGAGGGGGUGAAACUGAUUUCUUACCUUACCCAUCCGGUAAGUUUCCAUUUUUAUACCCCCAACCAAAAUAGUAACUUUUGUUUUUAGACCAUAACUUAUUCAUACGAACUCCUAUUUAAGCGUGCCACGCGUCUACGAACUCCACUUAACGUUCUCUACGACUUUCAUGAAGAAAGUUUUUCCAAAUUCCAAAUGGAAGAAAAAGUUAACUUUAGGGUCCUUAAGUAGUAAACGGUUACUCAACACGGCAAAAGACCAAAAUAACACCAAAGUAAAUAACCGUAAAAUAACUUAAGAACCGGGGUGUGACAUAUAGUAUUUUUUAAUUUUUUUAUAAGGUUUAGCUGACGAAACAGACUAUAUUUCGUCGGCUAUAGUUAUUUUUUUAAUUUUUUAUUACACAAUUUAGCCGACGAAUAUUUUAUUGUUUCGUCGGCUAAAGUCUGGGAAAAAAACCGACUACAUGUUUUUCAUCAGCUAAACUGUGGGACUAUAGCCAACGACGUCUUCUUUUUUCGUCGGCUAAAGUCAUCGCCGACGACCUUUUCCCGACGAAAUCUUAGCCGACGAAUUAAGCUAAUAGGCAGACGAAACUUUUUCGUCUGCUAAAGUGCUUGUCCUGGUAGUGAUAGAAUGGGUAAUUAUUUAUUGUUGAGUCAAUUGGUUUGACAUUACUGCCGGUAGAGGCAUGUGAUUUUUAGUUUUCGUCGUUAGAAGUGGAUAUCAAUUAUAUCAGCAAAUUCAACUUCCUUUCACUCCGACCAAUUUUUAUCUUAUGAGUUUUCCUGCAGAAUCAGAGAUAAACUCAAAACUGGAAGAAAAGGAAAGAAUGAAGAAAGAGAAGUUUCAGCCUUCGACUAAUACAGAUGGUACUGGAGCAAUAUGCAUCCAUCUCCAUAUCUGUUCCUUUCCAUAGAUGUUAAUUAUUUGGUUUAGAUCUAAAGUUGUUUUCUUUAAUUAAAACUUGAAAUUUUAAUUACAAUAAACUAGCAAUGGUGAUGAUGUUAGAGAUAUGCCAAUUAAAGGGUGGUACUGAUUCUACCCAUGGUAUGAGCUGUUAGUGUUUAUUUGUAACAGACAAACUAAUUGAAGCUGGGUGUUCAAUUCGGUUUUUCUGUGUGUGGGUAGUUAAUUGAGAUUAUUAACUUAUUUCAAUAGUCUACUCCAUUCUAUUGUGCAGAGAGAAAAGAAGAGAUUUUGAUGGUGGACUGCAAGGAAAAAAGAAAAAGAAAAAGAGAGAGAUCUAGGUUACUGAUUGGCUUUGAGAUUGUUUUGGAAAGGUGAUUCAGAAGAGGUAUCUCUCUUAUUCGUUUUUUUAAGUACUAUAAAAUGGAGAUUGAGUUCAUUUGUUUGGUAUCAUUUAGGCGUCUGAUAAUUGUUUUAUUUAAGGUUUAGAGUUACCGCAACUCUUCCAUAUUGUAUAGUCUUUAAGUCUUUGCAUUUCAAUGGUUAUCGAUGGGAAUUUGAGUUUUGUAGUUUAGUUUAUUGGACUAUGUUCAGAAAGUUGUGUGUCUAAACCAGGAAAUGAUCUUGCUAUAUCAUGUGAAUCAUCAUGUCCUCAUAUCGUCCAUGACUCCAUGUAAUCUGGGUAUAGUUCAAAUUAGCAUUGAACAAAAUCAGUUCAGUUAAGUAAAAAAAAUGUGAUAUCAGGAUCUUUGAUUUAGCAACUGUCAUAAGUUUCAGAAUCAUUUGAAAAUUUCAUUUUAAGUUAGAUGAGACAAAAUUUGAAUCCACAUGAUACAAGGGUUUAUUUGAAGAGAAAGAAUUGAAUAGUUAUAAUUUUAAUAUAGACAGAGCUCAUGGGGAGGUUUAGAAAAUCCUGUAGAAAAUGUUGCAGUAUCUUUAAUUCAAAUCUUGCACCUGCUCCUAUUUUCAAAUUUACUACCAAGUACUAUUUGGCAAGCCACCGGAGCAUAUUGGGUUCCCAAAAUGUCACCAAUAUGUAAAAGUGACAAGAAAAAGUUUUGGUAUCAGGUGAAAAAUUACAAAAUGUCACCAAUAAAUUAAGGCCAUCGUCUGUGACCUAUCUUACAACAAUGCAUCUUUAUGCUCUUCUUCCACAAUGAUCUGGGAAAUUUGAUUGUUCUGAAGAUCAAUAAGCCCCAGUUGUAAACUGAUGCUAUCUCAAAUUGUUGGUAUGUGACCUUUUGAUGCCUUCUAUGUUUUUACAUGUAGAUGAGAAGGUUGUAGAUUGUUCCAAAAUGGUCAGCACAAUGUAAUAACCUUACGCUAUGAUUGAAUGCGAUGUAUAGGAAACAAAGAGGUAGAAGCAGCCAAUGGGGAUUGACAAGACCCACCCCGAAUUUCACCCUGAAACCCAGAGUAAGUCGUGCGGGGAUUACCUCCAAAGAAAAUUUACCGAAAAAUCGGCAUAACCUCCCUUGAAAAUGGACAACCCUUCCAAAUAAUACCUGCAAACACUUCUGAAAAUUUAAAUCCAACCUUAAACUCCUGGAGCCUCCGUGCUCCCCAAAUCACAACACCACCCAAAUUAUUUACUAAUCUAAACAAAUCUCAUAUCCAACCAUUUAUAGGUUCAGAGCAACUCUAACAGGAAGAAAGGAAACAUAAUAAAUUAACAAGCGGAAGCUAUAUGAUGACUAUGCCUCAUCUCCAUGUACGCCCGACCUUGACUAAGCUAACCUGCAAGCUGGGCAUUUUUAAAACGAAGGGCCCAGGGGAAAACAUUUGAAACACGUUAGAGUGAGUGGACAAAAAUAAAUUAACAAAUAAAAUAUUUAUGUUUCCCCAAAUCAAUUUCCAAGGAAAAUCGAAUGCAUGCUGCAAGCGAUAAAACUUUUUAUCUCAUAAAUAUCGAGCCUCUCAAGCUCUAUAAAAUAUGUAUGUAUUACACACGUCCAUACUCCCUAUAUAAAUUCAUGGGUCUAUAUAGGGCUACUACGCUCGCGUCUAACGCUCACGUCACGCCUUAAUGCGGUGCUACACUACGCCAUUAAGGUGGACAGACGGGUGCAUAAAUAUGUGCCCAUACCCCCUAUAUGAAUUAAAUACUCAUAUAGGGCUACUACGCUCGCGUCCAACGCUCACGUCACACCAUAAUGCGGCUAUAUGCUAUGCCAUUAAGGUGGACAGACACAUAGGGCUAGCUAGCAUUUUUAUACAUACUCUCCUCAUAAAUACAUAUUUAUAUCACCGAAAAUCCCAUUUUCGGUAACUCUCCAAGAGAAAUAAAUCGUCAAAAUCAAAAUGACGUCAAAAUGCUCCAACAAUUUAAAUGUUCAACCAAAACCAUAGCAUGCAUAUUAUUCAAAACCAAAAGUCCACUCACAAAUCUAGGCAUAAGCCCGACGAAAUCCAAAUCGCCACUCCAGAGAGGUUUCCUCGAACCCUGGCACAAAUAUAAAAUUAAUUUCCCAACUAAAAAUCCAAUAUUUAAACAAAAUAGGCAAAAUUAACCGAGAGCCAUACUCACGCUCAUCAUUGCCUAACUUCGAUACGGUCCACACCUCAACACUAAAACCAGCAACCUUAGCUACACCCUUCCACAGAUUAUACGACUUUAAUCCAAGAGCCGGAUUCUAUCCUAUUAAUCCGCCAAAAUUACCAAACUUCGGAAAUUCACAAACCUAACCAAAACUCAUCCAAAAUUCCAUAAUUUACAUNNNNNNNNNNNNNNNNNNNNAAAAUUCCAUAAUUUACAUCAAUAUACUCCCCUUAAUAUUCCACAUUUAAAACUAUACAAACUCCCAAACAGCGGCGGCGGCGCCACCAGUUCCGCCGGCAGCGGCGGCCGGAGGCCGAUUCCGGCGACCUCCAAUGCUCACCAAAUUUAAACAGCAGCUUCCUCUCAACCUACUCUACAACUUUCUUAACUGGCACAACACCCAAUUUCAAGCCUAACUAUGCCAAUCGAACGAAAACAACACAAAAAGCCCUAGAGCUUCCACUCACCGGUUCUCCUUACCUAGACCAAGAGAGGACGUGCUCUUUGGAGGGGUUGCUGCACGGGAGGAGAGCUUUCUUUUGAGCCAAGAAUGGCCGGCUUUGGUGGCCGGAGGAGGGAGUUCCGGCGACCGGAAGUUCUGGGCAGUCAAACCUUUCGGGUGGCACCGCUCCCUCACGAUGGCGCUAGGGCUCCUCUCACCGGUCCAGGGAGGUUGUUGGGUUAGAAGUCGACCGAACGGGACCGGUGCGGCAGCGGUUGGUGGCCGGACGGCGGCGGACGAGCGGCCGGAAGCUUCGGCUGCGGGAAAACUCGGGGAUGAGGCCGGGAGGGAGAGAAGAAGAGAGAGGGAAAAGAAAUGGGUGUUUGGGCCUCACACCCACCCGGUCCAACACCAUAGAACAACCCACUCCAAAAUAAAACACCCCGAAAAAAUAAUACCCGAAAAAAAAUUACCUUUUACUAGCUAAAAUUUACCAUUUUUACCGUCGUCAUUUUUUCCUCCUACAAAUAAUCCUCCGCACAUAACCGUCCCCGAAACCCCUCUAGGGACCAAUUAAAACUAUAACCUCAAUGACGGAGACGGUAAAAUUCUUAUUAUAACCAAGCUAGUAAAUAAGGUAAAAAUUUACGGGUCAGGAUGUGACAAUUCUCCCCUCCUUAUAAAAAUUUCGCCCUCAAAAUUUACAUACCUGACAUUCGAAGAGAUAGGGAUACUGCUACCUCAUUUGCUCCUCUAAUUCCCAAGUAGCUUCCUCUACUUGAUGACUCCUCCACAGAACUUUAACAAGAGGAAAAAGAUUUGCUUCGAAGCACUAGCUCCUUUUGGUCAAGAAUCUGAAUCGGCUCCUCAUCAUAGGCCAAAACUUUUUCCAAUUAAUCGAUUGCUCUCGCAACACAUGAGAGAGAUCGGAAAUAAACUUGCGAAGCAUGGAUACAUGAAACCCAUUAUGUAUCUUGGAUAACUCCGGAGGCAAAACUAACCGAUACGCAAGAGAGCCAACUUGAUCUAAAAACUCAUAAGGACCAAUAAAUCUCAGACCAAGCUUUUCACACUACCAAAACGUACCACCCCUUUCCAAGGACACAAUUUCGAAAACACCCAAACACUCACUUGAAACUCAUGGUCCUUCCUGCGGACAUCUUUAUAACUCUUUUGGCUACUAAGAGCUGCUUUGAGUCUAUCUUUGAUUCCUUUAACCCUUUCAUUUCUCAAAGACUCUAAAUCCUUCGUUGAACUACCACUAACGUUUGCACGUAAGUGAGUUCAGUGAUACCUGCUCCAGAGUACGAGUACCCGUAGGUAUGCACACUCUUUCCUGAGCAAUGGAAAAAGUUAACCCAAAUAAAGCGCAUACAUUUGCUAUCACGAUCGGGCUCAAAUCUCCAAACAUCACGUAACAACCUCAUCAUUACGCUGCUCACAACUCGACGAUGAAGCCCAAUUGCUAGGAAACUAAAGUUCACGCAUUCCCACAUGCUCAUCAUAAGGGUCAAAAUUAAGACCCGCUAAUCAAACAGAUUUAAGGAUGCACACACUGCAGAACUGCAAGAAUCACUACCAAUACCGAGGCACUUUACGGAAUCAAAACUCACACAAUACCGCAAGACAACCCUCUUUUGCUUAAGCGAUUAGUCCAACAAGAGUUAAAACUCAAUUGUCGGAAUGAAAUUAUGAAGUGAUCAAUAACUACGUCACUUAUGUCUCUUCACCAAAACUAUUACAUUACCAUUUUGAGCACUAUGAGAAUUCAACUCUCUCCUAAUUCUGCUAUCUCCACUAUUCUCUUUACCACAAACCAGAAGAUAAUUUGAAACAUGACUAUCAUGUGGAAACUGGAUAUUCCUCCUUGCUCGCCAUAAGCAAAAACGAACUAAUUAUGCCCACGAAAAAAAUUGGCACAGCCAAUUCAUGAUGCCCAACUUGACGUUGAAAUCCACAUAAAUAGAGCACCUUCCUUAAGCAUUGACAAAAUUUACAUCUCCAGCUAUGCUACUUAUUCGGGUACAACCGCGACCCCAUAAUCAAUAAUUAAAAGCACACGGCUCACUCUAGCCGUUCUAGAAGAAUGAUUCUAAAUGCCAAGCCUUUGGACCCGACAAACACAUUUUUAUUUUUUUACCUCAAAUUACAAUUAAUCUGAUUAUAGAAGACGAUCUGAAAAUCAGAUACGCUCAAGUCUCCGACACCUCCCAGGGCCACGGCUUCCCACCAAAAAGAUUUUCUGAUAACCGAGCUUGCAGUACCAUGCAACUAUCAAAUGCCAAGAUAAAUUUUUAUACAAGACCCAUUACUAUACCUUGUGGUUCACCAACCAACGAAAACCAUGAAUUCAAGCAAGAAUCAAAACUCAUGGCUUAACUCAGCUCAAGUUCCAGAAGAAAUGACUUAAAGCACAUGAAAGGCAAGUCCUCUAACUUCGAGCUCAAAAGCUCCACAAAUCUCCAAUAUCCGUCAGAACCCGCUUCGAAAUUGCACUAGAAACCUCCACUAAUCAUGCUGACACCAACGGAUGAACGCACAACCAAAAAAACGAAGACCUCUCUAAUCAAACUUGGAUCAAUGAGUGGUCCCACCACAAUAUGAUCCUGAGAAGAGACGCUAAUCAACCUAUCAAUAAAUUUACUACUUUCAAUAUUAAAACUCUUAAUAAACCUUGACUCUAGACGCUUCUUGAGUCAACAUGGGAAAACCUUCCCCCAUAACGCUACAUCAUAAAAAAUACCUACAACGACACAAACCAUCUUUUCAACAUCACCACACGACUAGCAGACUACCACAUAGGACUUACGACUCCAAGAUUCAUUGCUUAAUUGAACUCCAGCUCAUUUGGGAUCACGACUGGAUUUAUUCCGGAUCCAUGACUACGACACAACUACCAAUUUAUCAUUUACCUCGAAACUUCGACAUAAUAACCAGAAUCUCUACCCUUCAAAUCGAAGCGUUGAAUUCGCAUUCCAUAAUUCAAGCUCUGAGGAUACUACCCAAAAACUACAGUAGGAAUAAUUUAAAUAUUCCCACACACACCAUAACCAAAACUUUACUCCAUCUCACCUAAUUAGAAAUAAGAUGAGAAUAGAUCCUCCCAUUGUUAUGUCGUAGUUAGUCACCCAUUGCGAACGAAAUGAUGUCAACAACCAACUUCGAUCACAAAUUUGAGACUUACAUCAACCACCCGGAAUGACACUGCUAAAAAAAAUACUUUGGACACCCACGCACUUUUGCUCUAUGAUCCAAUGGGUUUUAUUCCACUGCUACCACUUCCACCAACUCCACACAACUGCUAUAGAAUACCUAUGACAAUACGUAAUAAAUUCACCAGGUGUUGUCAUAAAACUGGAGUGACCACAACCAUCCCGCUCUCACUCCACCAUUACUUUUCAAUUCCAUUUACAUUAUCAUCUUUCCAAACACUCAACAAAUCUGGAAACCAAACUUCAACACCUGGAACUCCGAAAGAAUCCAUACUGGCCCCAUGAUUAAAAUAAUAUAACUGACAUCUCACUCUACGAUUCCAAACUUGCUUGAAACUCAAAACAUUUAGUGCCAUCAAUAAAAUUUAAAAUUCCCCGACUGUGGCACAACAAGAAGUUGUCACAACGCACUGACGAAUGACUUUUGUAAAACCAACAAUCCAAGUCAUUCUACUUAGUGCUUUAACAAACUUCAACUAACCCACAAUAGAGACCAAAAUCAUCAAAAAUCUUGUUAUUCAUCGACUACUAUUAUCCGUCAUUUUCAAAAAUAUACUUCCAUAAAUAAAGUUGUAGGAACCAGGAUAUGUGCUGACAUAACCAGCAUUAUCCCAAAUUGUUCCCACUGCUUUCUGUUGCGGAUAAAAAUAGUCGGUAAAUUGGCUUUAACUCAUGACUUAUCUAAAUUGACAUUUAACUUUUUAUGGAGCAAUGCCUUGCAACCCAAACACUAGCCACAAAUCUCACAAGACUAAUUCGCUCAAGCUUAGGUCCGCAAUAACUCAUAUAGGUACCCCAUUGAAUUACGCUUGGAUACCUCACCUCAUCAUUUCAACUAACUUUUACAUCAAUAGAAAACACCACUAUUUCAAACUUUCUUUCCAACUCGACUCUCUCAAAAGUCACAUAACUCAAUACCAAAAUAUACCAUCAAUCAAUUUUUGACUUCAAUCUUGCCCACUAAAAAUGGACAACUCCAAGGCAUUAAUCAUCAACAUUUCACCCAACAGAUUUGCACAAGAUGCUCACCUUAGCAUCUUAAUUUGAAAUCUUAAUCUUAACCCAAUCAAUCAUUGGAUACCUGAAAAGAAUGCUAACAAGCUUUUUCGUUCCCCACUCGCAAACUAACUCCAACCAUUAAUAUCAAAGAUAUUAAAUUAAUGAACCUUGGAAUAGGUGCAAACUAUACACCUUUUCAAAACUCGAAGGAUGAACACUCAAGAGGUCGAUGUACGGAGGCAUAGUCUUAGAGAUGUAGACAUUUAUGGCACACUACUGCCCAUAAAUAAAAGAAGAACAACUACAUCACAAACCUAAUCAACACAUAGUGUCUAAAGCAUAUAAUGCUAAUAGAUCCGCCGCGGUCGGACCGUCACUCUAUAGACACUAAGCAUGACCAAGAGUAUGAGGUAGUACUAAAAAGAGAAAAGAAAUGAAUAACCUAGUGCUCCGAUACCAACUGACAAGACCCACUCCGAAUUUCACCCUGAAACCCAGAGUAAGACGUGCGGGGACCACCUCCAAGAAAAAUUUACCGAAAAAUCGGCAUAACCUCCCUUGAAAAUGGACAACCCUUCCUAAUAAUACUUGCAAACACUUCUGAAAAUUUCAAUCCAACCUUAAACUCCUGCAGCCUCCGUGCUCCCCAAAUCACAACACCACCCAAAUUAUUUACUAAUCUAAACAAAUCUCAUAUCUAACCAUUUAUAGGUUCAGAGCAACUCUAACAGGAAGAAAGGAAACAUAAUAAAUUAACAAGCGGAAGCUAUAUGAUGACUAUGCCUCAUCUCCAUGUACGCCCGACCUUGACUAAGCUAACCUGCAAGCUGGGCAUUUUUAAAACGAAGGGCCCAGCGGAAAACAUUUGAAACACGUUAGAGUGAGUGGACAAAAAUAAAUUAACAAAUAAAAUAUUUAUGUUUCCGCAAAUCAAUUUCCAAGGAAAAUCGAAUGCAUGCUGCAAGCGAUAAAACUUUUAUCUCAUAAAUAUCGAGCCUCUCAGGCUCUAUAAAAUAUGUAUGUAUUACACACGUCCAUACUCCCUAUAUAAAUUCAUGGGUCAAUAUAGGGCUACUACACUCGCGUCCAACGCUCAAGUCACGCCUUAAUGCGGUGCUACACUACGCCAUUAAGGUGGACAGACGGGUGUAUAAAUAUGUGCUCAUACCCCCUAUAUGAAUUAAACACUCAUAUAGGGCUACUACGCUCGCGUCCAACGCUCACGUCACACCAUAAUGCGGCUAUAUGCUAUGCCAUUAAGGUGGACAGACACAUAGGGCUAGCUAGCAUUUUUAUACAUACUCUCCUCAUAAAUACAUAUUUAUAUCACCGAAAUCCCAUUUUCGGUAACUCUCCAAAGAGAAAUAAAUCGUCAAAAAUCAAAAUGACGUCAAAAUGCUCCAACAAUUUAAAUGUUCAACCAAAACCAUAGCAUGCAUAUUAUUCAAAACCAAAAGUCCACUCACAAAUCUAGGCAUAAGCCCGACGAAAUCCAAAUCGCCACUCCAGAGAGGUUUCCUCGAACCCUGGCACAAAUAUAAAAUUAAUUUCCCAACUAAAAAUCCAAUAUUUAAACAAAAUAGGCAAAAUUAACCGAGAGCCAUACUCACGCUCAUCAUUGCCUAACUUCGAUACGGUCCACACCUCAACACUAAAACCAGCAACCUUAGCUACACCCUUCCACAGAUUAUACGACUUUAAUCCAAGAGCCGGAUUCUAUCCUAUUAAUCCGCCAAAAUUACCAAACUUCGGAAAUUCACAAACCUAACCAAAACUCAUCCAAAAAUUCCAUAAUUUACAUCAAUAUACUCCCCUUAAUAUUCCACAUUUAAAACUAUACAAAACUCCCAAACAGCGGCGGCGGCGCCACCAGUUCCGCCGGCAGCGGCGGCCGGAGGCCGAUUCCGGCGACCUCCAAUGCUCACCAAAUUUAAACAGCAGCUUCCUCUCAACCUACUCUACAACUUUCUUAACUGGCACAACACCCAAUUUCAAGCCUAACUAUGCCAAUCGAACGAAAACAACACAAAAAGCCCUAGAGCUUCCACUCACCGGUUCUCCUUACCUAGACCAAGAGAGGACGUGCUCUUUGGAGGGGUUGCUGCACGGGAGGAGAGCUUUCUUUUGAGCCAAGAAUGGCCGGCUUUGGUGGCCGGAGGAGGGAGUUCCGGCGACUGGAAGGUGUGGGCAGUCAAACCUUUCGGGUGGCACCGCUCCCUCACGAUGGCGCUAGGGCUCCUCUCACCGGUCCAGGGAGGUUGCUGGGUUGGAAGUCGACCGAACGGGACCGGUGCGGCGGCGGUUGGUGGCCGGACGGCGGCGGAUGAGCGGCCGGAAGCUUCGGCUGCGGGAAAACUCGGGGAUGAGGCCGGGAGGGAGAGAAGAAGAGAGAGGGAAAAGAAAUGGGUGUUUGGGCCUCACACCCACCCGGUCCAACACCAUAUAACAACCCACUCCAAAAUAAAACACCCCGAAAAAAUAAUAUCCGAAAAAAAAAUUACCUUUUACUAGCUAAAAUUUACCAAUUUUACCGUCGUCAUAUUUUCCUCCUACGAAUAAUCCUCCGCACAUAACCGUCCCCGAAACCCCUCUAGGGACCAAUUAAAACUAUAACCUCAAUGACGGAGACGGUAAAAUUCUUAUUAUAACCAAGCUAGUAAAUAAGGUAAAAAUUUACGGGUCGGGAUGUGACAGGGAUGGUUUUUUUCUUGAAGGACUUGCAGCAACAAAUAUAUAGAGGAGGAGGAUUUACAUGGUCAAUUUUGGGAUGGAAAACAAGUAGUUAUCAAUACUUUUAGUUUCUUUUUUCCAUUUCAAUAUGAAAUUUGUUGGUUACUGAGUAAAUUUUAACAUUAUAAUUGACGUAAUGAAUAUACAGGAGCUUAUGAUGAGGAAGAGUUUGCAGCAACAUCGUAUUAUUUUGCAGCUCGAGUACUGGGGACAUCAGCUUUUAUUAUGAGAAGAAGAAUACAUACACUAUUAGGACAAGUUGUCGUCCUGUUAGCUUAAUUCGUCGGCUAAGACCUUCGUCAGCUAUAGUUUCGUCGGGAAAGGGUCGUCUGACACUAGAAAACGUCGUCGGCUAUUAUCUGGGACAAUAACCAAUGAAUAUCUUAAAUGUUUCGUGGACCAUAGUCUGAGACUUUAGCCGACGAUAUUCGUCGGCUAAAGUAUAUAAUAAAAAAUUUAAAAAAUAACUAUAGCCGACGAAAUAUAGUCUAUUUCGUCGGCUUUAGAAGUGUUUAGCCUACGAAACAUGCCAUAAUUCGUCUGUUAAACCUUAUAAAAAAAAUUGAAAAAAUACUAUAACCGACGAAUAUCUUCGGCUAAAGUAUUUAAAUAUCGUUGGCUAAAGUUGCAGGUUUUUUUAAAAAAAAACUGCAGAAACUUUCGGCCACCUCCAAUCACCACCAAAAUUUGACAAAAUAUUCCUCUCAACAUUUUGAACAACUUUCUAGAAGAAGUCGAAGCCCAAUUAUAAGCCUAAACAGGUCAAUUGAAUCAAAAUAUAAAAAUCCCUAAUUUUAAACCCUAAAAACUUCAAAUCUUCGAUUCUCCUCACACACACCGAAUCGAGCUACCAAAUUCUAGAGGAAUGUAGUACUAAUCAAACUCAACUUAUCCAUAUAUAGAACUCACCAAAUGGUGACCUGAGGAAGGAGAAAUUCGAUCGACACCGAAUCCGAACCGGCGGAGUUUUGGAGGUCGAUUUAUCCCUCACGGCGGUGCCACUCGAUGCGUCACUCGAUGCACCACUUGUCCAGCAAUGAAGUAGAGACGACGGCGAAGCUUUUGGAAUAAGUGUGGUGGUCUCCGGUGGCUUGACGGCUGAGCUAGGCCAAGAACAAAAUCCGGUAGGCGAAACAAUAACUUUUUCUGAUUUUCUGACUUCUUACCAUCCACCUCCAGUAAAACUCCUAUAUAAAGAGCUUUACCCGACGAAAUUCUUUAUUUUCGUCGGUUAAACUCUUUUGAAAAUUUUGAAAAAUUUGGUUGACCGCCAAAAUUUUUUGACAAUAGCCGACGAAAUCAUAUAUUUUCGUCUGUUGAAAUCCUUUGAAAAUUUUCCCCUAAAUUUGGUUUGCCGCCAAAAAAUUUGACCUUAGCCGGCGACUUUUUUAAUAUCUCGUCGGAUAAAGUCUAUAAAUUCACGAAAACGCUCAUAUCUCCCUCUAUAUUACGUAGUUUGGUCAAACCUUCCACACAAAAAACUUUCACGUAGAUGAGACGCAACCGUCUAUAUAAAAAUUUUGAGACAUUUACCUUCCGACGAUAGGGCUCCCUAUAGGGAAUAAUAACGGUAAAUAGGGUUGACCGCUACUAUCGGCACCGAGACGUUACCCGAUUUACGUGAUUUUUGAACCAUAGCCGUAUUUCACUAUUCUGAACACAUCUUAUUUCACAAGAUUUUUGAUAAUUUUGCUUCCUAUGUAGAGUUAGUUCACAAAUUUGUAUAACUUACUAAUGUUAUAAACAAGUUAUAUAACAUUAGUAGACACGUUGUGAUUCUGAUGACUAAAAUUCAUAAACCAAAAUUUGACCGUCAGAUAUGAUCAUUAUGACGAAAGAUGUCUAUGGUAAAAAAUUCAACUGGAUCCGACAACGUUAAGGGCUCGAUCGAAACGGUCAACCCUAAUCCAUAGUCACUUAUCACAUGAAAACGCUCAUAUCUCCCUCUAUAUUACAUAGUUUGGUCAAACCUUCCACAUGAAAAACUCUCACGUAGAUGAGACGAAACUGCCCGUAUAAAAAUUUUGAGACAUAUACCUUCCGACGAUAGGGCUCCCCAUAAGGAAUAAUAAUGGUAAAUAGGGUUGACCGCUACUAUUGGCACCGAGACGUUACCCGGUUUACAUGAUUUUUCAACCAUAGCCAUAUUUCACCAUUCUGAACACAUCUUAUUUCACAAGAUUUUUGAUAAUUUUGCUUCCUAUGUAGAGUUAACCUACAAAACAAGUUAUACAACAUUAGUAGACACGUUGUGAUUCCGAUGACUAAAAUUCACAAACCAAAAUUUGACCAUCAGAUAUGAUCAUUAUGACGAAAGAUGUCUAUGGUAAAAAAUUCAACUGGAUUCGACAACGUUAAGGGCUCGAUCGAAACGGUCAACUCUAAUAUAAAAUAAGAAAACUGCAUUUUGAAGCCCUAAAUGGACUCGGAUGGCCAAAAAGGCCCAUAUGCUAUAGCAAAGCAUUGAGUGUGACUCGUAGGGCCGUUACGCUUCUGGAAAGGUAUCACAAUAGUCAAUCGGACACCGAUCGCCAAAUCUGCAGCAUAUCGGGUUUCGACUGUUCUACAUCAGAGACGUUACUCGAUUUACGUGAUUUUUGAACCAUAGCCGUAUUUCACCAUUCUAAACACAUCUUAUUUCACGAGAUUUUUGUUAAUUUUGCUUCUAUGUAGAGUUGGUUCACAAAGUUGUGCAUUUGUUUAAAACCUACUAAGCAAAUUAUAUAACAUUUUAUUGUUUUCCUUUAGCCGACGAAAUAAUAGUAUCGUCGGCUAAAGUUGUGAAUAACAGACGACUUUUUUCGAUAAUAGCCGACGAGAUUUUUUUUCGUCUACUAAAAUACUUAGCCGACGAGUAAAAACUUUGGCCGACGAAGGAAACUUUGGCCAACGAAAUUUUUGUAUAGCCGACGAAAUUUUAAAUUAGCCGACGAAUGAAAAUUUCGUCGGCUAACAUGGACUUUAGCCGACGAAAAAAUAAUUCGUUGGCCUGGUUUUUUUAUUUUCGUCUGCUAAACCCUUUCUUCUGGUAGUGAUAGCCUCCCUAUUAAGGUUCUUAUUCAUCUGUUAAUUGAUGAACAUUGAUUUCUUUCUUCUUCUUUUUUUGGGUAUUGAAAUCAGUUCUUCGAUCUAUUUGUGGGUAUUGAAAGCUUAAACACGGAAUCUUAUUUGCAGAUUGUGUUUAGAAACUUUUAAAUUUAUACAAACACAUAGCUUAAUCUUUAAUGCAUAUAGGUUAUGAGAUUCAAUUUAAUAGUUAACAUGCAUGGUUGUAAUGAUCUCUACAUACAUAUCAGUUCGGU
This 109542-nucleotide long non-coding RNA is filed under the name Fragaria vesca (wild strawberry). RNAcentral describes it as "long non-coding RNA (FVES_LNC005489)". Lineage: Eukaryota; Viridiplantae; Streptophyta; Magnoliopsida; Rosales; Rosaceae. The record is from RNAcentral.